UGAGUCACGCUUCUGAUUAUCUCUUGUCUCUCUCUUCCAAGGUACAACUUUAAAGCCAGGAAAUUAUGGAGUAUGAAGAUGAAGCCAACAAAUACAACACAUCCGAAAUUGAUUGGGGUGAGGAACCGCAUGGGAGGGAGGUGGAGCAUACGAAGACCAGUCAUGCUAUGGAGAAACUGAUUCUUAUAUUAGUUAUGGAAGUGCCCCAGCAUGUGAAGAAGAAGACUCACAGAUCGAAGAUGCUGCUUCCCAAAUCAGUCAUGGAGAUGAAUAUGAGAAUUCUGAAAGAGAUGACCAUGACGGAGAUUCAUGGAAGGGAGAGACUGAAUCCCAGCUCAGUCAAGGAGAGGGGGACCACGAAAGUGAGCAAGAUCAUAGAGAGUUCACUUAUGCAGGAGAUCAUGAUCAGUUCAUAGAACAAUACCAAAAACGUUGGUAUGAAGAAACUGAUUCUCAAAUCAGUUCAGAAGAUGGUGAUCCAUAUGAUGAUGAGCCUUGGAACGUGGGAGCUGAUCCAAAAGAAGGUUAUGUUGAUAAAUUGGAGAUUGAAGAACAGGUUCAAGAACCAAAUAAAGCAAACAUCAACUACACCAUGGAAGAUGAGUCUUGUGGUGAGCCAACAGAUGAUGAAGCAGCUUGUGAGCCACGCCACAUCUACUUUUCAGGUCAUGAUCAAGGACCAGAAGCUUACCUACAAUGGGAGAACGAAAUGGAAUACUGGAUGCGGUCCAACAACAUUCCUAAGGAGGAGAGACUAUCAUAUGCAAUUGACUCAUUUGUUGGAGAAGCUACCACAUGGUAGAGACAGGAAGAAGCUCUGAACUACUACCAUAAUCCAGUUCGCAGUUGGGGUGAUCUAAAGCAGCGUAUGUACAGAGAGUUCGUACAGAAGUUCCACAACCGCAACUACACUCCCAAGAAGCUUUUGUUCCAAGCAACUACAAAAAGUUGGAUAUCAAAACCACCGCUUGUCCCUAAGCACAAGCACACCUACUGUCCUGAGCCAAAGAAAGUGUUUCAAAACACAUUGGAGAAGAAUUCAAAUGCUGAGAAACCAGUGGUAACUACAGAAGUUAAACCAAAUUCAAACCCACCACUCAUAGCUCACAAGGGAAGCACAAAAUCGACACUUGAACCACAAGACAAAGCAAAGCAAUGUAAGUCUUCUAAAACUCUUAUGAUAGAUACCACAAUCUGUUAUAGAUGUCAUCAGAGAGGAAAUUUUGCUAAGACAUGCCCAUCUAGAGAAUUAGAAAUUAGUUCAUCAGUUGAACCAGAAAAAGAAGAAGCUAGAAAAAUAGAAAAAGAUGAGUUGCAUUUUAAAAUUUCCACUUCAGAUAUGAUUUGCUUGUCUUUGCCAAAGGUUUUUGAUGCAGGUUUAAAUCAUGGAGAGCAGCACUAUGAAGAGAUAGAUACGUGUCAGCCUACUCCUGAGAAAGAUGAAGUUGUUACCAACUUCACUCUGAUCCAACCAGAGCCACCAGAUAACAUGUUAACUCCAAAUGUCGUGGCAAUAAAGGAAACAGAACUAAACGAUAGUUCUACUCAGGUAAGUAGCACAGAUCUCUCAGUUAUUUCUGAUAAUUCUAGUCUGUGAUAAUGAAUAUUUUAUAUCCAGAGACAUGUGAGAAAGAACCCAUCUCUUAUUUUAAACAACAAAACUGUGAAGAACAUGAUGCUUUGCAAAAAGUUAAUGAAAUGGUUAAAACUAGAUCAUGUUUCUGUGUUUCUUGUACUACCAUGACUGCCAUAACGCACUUGUCUUCUGUCAAAAGUGUCAAAGAUCUCGCAGGUACAGAAGAGAUGUUACAAAAAUCCAAACCGCCAAGCUUUAGUGGAGACACACCACGUGAAUAUGAAGUUUUCACCAAGACGACUACGUUGCUGCCAAAGGAAAUCAACAACAAACCUUGGAGAGGAGUCAUUGCCUCUUUACUGAUCAAAGAAGAACCACCAGACAUUCCACACCAAUCCCACCUGAACCGGAAUGGAGAAAUGAUCCAAGGUAAGUUUCUAGACUCACAUCUUUACCAUGAUACUAACUUGCUCUAUCUUUGUGCAGAUGAAUUAGUUUCGAGGACGAAACUUUUUCAAGAGGGAGGGUAUGAUGCGGACAUCAACCCAUCAAGACGUCUCAUGGUGAUCUCAACACUUGGAAGAGUUAGGUGCAACGGACAUGAGAGUCUAGCUAAGGGUAAAGGAGAGACGAUCUCCCUUGUUGAACAAGUUAAUGGCGAAGGGGAGAGGACUGUCAUUAACUUGUUCUCUCUAGACUCCUAUCCCAUCACCAGUAAGCCAUUAGAUCACUCAAUCUUAACCGGACCAAACCAAAGAGGAGGCAACCAAUCUAUUGAAGAUACUGUUCAACCCAAAAAGAUCCACGAGCAUUGUCCAGGUCAAAUGAAGUCCAAUAAUAAGUGUUCCAGCCCAACUGCCACUUGGAUCACAUUCUUAGCUCAACCAGAACACGCCUCGAAGUGGAAUCAGUCCAAUUGGAGUUCAGAUGAAGGAGAUAUUGAGUUUAUAAAUCGGGUGAUCCUCUACUUACCCGAUUUGGACAUAUGCGCCUUAAUUGGAGAAUUCCGACUAAACCAGGAGGAAUUAAGCUAUCAACCGACUUGGUCUGGAAUCUUGACUCAUCAGAGAAUCACAGAGAAUUUGAUUCAGACCGAGAUCGAUUCUGGUUUAGGAGAUAUCCAAAUUCUAACCCGAUGGAUCCUCCACUUGCCUUAUUUGCAACCUUCUAGGUUUUGGAGUCUUCAGACAUAUCUUUGGCGACCAGGAGACAUUCUAACUCAACCAGAGGCUCUACUAGGCGUCCUUACUUCCACCAAAACGCAUAGGAUCAAUUCGAGAUGCACAUGGACUGACCUUCCUUAUUUAGAUCCAAGUGCAUUCAACAUGUUCACACUUGGUGUCAUAACUCUCCAACGGCUAUAUCCUUGCUGCUUCUACGACUUUAGCAUACAUUCAGCGAACCUGGACGUCCCAAGACAUCACUUUAUGCACCCAAGUUGUCAAGACUCAAGCUCAGCUCCAUUUACCUUAUUUGGCCAAGAUUUGGUCAUUAUGACUUAAACGGCUAGUUUUGCAUUUAGUUUGUGAUUUCUUUCUUGCUUUAGCUUUUUAGAACGUUGGUUUAGACCUGUGUAGAGCAUUAUAUAAGCUCAUCUUUGUCUUCAUUGUAAAUCACCAUUCAAUCUUAAUUAAUAAAGCAUUUUCGUUUUCUUCAAAAAGAGUUCUUUGUAAGAGUUGUUUCUUUUGAAUAUUGUGUGUGAUUCACAUUGUUCAUUAGAAUUCUUGGAUUAAACUAUUUGUGUGAUUCAAGUAGUUUGUUGCAUCACCUGAUCGAGAGAGUCUAUCAUCAUCAGAAUGAGUGAGUCAAUCAAAUCCACCACCUUCCAUCCCACCUUCAUAUCCACUUCCGCACAAAGCUUGUUAGCUUUUGAUUACCAAGAGAUCACUAAGCAUCGGUGUGAUUCCGUGCCUACAUCACUAGCUCUUAACAUUUAUUAAAGGUUUCAGUGGUUCUCAUCAAAAGGAUAUUAAACAAGGCAUUCAAGGUUAGGUAUCAAAAAGGCUUUUUAAUGGUAAGGCUGAUGUGUUUAGGGUUACCUUUUUCUGGAGAGACAUGACAUUAUGCAAAACAGCAAGAGAGGAUGGAACUGUAAAUGCCCCCACAGUUUCAGUCAUAUUAUUCUUGCUUCAAGAUUUCUGAUCUCCUUUCUUCAGGUUCUCCUUAUUCCCCCAGACUUAGAUUUUUGUCCAAAUUGUGAAUCCAUGACUCCUUAAGUAAAUACCUAUUGCCUUGGCUCAAGUGAUUUCGGCUUCUAAGACUCUUUAGGCUUUUAGUUUCCUUCCUUUCUUUCUUUUUCUCCUUUUUUCGUUUUAUUUUUUUUUGAAAGGGGAAACAGCCUUUUGACUUGGAGUCUUAGGGUGCACGAAAAUUAUCUUUAAGAAUGAGUUUUUCUGAGGCAUCAUAAGAUUUCUGGCACACUCCCUUCUGGUCUCUUUCAGUCUUUCUCUUGAGUGACUGAAAACUAUGUUGUUCCUCCCUCUCCGGCGUUUUUGCACAUAUCUGUCGAUAUAAACUUAAGAGAGAAUGCAUGAGGUUUGAACACGAAGGUUUGGGCUAAGGGUUUGGUACCAGCUAAAGAUGAACUGGCCAUCUAGGACAACAAAGAGUGGUAACAAUAAGGAAAAGAUGUCCUAGAUGUAUAUCAUGAUGCUUAUUUUUAAAAAACCAUUGAUGAGAAAAUUAGAUGUCAAGAUUAAGUCCAAGUAAAAUGAGCUAGUAUAUCCUGUCAGAAAAGAUCUUCAUGAAUAGAACUCCUCUGGUGGAAUUUAGUAGUGUAAGUACUCUAGCUACCGCCUAGUCUAGUACUAAACCUUGAAAGAGCUUUUAUGAGUGAUUGAUGUAGAAGCAAACAGGUUGGUUAUCAUCAUCGAUUUUGUCAUUAUUCCCUCAAAAUGUUCUUGACCCUUGAAAACACUUUUUUGAAACUCAAAAGACUUUGAAAAGGUUUAAGAAAAUCGAAAAUUUUUAAAGAAAAUGCAGAAUGCAAUGACUCAUGCAAGAAAAGAUGGUUAGAAAGGGAUGAAAUCCUCCCCCAGACUUAAAUCACACUGUCGCCAGUGUGAAAUAAAUUAGGCAAAGAUGAGAAAUAGAGAAUUUAAAGAUUAAAAAGAUUAAGGAAAAGAAAACUUACCUGUGUUGGUGAUGGAUUGUGAUGUGGUUGUGGUGGUGUUGCUUGAUCAAACUUGGAUGCUAGGGAUCCAAAACUGAUUUGAACAAGGUGGUGGUGGUGGUGAAAGUGGCCAAGGAUGAAAUGGAGGUGGCGAAGGGUAGAUGGAAGUGGCCAAGGUGGAACAGAUGUGGCCAAGGGUGGAUGGAAGUGGCCAAGGUGGCCGGCUGUGCUGGCUGCGGAUGAAGACAUCCUGGCCGCGGUAGGACGCGCGCCGGCCCGGUUGAGGACGUCGCGGCCGCAGUAAAACACCUGCUGGCCACGGCCGAACCUCCUUUGGCUGCGGUCAGCUCCUUUUCUUCCCUUUUUUUUUAUUUUUUUAUGGCAUACUAAGGCCUGUCUAAAAUAAGAAAAACAAAACUUUUAAUUGAAAAAGAAAGCUUAAACAAAAACAAAUAAGUACCUAAAAUGGCUUGCCUCCCAUCAAGCGCUUUGGUUUAUAGUCCUUAGCUAGACUUUGCAAAGAAAAAGACUUAGUUCAAAUAGGAUAUUGUCUUAAGACAAGUCCUUUUCGAAAUCCUCCUGUUCUGUCUGGCAGGUUCUUCAUCACUCCAGAGUUCUUCUGGUUCAAAUGCCUGGGCUAUUUGCUCUCCUCUCUUGCUCUUAAGUGGUGUAGCUUCAUAGAAGAUGUCCUUGUCGAUAUUGGCAAAGGAAACUCGCCUGUUGGGCCAAUCCAUGAUGGCUCCAGCAGUUGCUAAGAAAGGCCAUCCAAGAAUAACUGGAUAAGAGUCAUCUUUGGUCUUCACUAUGUAUAAAUCGACAGGUGCAAUGCAAUUUCCAAUCCUUAGAGGAAUGUCUCGGGCUAUCCCUCUUGGUGUUGCACUUGAAUCAUCUGCUAAGCUAAUCUUUGUCCUGAUACUUGAGAUGUGCUUUAUGCCAAGUCUCAAAGAUGUGCUUAAUGCCAUGCUCUUGUGCUGCUUGCUCAGGCGAAAUUCAAUCUCUUGAAGUUCACCAUCUGUCUUUCCUCUUUACCAUGAAGCGAUUUCAUUGGACUCCUUGAUCUCUAACUUAGCAGCCUUGGCAUCGAUGGAUCCUUGAAGGAUAUCAUACUUCUGUCUUGGCUGCACUUCCUCAAACUUCCUUUUUAGGGCAGCAAUGUCUCGAGAGUGCAGAUCUUCUAGCGAUUUCACAUGGUGAGUGAGGUCAUCGAUCCUCUUGUACAGGGUAGCUUCCGUAACAACUUGAAAAUCAAGGUAUUGAUUCAGCAUAGAUCCUAAUCGAUUUAGUUGGGGCCUAAAUCGAUCAGCUUCAGCGUUUUGGUGCAGAAUCUGAUGAGGAAGAGGAUGAGAUGGUCGAUGGUUUACCAAGUGUGGAGAAUAUGGCUCAUCUCGGUGGUGUGGAGGUUGCGAGUCUCCAUGGUGGUGGUUCGGAUUAGGGUUCCAAAGAUGAUGAUAAAAAUCACGCCUGGAGGGUGAUUCAGAUGCGCAAGGACCUUCACACAGGUCGCAGGACCUUCGCUCGGGAUUAGGGUUUCUCCUUGAAUGAUCCAUGCUUCAAAGGUUUCUGAAACUAGGGCAAACAGAAGAAAGAAUAAGCAGAAAAAGAAAAAGUUAGGGUGUUUAUGAAUUUGGUGUACUUCCUAUAUUACUUUGGCAGAAACUCGACAUAUAUAUAGUCGUCUGCGGCUUCAGCCUCCCAGGUUUAGACCUCCAGCAACUUCAUGCCUCCCCGACAACGGCGCCAAAAAACUUGAUGAGCUUGCAGGCCUAGGGUUGUUUUUUAACAAGCCUGUUGGUCCUCCUUAAGUUUUAAAUUUAUAAAACCCUAGUGUCUGCAAAUGCACAGAUGUAUGUUGUAGGACUUAGGGUGUCGAUCCACAGGGAGGAUGUCUAAUCUGCAAGAAACAACAAACUGCAAAGUAAGCAAACUCAUAAACCAAUAAAAGAUUUGGGGUUUUUGGUUAGGAUCCUAAACUAAAGCUAAUCUAAUAUUCACAAGAAAUGCAAUGCAUGAUGAAUUGUUAAAAGAACAUCUCAAGCAUAUCGACUCAAACUAAAGACUCUUGAACUCAUAGGUGGCGAUUUAGACUUCUCCGGUUUACUCUAAUCGAUGUAUGGUGGCAUUUCCAAUUAGCUUCCGAGCAAUUUAUCUUCAUCUGUUUCUGGGAAUCUGCAUUGAACUAGAAUAGACACAUGUAUGAUUAACCAACUGUCGUCACCUUAAUCAACUAAUCUCUUAGAUUUAGCAAUUAACUCUCGCUCUCAUGCUAAACUUAAGAUCAUGCAUUGAACAUUGAAUUCGUCUGCUCACAUCUUCUCUAUAGGUAGCUUUCGACUCCUAUAGCGACUAUGUUCUUCUGAAACUAGGUACGGAUGAUCUGAUACAGCACUCUCAUGGCUUUGAUCAAUCCUAGGCUCAGAGAAUAGGUCAUGAAUCUACUCUCAUGCUUUACGAAUAACUUAGAAGAGAUGAGAUCCAGAAUAUGGUUAAGAAUAAUAGAAAUCCUAAUCGAUAUAUAUGCUUGUCGAUAUCUUCAAACAACUUGACUCUCUGGGACUAAUCUACAUGAUGCAAUGAAUGAUGAAAGACAUAGAAAAAUGCAAAAGAAUGAAACAGAAAAGUUAAUAAGAUAAAAAGGGGGAAGAACAAUGGAUCUGGGGAAGAAUCCCCAUCUCCAUUGCCUAACCCUAGAAAAACAAAUUUUGGUGGCUCAAAAUCUCAUUACAGAAGCACACACCCGUUUAGGACUGCUAAACAACUUGAUGGGCUUCCAUUUCACAUGGUGGAUGGAAGUGGCCAAGGUGGCCGGCUGUGCUGGCUGCGGAUGAAGACAUCCUGGCCGCGGUAGGACGCGCGCCGGCCCGGUUGAGGACGUCGCGGCCGCAGUAAAACACCUGCUGGCCACGGCCGAACCUCCUUUGGCUGCGGUCAGCUCCUUUUCUUCCCUUUUUUUUAUUUUUUUAUGGCAUACUAAGGCCUGUCUAAAAUAAGAAAAACAAAACUUUUAAUUGAAAAAGAAAGCUUAAAAAAAAACAAAUAAGUACCUAAAAUGGCUUGCCUCCCAUCAAGCGCUUUGGUUUAUAGUCCUUAGCUAGACUUUGCAAAGAAAAAGACUUAGUUCAAAUAGGAUAUUGUCUUAAGACAAGUCCUUUUCGAAAUCCUCCUGUUCUGUCUAGCAGGUUCUUCAUCACUCCAGAGUUCUUCUGGUUCAAAUGCCUGGGCUAUUUGCUCUCCUCUCUUGCUCUUAAGUGGUGUAGCUUCAUAGAAGAUGUCCUUGUCGAUAUUGGCAAAGGAAACUCGCCUGUUGAGCCAAUCCAUGAUGGCUCCAGCAGUUGCUAAGAAAGGCCAUCCAAGAAUAACUGGAUAAGAGUCAUCUUUGGUCUUCACUAUGUAUAAAUCGACAGGUGCAAUGCAAUUUCCAAUCCUUAGAGGAAUGUCUCGGGCUAUCCCUCUUGGUGUUGCACUUGAAUCAUCUGCUAAGCUAAUCUUUGUCCUGAUACUUGAGAUCUGCUUUAUGCCAAGUCUCAAAGAUGUGCUUAAUGCCAUGCUCUUGUGCUGCUUGCUCAGGCGAAAUUCAAUCUCUUGAAGUUCACCAUCUGUCUUUCCUCUUUACCAUGAAGCGAUUUCAUUGGACUCCUUGAUCUCUAACUUAGCAGCCUUGGCAUCGAUGGAUCCUUGAAGGAUAUCAUACUUCUGUCUUGGCUGCACUUCCUCAAACUUUCUUUUUAGGGCAGCAAUGUCUCGAGAGUGCAGAUCUUCUAGCGAUUUCACAUGGUGAGUGAGGUCAUCGAUCCUCUUGUACAGGGUAGCUUCCGUAACAACUUGAAAAUCAAGGUAUUGAUUCAGCAUAGAUCCUAAUCGAUUUAGUUGGGGCCUAAAUCGAUCAGCUUCAGCGUUUUGGUGCAGAAUUUGAUGAGGAAGAGGAUGAGAUGGUCGAUGGUUCACCAAGUGUGGCGAAUAUGGCUCAUCUCGGUGGUGUGGAGGUUGCGAGUCUCCAUGGUGGUGGUUCGGAUUAGGGUUCCAAAGAUGAUGAUAAAAAUCACGCCUGAGGGUGAUUCACAUGCGCAAGGACCUUCACACAGGUCGCAGGACCUUCGCUCGGGAUUAGGGUUUCUCCUUGAAUGAUCCAUGCUUCAAAGGUUUCUGAAACUAGGGCAAACAGAAGAAAGAAUAAGCAGAAAAAGAAAAAGUUAGGGUGUUUAUGAAUUUGGUGUACUUCCUAUGUUACUUUAGCAGAAACUCGACAUAUAUAUAGUCGUCUGCGGCUUCAGCCUCCCAGGUUUAGACCUCCAGCAACUUCAUGCCUCCCCGACAACGGCGCCAAAAAACUUGAUGGGCUUGCAGGCCUAGGGUUGUUUUUUAACAAGCCUGUUGGUCCUCCUUAAGUUUUAAAUUUAUAAAACCCUAGUGUCUGCAAAUGCACAGAUGUAUGUUGUAGGACUUAGGGUGUCGAUCCACAGGGAGGAUGUCUAAUCUGCAAGAAACAACAAACUGCAAAGUAAGCAAACUCAUAAACCAAUAAAAGAUUUGGGGUUUUUGGUUAGGAUCCUAAACUAAAGCUAAUCUAAUAUUCACAAGAAAUGCAAUGCAUGAUGAAUUGUUAAAAGAACAUCUCAAGCAUAUCGACUCAAACUAAAGACUCUUGAACUCAUAGGUGGCGAUUUAGACUUCUCCGGUUUACUCUAAUCGAUGUAUGGUGGCAUUUCCAAUUAGCUUCCGAGCAAUUUAUCUUCAUCUGUUUCUGGGAAUCUGCAUUGAACUAGAAUAGACACAUGUAUGAUUAACCAACUGUCGUCACCUUAAUCAACUAAUCUCUUAGAUUUAGCAAUUAACUCUCGCUCUCAUGCUAAACUUAAGAUCAUGCAUUGAACAUUGAAUUCGUCUGCUCACAUCUUCUCUAUAGGUAGCUUUCGACUCCUAUAGCGACUAUGUUCUUCUGAAACUAGGUACGGAUGAUCUGAUACAGCACUCUCAUGGCUUUGAUCAAUCCUAGGCUCAGAGAAUAGGUCAUGAAUCUACUCUCAUGCUUUACGAAUAACUUAGAAGAGAUGAGAUCCAGAAUAUGGCUAAGAAUAAUAGAAAUCCUAAUCGAUAUAUAUGCUUGUCGAUAUCUUCAAACAACUUGACUCUCUGGGACUAAUCUACAUGAUGCAAUGAAUGAUGAAAGACAUAGAAAAAUGCAAAAGAAUGAAACAGAAAAGUUAAUAAGAUAAAAAGGGGGAAGAACCAUGGAUCUGGGGAAGAAUCCCUGAUAUAUUCAUAAAUUGCAUCAUUAGGUGUACAUAUUUUAGUCCAAAUCAUGUCUUAUCUUAUGCAUUUUAGGUCUUUAAGCAUUGUUUUAGGACUUAGGAGAUUACAUUAGGUCCAAGAGAGUUUUGCAUGUUUUGGAGUGUUAAACAGGUGCUUUUGGAGCCAAUUUGGAGUGGAGGAUGUGAUUCAGAUGAAGAAAUGGAGUUGGAAUGAUCAAAAAUGGUAAAAAGGAGCAAUUUUGGGUUUCUCGGCAAAAUGCUGUACUGAAAGUCGAAGAUCCUCGGCCAAAAUCCUUCCCGCGGGUAGCUUUCUCGGCCAAAAACACGUACCGCGGUCAAGUCUCUCGGCCAAAAAUCCCGGGUGCAGAUACAUUUCCGAAAUCGCGUCACCGGAAGAUCUUGCCGGCCGAUUCAGCUGUCGGAGUCUUCAUAAAAGUUGGAGAUAACUGAGUCAAGAGUUCAGAAUAGUUGGAAUCAAAGCAUUUGGCCCACGGAUCUGAAAGAUAUGGUAAUCUGAAGACAGACCUCUCUCGCAUCCAUUCCGGAGCAAUCCGAUACUCCUGAAUGAUCGCCUGUCCGGGGAACCUUCCGGUCCGAUUCAGUUGUCGGGGGCUUCAUCAAAGUUGGAGACGAUUGGAUCAUGGUUCCAUAGCAAGUGGAAUAAUGGAAUUCGGACGCGUGAGCAGAAAGUUGAGCUCGUCGGAAGAAACCCCUGUCUCGCUGCCGUCUUGGACCGACCCGAUGAGCUCCGAAGAAUGCGAAGGGCGGCGCACUUCCAGGCAGAUUCAGUUUCCGGGGUCUUCAUAAGAAUCAGAGAUGUUUGAGUCCUCUUUCCAGAACGUCCAAGAUCAUCCAAUUCAAAUUUAUGAGCAAGAAGUUAACGUCUCCGGAAUGGACACAUGUCUAGACGCCUUUCUCUGAUCGUGUAAAUGCAUUGCGAAGAUGAGCCCUCCAGGAAGCCUUCCACUUCCCAAGCGCCGAUAGUUUCUUCACCAAAGAUCGAGCUGAAUGAGUUAUCUUUCUCAUGGAACUGGUUUCAGGUCAUUUGGAGUUACGAGCUGAAAGUUACACUGAACAGAAGAGAAGCUGCUCAAUUCGGGUUUUAAGAGAUGCGACUGUAAGCUAAGUGUUGUGUCCUACCUCGGCGUGAAUACCUCGGCAUGUAUGCCGAGGAGGCAUGUUUACGAAGCCUUGGGACUAUACCUCGAGGUAGGACUUCGGUCUUUCAACGCCGAGGCUCCCUUGAUCACCAAAAUGAUCCCCAAACGACUAAGUGUUGAAGCAGACCUUGGUGUGAACCCUUCAGCAUGUUAUGCCGAGCUCCUAUGUUACACAAACCUCGGGUACCAGGCACCUCGGCAUGUAUGCCGAGGUCCUCAUCUCUCCAACCCAGAUCACAAACAAAUCCUCUUCACGUUUCAAAGCUUUAACCGGAUCAAAUGCCAAGUCUCAUGCAUGUUCUUCAAGUGUUCAUCAAAGUUUCAACCCAGCACAUGACCCCCUGGUGUAUGGCCCUCGGUGUGAGACUUCUUCAGAUGGCGAGGGGUGGCUCCAGCAACCCAGAAAGGGCGGGUCAGUACCCAGUUUUUCCUGGGCUGACCCGGCCCACACCCCUUUAUAUAAAUAGUUUUUAGAGACUAAAACCCUAGUUAUGCUUUAUCUUAUCCUCUAAUCUGCCUCUUUUUGUUUUCUCUCUGCUUCUUAGUGUAAAAACGAGUUUUAUCAAGAGAUAUCUAGCAGAUUUAAUCAUCUUAAAGCUGUUUCUUAUCAUCUAAUCAUCUCAUCUCUGCUUCUAAUCAUGAUUAACACCACCUCUUGCAAAGGAAAUGGUGUGUUAAUCAUGAUUAGUGAGUAGUUAUCUUUUAAGCUUCUAGGUGUGUAGAUUAGGGUGCUUAGAUGAUCGGUUUAUGAUGUUUAGGUUCUAGAUUCUCAUCUCCUUUCCUUAGUUAGCUGCUCUUAAUGCUAGAUCUUUGCACAUCACUCUGAUCUAGACCUUAGUCAUUUCUCCACCCACAAGGUGUUUGAUGAAAUGUCUGAAUGAGCUAAGCUAAGGGUUUAUGCCUUUUUCAUCAUGGGAAUGAUUUGUUAAAUGCAUGAAUGACAUAUUAGAACUGUUUCUUAAUGCUCACUGAUUCAUAUUUCACAAAUGAUGAUUUGGUUUGAAAGUGGAUUAGUGUAGAGAUUAAUGCCUUCAUGAGAUGAUUAGUCUAAAUUUGAGUUCUAAGUUAAUUGGUUUUGAGAUCAUGUGAUUGCUUGUUGCUGCUUUCUGUGUAAGAUUCGGUCUCCUUGAAAUAGAAACCGUUUGGUCAUUAUUAGACUUGAUACUUUAUGCUUGUUGAUUGCUUGAUCUUGCUUAAGGUGAAUUAAUCUUGAUUAAGUGAUUUACAAAGAGUUUAUUGUCAUGGGAAUGAAUUAAUCUGCUUUUGAAGUCUAGACUAAAGAGUAACUUGCAUUGCAUUAUUGUUCUUAGCAUCAUGAAUAAAUCUCUAAAGCACCCUAAUCAAUGAUCACAUCUAGAGGUUUAGCUUUCUCUUUGUUUUGAAUCUGAGUCUUUGUUUUGUUGUCUUGUUGCUUGUUCUUAAAUUACUGCUUGUUUUUUUGUUUACUUUAUAUUUUAGAUCACCUUGUUACCAACUCAUCCGCUUGUUAGACUUGAAUUAAGAUAGCUCCUCAUAGUUCUAGUGUCUAGAAUCUCUCCAUUUGGAUUGAUACCUCAAGUGCUACAAUGACAUGAGUAGUUGAGGAAUUGAUCAAGGAUUGAAAAAUUCCUGCUAUCAAUUUGGCGCCGUUGCCAAUUGGAGAGUUCAUUCUAGCAUUAGAACUUUGGAUCUUCUUGAGAUCAAGUCAUUGUUUUCUUUUGUUUUACUAAGCUUUUAUUUUCACCAUGUUAAUGUAUAUCACUAAGAGCAUGCAUCUCUUUGAGAUGAUGAAUUUUCUCUUUUUCAUUGUUACUAACUUGUCUUCCUUGAUUCUCUUGAGCUUUGAAAGGUACCAAAUUCACAAGAAGAGAAAUGGAAAGACACGUUCUAUUGAGCUGUUGGAGAUGGACGUCCACAAGAGCAUUAUUCCAGUCCCAAAACCGCAACAACAGCCACAACCUCCAGCACUGACCCAAGCUCCAAAGAAAACGCCAACAGUUGGAAGCUGUGACACUCCUUGUAGUCAUGGAAAGAGGUAUGGCAUCCACCCUCCUCCAAUUGAAGCUGCGGCCUAUGAGAUCAAAGCAAGCUUGGUUAAGUUGAUUCAAGAAACUAAGUUCUUGGGGUCUGGUAUGGAGAAUCCAUAUGAUCAUUUGGACUGCUUUGAGAGGUUGUGUGACACAUUUAGGACUGGAGGAGUGCCCCACGACAGUAUCAAGCUCAUCUUGUUUCCAUUUUCACUUGGAGAAAAGGCAAGCAAAUGGGAGAGAGCAUUACCAUCCCACUUGGUAAAUUCUUGGUAUGAUUGCAAGAUGAUCUUCCUCCAAAGGUUUUAUCCCAUACAAAGGACUAUCCAAGCUAGGAAAGACAUCUUGGGCUUCAAACAAAGAAUCCAUGAGACCUUUGAUGAAGCAUGGGAGAGACUUAAAGGCUACACUAGAGAUUGUCCCCAUCAUGGGUUCCAACAAGAAGCUAUUCUUAGUAUCUUCUAUUGGGGAGUUGAUAGAGAGCAUAAAUGGACAUUGGAUGCAGCUAGCAAUGGGCGUUUUGCGACUCUUACCAUAGAACAAGGAGAGUUACUUGUUGAGAAUUUGGCCAAGAGCAAUGAAAGAUACAAAGAGCUUGAUACUGAAUAUUGUCAAGAUGGUAAAACUGAGGUGGAGCUUCGUUUUCAGCAAGAGUCUGUUCCACAAGAGCAAGCUGCUUCAAAGACUCAAGAAAUGGAGCUGAACAGCAUGUUCCAACAACUUCUGAAGGGACAAGAUGAGCUCACAACAAGAGUAAAGCGUUCAUACAAUGAUCUCCACAACAAAAUAGAGAGUUUAACCUCUCAAGUGAAUCACAUGGAGAGCAAAGAUCAUGAAGCUGCUGUAAAGGAGAUAGAACGUGUACUCUUUUGUCCACAAGAAGUCAUUGCUCUUAGAGGUCUUUCUUCACAAGACAAUGAGGACAUUGAGCAACUCAGUGGAGAGGUGACCCUUGGAACUGAAGUUUUCGCUAUAAAAGACAUCCAUGGAGCUUCUAGAGACAAAGUUCAGAUUACUGCUGAAGAAAAGGCCGAACAACAGCUUCAGAAAGAAGAAAAAGCUAUUGAACCGCCAGCUUAUGUGUCUGUAAGUCUCUGUGAUGAGUUUCAAAACUUUGAGAUGACGUAUGUGGGGACUUGUGGAAUGAAACAGAAGGAUCAGCCGUUUGCUGCUUGUGAGAAAAAGAAAGAACACCAAAGAGAGCUUGAUCUUGAGUUCAUUGAUGGUGAGAAGUUCUUUAGUGAUGAUGAGGAUUGCUUGGAAUCUCCACCUCCUACACCAGGUGAGAAAGAGAUCAGCAGCAACAAAAGCAAUGGUUCAGAGUCCCAAGACAAGCGCCCAACAAGCAUUAAACCAUUCACUCUUGGGUCUUCUUCUUCUCAAGUCUUAGCUCUCACUCCAUGGAAGUUUGAUGGUGGAGCUGUGGAAUACAAAGUUAAAGGCAAUGUGAGAUCAAGACCAUUUGCCAAAGUCAGAGCUAUCCUCACACAAGAACUCAUAGACAAGGGAUCUGGUGGUGUCCAAGAGCUGAUGAACAAGGACCUCAUGCUUGAAUUCAUGGACAUGACAAGGAGCAUCAAAGCUCCUCCUCUCCCUCAUUAAGAAAGGUUUUACAAAGUCAAACUUAGUGACUUUAAACAAAGUGCUCUUGGGAGACACCCCAAGCUUAUCCUUGUACAUAUAUCUUUUUAAUCUCUUCUUUAGUCUUUCAGAACGUUUUGAUGGGUUUGCUAAGUGAUCUCAGAUUCUAGAAAGCGUUCUUGCUCAAUGGUUUGAAGGAACAAGUGCAGAGAGGAGCUUAAAGGUGGCGGCCUUAUGAUUCAAAGGAGCAGUGAACCCGACACCUCGGCCAAGCACCUCGAGAUGAUCAUUACCGAGGUCUCAUGUUUGAUCUUCACGGAAUAAAGUGCUGUGAGAAGCCUUGGAGAGCCAAAGCCGAGGUGUUCUUGAGCUAAUACCGAGGUGCCCUUGCCACUUACACAGAAACUUGUCCACCUCGGUAUAGAAGCCUCGGCAUGGCUAGGCAGAGGGGUCCCUAAACGAGCAUGAACAAAAAGGGACGCUUGAGAGACUUGAGUCCAAGCAGAGGGUUCAAAGCACCAGCAUCCUCCUCCAUGUCCAAUACCUCCAUUCCAUCAUGAACAAGUCUGGUAACUCUCCAAACUCAUUGUACAUAUGCAUCUAGUUCUUAAUUUUUCAUUUUGCAUUUUUCUUGCUUUUUACUUUCACUUCUCUCUUAUGCUUUUAUAACACAGAGGACUGUGUUAUUUAAGUGUGGGGGAGGAGUUUAGUGUUUACUAAUCAUGUUUUCUUUGAUCUUAUUUUCCACUUUGAGUCUUGAGUCUCAUGUAGUUGCAUCUAAUCAGAAAAUUUUCACAAAAAAAAAUGUUCAUUCUAGUUGCAUUCACAUUUUUAGGAUCGAGUCUAGUUGCAUCAUAUAGGUUACAUCUUGCUGGGAGUAAUGAUAGGUUUUCUAAGAGAGUACAUCACUUUGAGAACUUGAACUGAAUAUGCUUGUGAAUCUUUUUUUUGUGCUUGCAAAGUCUGAAAUGAUUUGAAUCUGAGAAGCAAGUUUGAAUUGAACUCAACUCUAAUUAAGUGAGAACCUGAACUUGACUUGAAAAUAUCUUGUGAUGCAUUGUUUGAAUAUGCUUGUGGAUACCAACAUACAUACUUGAGCUAGAACCAUUGUUUUUACCGCCCUUUUUCCUUAGCUCAAGUAGCUGAAUCCACAUCAUGGAUCAGUUCCCUCACCUUGAACCCAUCCUUCUUUCAAGCCAAUGUUUGUGUGUGAAUUGAAAGGCCACCUUGGAUCAAACUUAGCAGAAAGUGUUAGGUUUAGAGCGACAAGGGCAGGUCUCAUUGAGUGCUGUGUUCCAAUAUUGAGGAACUGAGAGUGUUGGCGAGGAAUAAGUGUGGGGGAAAAGACUUGUUGGUGAGUGAAAAAAGGUGAGAUGAGUGGAAAAGAGAAAGUGGAAAUAGCUAGGGGAAUGAAAGAAAAAGAAAUGAGUCUUGGAGUUUUGAGUUAAAGAAAGUGAGCUCUGGUGUCUUGAAAAGAAAGAGUCUAGCCCCUAAGUAAAAGAAAAAGAAAAGAAGCCAAAGAGCUCAAGUGUUUUGGAAAGAAAGAAAAAAAAAAAAAGAGGCUAGAGGUUGCAAAUAAAAAAAGAGCUAUGUAAAGUUUGAACUCCAAGACUUGAGAAUGAAAAUGAAAAGUAAGUCCCCUAGUGAGAGGAAAAUGAGUGUGAAAAGUGAGGUUCUUGAGAGAGUGAGCAGUGAGAAAGCUUUGAGUAGAGUGUGGGGUGUGAUGAGUCUUUGCCCCUGUAUGCAUAGGUUGCUUUUUACCUUUAGCAUUCUGCCAAAGUUUGAUCAUUCAUAGAGAGAUCCUUUUGCUGCAUUAAACCCGCUUGAACACUGAUGAGAUCAUUUUAAUCUCAUAGCCUCUCCCUAGCCAAGCCAGCUUGUUUAAACAUUGCAUCAUUUGAUUCACUUGAUAAAAGCUUAAUGAAUGUGAAAGAGUUGAGAAAGAGGAGAACUUGUGGAGAUUCCUUGUUGAGUUGAUAUAUAUCUGAGUAUGGCUUUGCAUUGCAUAAUUGAGCAUGAACUUGAAUUCUCAUUGUGAUCACUUCUCUCUAAAAGGAAAUAUGAACUCCCAAUGCAUUCAACCUCUCUCUCUCAUUUGUUCUUUUUGCUUGAGGACAAGCAAAGGAUAAGUGUGGGGGAGUUGAUAUAUUCAUAAAUUGCAUCAUUAGGUGUACAUAUUUUAGUCCAAAUCAUGUCUUAUCUCAUGCAUUUUAGGUCUUUAAGCAUUGUUUUAGGACUUAGGAGAUUACAUUAGGUCCAAGAGAGUUUUGCAUGUUUUGGAGUGUUAAACAGGUGCUUUUGGAGCCAAUUUGGAGUGGAGGAUGUGAUUCAGAUGAAGAAAUGGAGUUGGAAUGAUCAAAAAUGGUAAAAAGGAGCAAUUUUGGGUUUCUCGGCAAAAUGCUGUACUGAAAUUCGAAGAUCCUCGGCCAAAAUCCUUCCCGCGGGUAGCUUUCUCGGCCAAAAACACGUACCGCGGUCAAGUCUCUCGGCCAAAAAUCCCGGGUGCAGAUACAUUUCCGAAAUCGCGUCACCGGAAGAUCUUGCCGGCCGAUUCAGCUGUCGGAUUCUUCAUAAAAGUUGGAGAUAACUGAGUCAAGAGUUCAUAACAGUUGGAAUCAAAGCAUUUGGCCCACGGAUCUGAAAGAUAUGGUAAUCGGAAGACAGACCUCUCUCGCAUCCAUUCCGGAGCAAUCCGAUACUCCUGAAUGAUCGCCUGUCCGGGGAACCUUCCGGUCCGAUUCAGUUGUCGGGGGCUUCAUCAAAGUUGGAGAAGAUUGGAUCAUGGUUCCAUAGCAAGUAGAAUAAUGGAAUUCGGACGCGUGAGCAGAAAGUUGAGCUCCUCGGAAGAAACCCCUGUCUCGCUGCCGUCUUGGACCGACCCGAUGAGCUCCGAAGAAUGCGAAGGACGGCGCACUUCCAGGCAGAUUCAGUUUCCGGGGUCUUCAUAAGAAUCAGAGAUGUUUGAGUCCUCUUUCCAGAACGUCCAAGAUCAUCCAAUUCAAAUGUAUGAGCAAGAAGUUAACGUCUCCGGAAUGGACACAUGUCUAGACGCCUUUCUCUGAUCGUGUAAAUGCAUUGCGAAGAUGAGCCCUCCAGGAAGCCUUCCACUUCCCAAGCGCCGAUAGUUUCUUCACCAAAGAUCGAGAUGAAUGAGUUAUCUUUCUCAUGGAACUGGUUUCAGGUCAUUUGGAGUUACGAGCUGAAAGUUACACUGAACAGAAGAGAAGCUGCUCAAUUCGGGUUUUAAGAGAUGCGACUGUAAGCUAAGUGUUGUGUCCUACCUCGGCGUGAAUACCUCCGCAUGUUAUGCCGAGGAGGCAUGUUUACGAAGCCUUGGAACUAUACCUCGAGGUAGGACUUCGGUCUUUCAACGCCGAGGCUCCCUUGAUCACCAAAAUGAUCCCCAAACGACUAAGUGUUGAAGCAGACCUUGGUGUGAACCCUUCAGCAUGUUAUGCCGAGCUCCUAUGUUACACAAACCUCAGGUACCAGGCACCUCGGCAUGUAUGCCGAGGUCCUCAUCUCUCCAACCCAGAUCACAAACAAAUCCUCUUCACGUUUCAAAGCUUUAACCGGAUCAAAUGCCAAGUCUCAUGCAUGUUCUUCAAGUGUUCAUCAAAGUUUCAACCCAGCACAUGACCCCCUGGUGUAUGGCCCUCGGUGUGAGACUUCUUCAGAUGGCGAGGGGUGGCUCCAGCAACCCAGAAAGGGCGGGUCAGUACCCAGUUUGUCCUGGGCUGACCCGGCCCACACCCUUUUAUAUAAAUAGUUUUUAGAGACUAAAACCCUAGUUAUGCUUUAUGUUAUCCUCUAAUCUGCCUCUUUUUGUUUUCUCUCUGCUUCUUAGUGUAAAAACGAGUUUUAUCAAGAGAUAUCUAGCAGAUUUAAUCAUCUUAAAGCUGUUUCUUAUCAUCUAAUCAUCUCAUCUCUGCUUCUAAUCAUGAUUAACACCACCUCUUGCAUAGGAAAUGGUGUGUUAAUCAUGAUUAGUGAGUAGUUAUCUUUUAAGUUUCUAGGUGUGUAGAUUAGGGUGCUUAGAUGAUCGGUUUAUGAUGUUUAUGUUCUAGAUUCUCAUCUCCUUUCCUUAGUUAGCUGCUCUUAAUGCUAGAUCUUUGCACAUCACUCUGAUCUAGACCUUAGUCAUUCCUCCACCCACAAGGUGUUUGAUGAAAUGUCUGAAUGAGCUAAGCUAAGGGUUUAUGCCUUUUUCAUCAUGGGAAUGAUUUGUUAAAUGCAUGAAUGACAUAUUAGAACUGUUUCUUAAUGCUCACUGAUUCAUAUUUCACAAAUGAUGAUUUGGUUUGAAAGUGGAUUAGUGUAGAGAUUAAUGCCUUCAUGAGAGGAUUAGUCUAAAUUUGAGUUCUAAGUUAAUUGGUUUUGAGAUCAUGUGAUUGCUUGUUGCUGCUUUCUGUGUAAGAUUCGGUCUCCUUGAAAUAGAAACCGUUUGGUCAUUAUUAGACUUGAUACUUUAUGCUUGUUGAUUGCUUGAUCUUGCUCAAGGUGAAUUAAUCUUGAUUAAGUGAUUUACAAAGAGUUUAUUGUCAUGGGAAUGAAUUAAUCUGCUUUUGAAGUCUAGACUAAAGAGUAACUUGCAUUGCAUUAUUGUUCUUAGCAUCAUGAAUAAAUCUCUAAAGCACCCUAAUCAAUGAUCACAUCUAGAGGUUUAGCUUUCUCUUUGUUUUGAAUCUGAGUCUUUGUUUUGUUGUCUUGUUGCUUGUUCUUAAAUUACUGCUUGUUUUUUUGUUUACUUUAUAUUUUAGAUCACCUUGUUACCAACUCAUCCGCUUGUUAGACUUGAAUUAAGAUAGCUCCUCAUAGUUCUAGUGUCUAGAAUCUCUCCAUUUGGAUUGAUACCUCAAGUGCUACAAUGACAUGAGUAGUUGAGGAAUUGAUCAAGGAUUGAAAAAUUCCUGCUAUCAAUCCCCAUCUCCAUUGCCUAACCCUAGAAAAACAAAUUUUGGUGGCUCAAAAUCUCAUUACAGAAGCACACACCCGUUUAGGACUGCUAAACAAUGUAUUUAUAGGUCCUAAGGUCUUCCAGGUCUCAUUUAGGGCUUCUCUGAAGAGGAAUAGCGAAGUGGGCUUUGGUGUUGGGCCUUGUAGCUCUUCCUAAGGUCCACCAGGGGUGAGAGUCUUACAAGGCAGGUAAAACAUGUGUUUCCCGCAGGUGAGAGUCUUCCAGGACUGGUGAACUGGGUCAACUUGUUCUCCAUGUAUCUUUUGAUUGCACCGUUGGAUCUUUGUGAUGUAAAGUUCUGUGGAAAUCUGGUUGUCUCCUCUUGAUUGUCUCCAAAUUUGAGCUUGAUCGGACGGUGAAAAAGUCUUCAUUUGAGGCUGAACUUCUGACAGUCUGACUGUGAGCUAAAAAUGUGGAUUUCUUCCAUUUUGCCAUCAUAUUCCCUAAGUUUCCUGAAAAGAGCCUUGAAAUUAUAAAUACAUGGAAAUCAUAAUAAAAGUUCCUAAAACAGAGUAAAACCAUUGAAAAAGGAUUUGAAAUCAAUGGUGAAAAGUGGUCAAAAUCAGGUGUUAUCACAUAUUUAAUUAAAUUUGAAAAAUUGCAUUGUAGGACCAAUAAAACUUUUAUAUAAUUGAUCAAAAGAGUCUUUUUAUUUAAAAAACCUAUAUUACAAAAUAUAUCAAGUUUUAUGAAUCAAAUAUUAACUAAAUUAUAUACAAACAUUUUGGCACAGAGUUAAACAAUUCUUCAAGAUGUUCAUAUUGAAAAAGUGUUGUUGACUUUGCCAUAAAAUAAUUUGCUUUGUUACUCUAUCCAGUCGACUUGCUCGUCACUCUUCUACAUGUGUAUAUGUAUUUUAUUUUCCAUAUGAUAUUUAUGCGUAGCUCUUUUUUAAGAAAAUGUCAGCAUAUAUGGUCCAAACACAUACCAAUUUUUUAAAAACUUUUUUUUUAUCUUAAAUGGAGGACUGAUAGAAAAUUAAUUUGUUUUUGUUAAAGACACUUGUGAGUUCUCCAAUAUUCAUUAACUCCAAAAUCCUCCUAGAAGUUGCUUCUGUAGUUUCAUGAUAAUUAAUACAAAUUGAAUUUAAGUUCAGAUAGAAGGAUGUUUAGCUUGUAAAUCUAGAUUUAUAAAUUUAAUUUGGUUAUUUUGUGAAACAUAUUAUCCCACUAAUAUUUUUGAUCCAAGAAUUUAAUUAAAGUAUGAUGAUAUUUAAAUACACAUUUAAGAUAAAAAAUUCACUUACAAUAUAUUUAACAAGUUGUUCAACCGCAUAAAGAAAGUGGUUGGAAAGAUCACCACCCCAUUUUCAAAUUCCCAAAAUCAAACAUAAAAAAAUAUUAUGAAUUAGUUAUUAUGGUUGUUCAUUAUAAGACUCAUAUAUAGAAAGUUUAUAAUAUUUUCAUUUUCUUUAUUUUUUAAGUUUAACUUGUUCCCCAAGUAUUUGUAUAUUUAUACAUAUUCCUAAUUAUUCGUGGAAUAUGACGUCAAUUUCUUCCUUUUCUUAGCUCUCUCUUUUAUUCGCUACACGUUAUCCAUAUGAUAGUCUCUCUAUCUAUUUAUUCUUACACCAAAAACUAUAAUAUUUAAUUUAUGUUUAUGAUAAUUGCCUUUUUCCAAAAUGAUGGUUAUGGUAGGUUAUGCCUUCGCGAUCAUGAUUUUAUUGUAGAUUCACUAUUUCUUAUUUAAGCUUUACCUAGUGUCCAAAAGAAUAUCCACUUCAUUUAGAGGUUUUUGAGACCUCAUACAACUGCCUGAUCAAAUAGUAUGUGGAUCAGGUGGAUCCAUCCAUGCACCUACUUUGGCUAUUUGGGUCAGUUUCCUCCUUUUCUUAUCUCUCUUUUAUUCACUACACGUUAUCCACAUGAUAGUCCCUUUAUCUAUUUAUUCUUACACAAAAUAUAAUAUUUAAUUUGUGUUUAUGUUAUAUUAUUCUACGAUGAUAAUUUCUUUUUUCCAAAAAUGAUGGUUAUGGUAGGCUAUGCCUUCGCGAUCUUGAUUUUAUUGUAGAUUCAGUCUCCGCGGAACAUAAAUUUAGAAAGAUAGUUAUCAAUGCUUAUCUAGAAUAACGUUUAACGAUGGUUUAAUCUUUGUAUCUUAUUGAUUAUAGUUCUGUUAAAAUUCUUUAGAUAUGAAGAUUUGUUUAUAUAAAACAAAAAUAAUUUUAAUAUAAUCAAUUAGGGUUUUUGUAGUAUCUAUGUUUGACCUAAAUAUUUUUGAAAAAUCUAUGAUUGUUUAGUUGAUUGUUAAGCAUAUAUGAGAAGCGAUUAUAUAACUUUUAUUUUAUGAUAUAAGUUAUUAGGGUUUUGAUGUUAUAAAAAUUUACUCAGAUAUUUAAUUAUGCAUUAUAUAUAUAUUUUAAAAAAAUAAUAAUAAGUAAUAAUUAAACAAAAUAAAAUUUUCAAAAAACAAUAUAAUUUCAUAAAUAGUUUAUAUGAAAACAAAAAACUAAUAAAACAAAUAUUUUGUUGUUAAAUUAUGGUCGUUCUUGCAUUUUUUUCAUGCAAAAUUGUUGAUUAAACUUUUAUAUUCGAUUUUUUUCAACCAUAGAUGUCUCAAUCUAUAACAAAGUUAUCCAUUCAAUCAGUCUUAUGACAUGGUAGACCAUAUAUAUAUAUAUUUUUUAUCAGGUUUACUUCGAAAAACUUCAUUCAGCAGUGGAAACAAAAAUGUAAAUGUGGUGUUGACAGUUAUUCNNNNNNNNNNNNNNNNNNNNNNNNNNNNNNNNNNNNNNNNNNNNNNNNNNNNNNNNNNNNNNNNNNNNNNNNNNNNNNNNNNNNNNNNNNNNNNNNNNNNNNNNNNNNNNNNNNNNNNNNNNNNNNNNNNNNNNNNNNNNNNNNNNNNNNNNNNNNNNNNNNNNNNNNNNNNNNNNNNNNNNNNNNNNNNNNNNNNNNNNNNNNNNNNNNNNNNNNNNNNNNNNNNNNNNNNNNNNNNNNNNNNNNNNNNNNNNNNNNNNNNNNNNNNNNNNNNNNNNNNNNNNNNNNNNNNNNNNNNNNNNNNNNNNNNNNNNNNNNNNNNNNNNNNNNNNNNNNNNNNNNNNNNNNNNNNNNNNNNNNNNNNNNNNNNNNNNNNNNNNNNNNNNNNNNNNNNNNNNNNNNNNNNNNNNNNNNNNNNNNNNNNNNNNNNNNNNNNNNNNNNNNNNNNNNNNNNNNNNNNNNNNNNNNNNNNNNNNNNNNNNNNNNNNNNNNNNNNNNNNNNNNNNNNNNNNNNNNNNNNNNNNNNNNNNNNNNNNNNNNNNNNNNNNNNNNNNNNNNNNNNNNNNNNNNNNNNNNNNNNNNNNNNNNNNNNNNNNNNNNNNNNNNNNNNNNNNNNNNNNNNNNNNNNNNNNNNNNNNNNNNNNNNNNNNNNNNNNNNNNNNNNNNNNNNNNNNNNNNNNNNNNNNNNNNNNNNNNNNNNNNNNNNNNNNNNNNNNNNNNNNNNNNNNNNNNNNNNNNNNNNUGCCUUACUUUUGCUUUGGGCCAGUCAUGGUGCUAGUCGAAUAUAAAAUUAUUAGAGUUGUUAGCUAAACGUUGCUUUAUACUGAUUUCGUAUUCAUCGGGUUUGAUUGAGUUAACUCAUCCUAUAUUUGAUUAUUGCAUAAUUAUUAUGAUAUAGUUUGUGAAGCCAAGCAAUUAUUGCCUCAUCAUUCAGGCAUGCAUAAUUAGGAUUUGAUUGAUUUUUUCAUAUAAUAUAUAAGAUAUGGAGAUGCAUGUCAUACUUUGAUCUGUUCAGCAACUGUCGAUUGCAACUGAUGUGUGUUAAGAUCACCGAAAGCAUUUGUGAAUGUAAAAUAAAUCAGAUUAAAAACUAGAUGACCGAUAUAGAUGAAUAGACUUUUGAAAACCGAUUUGCUUAUAAGUUGCACAGAUUAUUCUGUUAUCAAAUAUGCAGUGUUAUCGUUGGUUAAAAAAGUCUUGUAGCUUUAUUUUUCCAUUCUCUAUCAUCGUUAAUAAAUGUUGAUUACGUGAAAAGAUUUGUGACUAUGGAAGAUUUAAUCUCUCCUCAUAAUUUUGAGAAAGGAGAACACUACCACCAGUUUGAUUUACCAACUUGAUUGUCCACCACUUGAUUUAAGGUACGCAAAUUAAUAUUAUUCGGUUUAGUUUUAGUUCCAAUAUUUAACCAUAAAGUAUUCACAAGUUAUUUAGAGCGAUUAAAAAGACAUGAUCAGUAGAAUGUGAUAUCACUAAAAGCUCAUUGCUUAAAGUUUCUUUCAAGAACUUGGAUUACCACUAGAAGUGAAAAGAUAAAGAAGUUAAUAUGCAAAAGAUAUAUCCCCCAUGUGGCGACAAAAUAAGCUAGUGUGAGUACAAUAUGAAGUAGUACAAAGAAUAUUAAAAGCUCCAGAAGAGCAUAUAUAUUUGCCCAUAGAAAUACUAUAAGAAUGAAAGAAUCAUUUUGUUGAUCUAGAGUGUUCUCCUUAGCAUGGAGAUGCAGAGAAUUACAAGGUAUAACUAGGUACAUGACAUCAAAUACUAGAGCACAAUAUUUGAUUAUACACAAUUUCCUUGAUUCUCAAGGAAUUUUAAUAUGAUGGUAGAUAGAAUAGCAAAAAGAUCCUAUUUGAUCCAAGUAUUCCUUUUAUUAGUCUUUUUAUUUUUUUGUAUUAACCUUAGUCUUCAGUUUUAUGUUCUUAUUUAUCUUGUACAGUUCCUGAAUAAGGAUUACAAUCACUAUGAAUCUAAUGGAAUUUGCAGAAGUAAAAAAAAGGAAAAAUUUAUGUAGUGUAAGAGCUAAAUAUUUUUCAAAUUUAAAUUGAUCUCAUAUUGUUUUUAUAAUACAGACCACCAGCAAAACAUUUUUUGGUUUGUAGAACCAUCCACCUAAAUUAGAUUUGAUUCAACACAAACCUUAACUCUAACUCGCUUUAAUCAAUUUAUGCGUGGAACAAAACAAACACUACAAUUAAAAAAAAUAGAUAUACUAUUCACACAUAGAAAACAAUUAUCUUCUUCCAAGGUGUAUCAUAAUUGGAUGUAAGAAGACUAUUUUUAAAUUGAUAAAUCCCUGCGUUUUAUUAAACAAUUUAUGGAACUAUACAAAAAAUGAGGCACACCAAAUGCCUAAAUAUCACCAUUCAAAUAUAGUCAUAUUAUACUAGACAUACAUAGAAGCUUACACUAUUAUUAGGAUGGAAUAUGAUUGGAAGUUUAAACCAGGUAUACAAUAUAGCAAAUCUUUGUGUGUUAUAUAUAUAAUGAUGGUGGUAAGAGUGAAAAAGAGUGGUGGAGGUAAGAGUGAUGAAGAAAAAUAUGGUAGAACAUUGUAAGUUAUAUAUAUAUAUAUAUAUAUAUGAAAGUAUAAAAUAAUAUUAGAUUUGAAUAAAAAGAAAUCAAACAUUAAUCUAAAACUUAGCAUGUGGGCAUCUGGAAGACUCUCUUUUAGUAUGAUAUUGUCUGCAUUCAAUUCAAGUUCUCAAGCUCGCACAGAAUCAUAUAAUACCCAAGUUCUCCGUUUGUGAUCCAUCCCAAAAGGCUUAUUACUCAGUAUAUCACUGGACUUAAAUUAUAUAUAUUAAACCAUUACUAUCUAGAUUUCUGAUGUAAAACUUGGAUUGAUAUCCUAACACAACACCUUAACACCAAACUAAAAUCAUAUGAUACCAUAACAACGUAAUAUCAGGUUUGAAUUAUAACAUUGCGCAAAACAACAAAAAAAAACAGGAGCCAUCAUGUUUUCAAGUCAUAAAUAAUGAUCAAAAACCAAGAAAAGUGGAUUUUUUGAAAUAUGACUGCUCUCAAGAUCAACGGCUCCACUAGUUAGAGGUCUUCCCUCUGAUGAAUUGGGAUGAUAAUUGAUGUUGAUAUAUAUAUAUAUAUGUAUUUGAUAUGAAAUUUAUUUGGAGUCAUUUGGAGAUGUUCUUAGGAAUAUGAUCCCAAACUACUGAAAACAUGUCUGUAUGGCUUGUAAAUGAAGCAAGCACUGAACAAUAUUUGCCACCAGCCAAUAAUGCAUUGGAGAGCUUCUACAUCCAUCAGAUACACCACCAUUGUUCAAGUGCAUCAACCCGUGUUCUUAGUCGAGAUCAAACAUCUUUGAAUGCAAAUUCCUUUUUUAACCCAAACUAAACCCUAGUUGACCCUAAAGCUAUUGAUACCUACUUAGCUACUUCCCAAAAAUGAACACAGCCAUAAUUUAUAACAACCACAAUUAUACUUUCAUAAUUUUUUGUUAAUUCAAGAGCUUCUCGGGAGAAAAUCUUUUGUACGUCUAAUGAACUUUACCAUUACUUGCUCAGUUUAAUGCAUGGUUUCAUUCUACAAUAACAAAUUAGCAAAGUUUAUUUGUUGCAAAACAUAGUGGUCGAAGCCACGAAAGUGGAAAAACUAUAAAUUCAUGUUUUGUAUUCAAGAUGAUUUUUACUUAAAUCCCUAACAUAUCAUCUAUCUCGGGAGAAAAUCUUGCUGUUGUAUCUCCAUAGAAGAUUUUGAACCGUCUUAUUUCUUAUUAAGCUUUAGCUAGUGUCCAAAAGAAUAUCCACUUCACUUAGAGGUUUUCGAAACUUCAUACAACUGCCGGAUCAAAUAGUAUGUGGAUCAGGCGGAUUCACCCAUGCACCUACUUUGGCUAUCUGGGUCUAUUUAUUGAAAGUUGUUUGUCCUUAUUGUUUUACUUGAUGUGAGAAACAUAUAUGACAUGCAGACGAUACAGUGAACUAUUCAAAAGUUAUCAAAGCAUUCUUAGCUGCCUAUCAAACAUUAUUCAUACAUCUGUAACAUAACUAUUCAAUACUCUAGGUGAAGCUUUAUCUAGUUUAGUAAUUUAAGUUCGAGAACUAAACUUAACCAUCUGCCUGCCUGAUUAUCUAAUUUGCAAUUUAUGUUUCGUUAAAACUAACCCAAUUCUUACCAUUUCCAUCCAUCAAACUUACAUUGUUUGCUUAAUUUUUAAGUUUUUAAUUAAUUUAUAAAUCCAAGAGCUUUCAUCUGUUUUUGCUUUACUUUACUUUUUGCAUUCUUGUUGUGUAUCACUUCUAUAAUACUAUUAAAAGGGAAAAACUUUUAAUCUUUGUUGCCAAACACUCAUAUUUUUUUUAAAAAAAAAAUUGUUUAUCUUAAUCAACCAAUCUAAAGUUUCAAAUAUUCAAAAUUUGUUUAUAAUUAUAUUAUACAAAAUAUGCCGGAGAGUGUUAGACUUAUGUUUUUAGAAUUGCAGUCCUAUGUGUAUUACUUUUUUAAAACAUGCAAGAUAUCUAUACCAUUUAAGAAGAUACAAACUUUAUAUUUCUGUGUCCAAAAGAAACAAAUCUAUACAAUUAAAUAUAUCUAAAAUAGACAAAUAUCAUACAAAUAUGGAUGGAGUUCUGGUAGGGAACAAAUACAAUUGGAAAAGAAUAAAAAAUAAAAGGAAAACAAAAUAAAAUCACAUGUGGCUUUUUAUUUCUUUUUGCAGGUGAGAUGUCUUCCAUGGGAUAUAUAUAUAGAAGUUCAUGAUUAUCAUAUAUAUAUAUUAUUAGAGAAGUUCUGUGAGUUUUAUCAUCAAGCAUUUAUAAAAUCAUACAACAUUUCUUUUCAAUUUCAGUAUAUCACUCUUUCAAUUACAAAUUUUGGGGAAAUGAUAAUCAGAAACUUCCAAGAUAUUUUGUUAGCUUUAUUACUUGAUUCUCCAUUUUCCAUUAUUUACUGGUCUUGCCUACAAUAAUUGAUUAAAAAAAAGUUCCAAUCUAAAAAAAUUUAUUGUAGUCAAAAACAGAAAAUGCAGAAAAAGAUAAUGGGAAUGGAGAGUCAAGUAAUAGGGCUAAUGAAAUAUACUAUAAAUCUAUGCAUCUUUAAGAGUAAAUAUGCUUUAUUUUUAUAAUUCGUACAUUAUAAGCGUUAUACAUAAUUAUCGUUUACUAAGUAUAUACAAAUUUUAAUAAAACGUUUGUUAUAAAACUAUCUUUAUAUCAUAUUUAAUUAAAUUUGAGAAAUUGCAUUGUAGGACCAAUAAAAAGAUUUAUAUAACUGAUCAAAAAGUCUUCAUAUUUAAAAAAACUUAUAUUAUAAAAUACAUCAAGUUUUAUGAAUCAUAACUUAAUGAUAUACAAACAUUUUGGCACAGAGUUGACAAAUUCUUCAAGGUGUUCAUAUUCAAAAAGUGUUGUUGAGUUUGCCACAAUAUCAUUUCCUUUGUUACUCUAUCGAGUCGACUUGGUCGUCACUCUUAUACCAUAAGACAAGUGUGUGUUUAUUUUUAUUUUCCAUAUAAUAUUUAUGCGUAAUUGUUUUUUACGAAAAUUUCAGCAUAUGGUCUAAACUCAUACCGAAUUUUUUAAUUUUUUUUAUCUUAAAUGAAGCACUUAUAGAAAAUUAAUUUAUUUUUAUUAAAGACACUUGUGAGUUCUCCAAUAUUCAGUAACUCCAAAAUCCUCCUAUGAGUUGUUUCUAUAGUUUCACGAUAAUUAAUACAAAUUGAAUUUAAAUUCAAAUAGAAGGAUGUUUAACUUGUAAAUCUAGAUAUAAAAAUAUAAUGCUGGUUAUUUUUUGAAUCAUAUUAUCCCACUAAUAUUUCCGAUCCAAGAAUUUAAUUAAAGUAUGAUGAUGUUUUACAAAAUAUUUAAGAUAAAAAAAUUCACUUACAACAUAUUUAACAAGUUGUUCAACCGCAUAAAUAAAGUGGUUGGAAAGAUCGCCACCCUAUUUUAAAAUUCCCAAAAUAAAAAAAAAUAAAAUUAUGAAUUAGUUAUUAUGGUUGUUCAUUAUAAGACUCAUAUUAUAGUAAGUUUAUAAUAUUUUCAUUUUUAUUAUUUUUUCAAGUUUAGUUUGCUCCCCAAGUAUUUCUAUAUUUAUACAUUAUUCGUGGAAUAGGACAUCAAUUUCCUCCUUUUUUUAGCUCUCUCUUUUAUUCGCUACACGUUAUCCACUUGAUAGUCUCUCAAUCUAUUUAUUCUUACUCCAAAAAUAUUCUUACACAAAAAAUAUAAAUAUAAAUAUUUUUUAUCUUAAAUAGAGCACUUAUAGAAAAUUAAUUUGUUUUUGUUAAAGACACUUGUGAGUUCUACAAUAUUCAUUAACUCCAAAAUCAUCAUAUGAGUUGUUUCUAUAUUUUCACGAUAAUUAAUACAAAUUAAAUUUAAAUUCAAAUAGAAGGAUGUUUAACUUGUAAAUCUAGAUAUAAAAAUUUAAUUUGGUUAUUUUGUGAAACAUAUUAUCACACUAAUAUUUCUGAUCCAAGAAUUCAAUUAAAGUAUGAUGAUAUUUUACAAAAUAUUUAAGAUCAAAAACUUCACUUACAACAUAUUUAAUAAGUUGUUCAACCGCAUAAAUAAAGUUGUUGGAAAGAUCGCCACCCCAUUUUAAAAUUCCCAAAAUCAAAACAAAAUUAUGAAUUAGUUAUUAUGGUUGUUCAUUAUAAGACUCAUAUUAUAGUAAGUUUAUAAUAUUUCCAUUUUUCUUAUUUUUCAAAUUUAGUUUGCUCCCCAAGAAUUUGUAUAUUUAUACAUUAUUCGUGGAAUAGGACAUCAAUUUUCUCCUUUUCUUAGCUCUCUCUUUUAUUCGCUACACUUUCUCCACAUGAUAGUCUCUCAAUCUAUUUAUUCUUACACCAAAAAUAUAAAUAUUUAAUUUAUGUUUAUGGAUAUAUUAUUCUAUGAUGAUAAAUGCCUUUUUUUCAAAAUGAUGGUUAUGUUAGGCUAUGCCUUCGCGAUCAUGAUUUUAUUAUAGAUUCGUUUUAAUCAAUUUUUGGGUGGAACAAAACAAACACUACAAUUGAAAAAUAUAGAUAUACUAUUCACACAUAGAAUAUAAUUAUCUUCUUCUGAGGUGUAUCAUAAUUGGAUGUAGGAAGACAAUUUUUAAAUUGACAAAUCCCUGGUGUUUUAUUAAACGAUUUAUGGAACUAUACAAAAAAUGAGGCACACCAAAUGCCUUAAAAUCACCAUUGAAAUAUAGUCAUAUUAUGAUAAACAUACAUAGAAGCUUACACUAUUAUUAAGAUGGAAUAUGAUUGGAAGUUUAAACCAGGUAUACAAUAUAGCAAAUCUUUGUGUCUUAUAUAUAUAAUGAUGGUGGUAAGAGUAAAAAAGAGUGGUGGAGGUAAAUGUGAUGAAGAAAAAUAUGGUAGAACACUGUACGUUAGAUAUAUAUGAAAGUAUAAAAUAAUAUUAGAUUUGAAUAAAAAGAAAUAAUACAUUAAUUUAAAACCUAGCAUGUGGGCAUCUGGAAGAAUCUCUUUUAGUAUGAUAUUGUCUGCUUUCAAUUCAAGUGCUCAAGCUCGCACAAAAUCAUAUGAUACCCAAGCUCUCCGUUUGUGAUCCAUCCCAAAAGGCUUAUUACUCAGUAUAUCACUGGACUUAACUUAUAUAUUAAACCAUUACUAUCUAGAUUUCUGAUGUAAAACUUGGAUUGAUAUCCUAACACAACACCUUAACACCAAACUCAAAUCAUAUGAUACCAUAACAACAUAAUAUCAGGUUUGAAUCAUAACAUUGCGCAAAACAACAAAAGAACAGGAGUCAUCAUCUUUUCAAGUCAUAAAUAAUGAACAAAUACAAAAAAAUCAAGAAAAGUGGAUUUUUUUAAAUAUGACUGUUCUCAAGAUCAACUGCUCCACUAGUUAGAGGCUUUCCCUCUGAUGAAUUGGGAUGAUAAUAGAUGUUGAUAUAUAUAUUUUUUUCAGUUAGCACUCAUAUGAAAUUUGUUUGGAGUCAUUUGGAGAUGUUCUUAGGAGUAUGAUCGCAAACUACUGAAGACAUGUCUGUAUUGCUUGCAAAUGAAGCAAGCACAGAACAAUAUUAGCCACCAGCCGAUAAUGCAUUGGACAGAGCUUCGACAUCCAUCAGAUACACCACCAAUUUUCAAGUGCAUCAACCCGAGUUCUUGGUCGACAUCAAACACCUCUGAAUGCACAUUCUUUUUUUUUUAACCCAAACUAAACCCUAGUUGACCCUAAACCUAUAGAUACCUACUUAGCCACUUCCCAGAAAUGAACACAGCCAUAAUUUAUAGCAACCCCAAUUAUACUUUUUAUAAUUUGGGUUAGUUCAAAAGCUUCUCAGGAGAAAAUCUUUUGUAUAUCUAAUGAACUUUAUCAUUACUUGCUUUUAAUGCAUGGUUUCAUUCUACAAUAACCAACAAUAGCUUGCUUUUCUAUCUCCAAAGAAGAUUUUUGAACUGUCUUAUUUCUUAUUUAAGCUUUACCUAGUGUCCAAAAGAAUAUUCACUUCACUUAGAGGUUUUCGAAACCUUAUACAAUUGCCUGAUCAAAUAGUUUGUGGAUCAGGCGGAUUCACCCAUGCACCUACUUUGGCUAUCUGGGUCUAUUUAUUGAAAGUUGUUUGUCCUUCUUGAUUUACUUGAUGUGAGAAACAUAUAUGACAUGCAGACGAUACAGUGAACUAUUCAAAAGUUAUUACAGGCAUUCUUAGCUGCCCAUCAAACAUUAUCCAUACAUCUGUAACAUAACUAUUCAAUACUAUAGGUGGAGCUUUAUCUAGUUUAGUGAUUUAAGUCUGAGAAGUAAACUUAACCAUCUGUCUGCCUGAUUAUCUGAUUUGCAAUUUAUGUUUCGUUAAAACUAACCCAAGGCUUACCAUUUUCAUCCAUCAAACUUACAUUGUUUGCUUAACUUUUAAGUUUUUAAUUAAUUUAUAAAUCCAAGAGCUUUCAUCUGUCUUUGCUUUACUUUAAUUUUUGUAUUCUUGUUGUGUAUCACUUCUAUACUAUUAAAAGGGAAGAACUUUUAAUCUUUGUUGCCAAACACUCAUAUAUAUAUAUAUAUAUAAAUUGUUUAUCUUAAUAAACCAAUCUAAAGUUUCAAAUCUUCAAAAUUAGUUUAUAAUUAUAUUAUACAGAAUAUAUGGGAGAGUGUUAGACUUAUGUGUUUAGAAUUGCAGUCCUAUGUGUAUUCAUUUUUUAAAUGCAAGAUAUCUAUACCAUUUAAGAAGAUACAAACUUUAUAUUUAUGUGUCCAAAAAGAAACAAAUCUAUACAAUUAAAAGAGAGCUAUUUUAGUCAUUUUUGCCAUAUACUCUCUAUUUUCUUUAUAAAUAAAACAAUCAUUUGGAAAAAAAUAUUACAUUGACCCAGAUUGAUGUAGUAUUAAUUGAAAAAGAGUAUUUUAUUUUAUAUUCAACAUUUAUAUUUAAAAUAAAUAUAUCUAAAAUAGACAAAUAUCAUACAAAUAUGGAUGGAGUUCUGGUAGGGAACAAAUACAAUUGGAAAAGAAUAAAAAAAUAAAAGAAAAAAAAUAAAAUCACAUGUGGCUUUUAUUUUUUUCUGCAGGUGAGAUGUUCAUAUAUAUAUAAGUCGCAUUCAUAUGAAGUGCAUCAACCCGCGUUCUUAGUCGUGAUCAAACAUCUUUGAAUGCAAAUUCCUUUUUUUAACCCAAACUAAACCCUAGUUGACCCUAAAGCUAUUGAUACCUAGUGGUCGAAGCCACGAAAGUGGAAAGACUAUAAAUUCAUGUUUUGUAUUCGAGAUGAUUUUUACUUAAAUCCCUAACAUAUCAUCUAUCUCGGGAGAAAAUCUUGCUGUUGUAUCUCCAUAGAAGAUUUUGAACCGUCUUAUUUCUUAUUAAGCUUUAGCUAGUGUCCAAAAGAAUGUCCACUUCACUUAGAGGUUUUCGAAACUUUAUACAACUGCCGGAUCAAAUAGUAUGUGGAUCAGGCGGAUUCACCCAUGCACCUACUUUGGCUAUCUGGGUCUAUUUAUUGAAACUUGUUUGUCCUUAUUGAUUUACUUGAUGUGAGAAACAUAUAUGACAUGCAGACGAUACAGUGAACUAUUCAAAAGUUAUCAAAGCAUUCUUAGCUGCCUAUCAAACAUUAUUCAUACAUCAGUAACAUAACUAUUCAAUACUCUAGGUGAAGCUUUAUCUAGUUUAGUGAUUUAAGUUCGAGAACUAAACUUAACCAUCUGCCUGCCUGAUUAUCUAAUUUGCAAUUUAUGUUUCGUUAAAACUGACCCAAGGCUUACCAUUUCCAUCCAUCAAGCUUACAUUGUUUGCUUAACUUUUAAGUUUUUAAUUAAUUUAUAAAUCCAAGAGCUUUCAUCUGUCUUUGCUUUACUUUACUAUUUGCAUUCUUGUUGUGUAUCACUUCUAUACUAUUAAAAGGGAAAAACUUUUAAUCUUUGUUGCCAAACACUCAUAUUUUAUUUUAAAAAAAAAUUUUUAUUUCAAUCAACCAAUCUAAAGUUUCAAAUAUUCAAAAUUUGUUAAUAAUUAUAUUAUACAGAAUAUGCUGGAGAGUGUUAGACUUAUGUUUUUACAAUUGCAGUCCUAUGUGUAUUACUUUUUUAAAACAUGCAAGAUAUCUAUACCAUUUAAGAAGAUACAAACUUUAUUUUUCUGUGUCCAAAAGAAACAAAUCUAUACAAUUAAAAGGGAGUUAUUUUAGUCUUUCAUGCCAUAUACUCUCUAUUUUCUUUAUAAAAAAAAACAAUUAUUUGGAAAACAAUAUUACAUUGACCCAGAUUGAUGUAGUAUUAAUUGAAAAAGAGAAUUUUAUUUUAUAUUGAAAACUUAUAUGUAAAAUAAAUAUAUCUAAAAUAGACAAAUAUCAUACAAAUAUGGAUGGAGUUCUGGUAGGGAACAAAUACAAUUGGAAAAGAAUCAAAAAAUAAAAGGAAAACAAAAUAAAAUCACAUGUGGCUUUUAUUUCUUUUUGCAGGUGAGAUGUUUCUGUCUUCCAUGGGAUAUAUAUAUAUAUAUAUAUAUAUCUAGAAGUUCCUGAUUAUCAUAUAUAUAUUAUGAGAGAAGUUCUGUGAGUUUUAUCAUCAUGCAUUUAUAAAAUCAUACAACAUUUCUUUUCAAUUUCAAUAUAUCACUCUUCCAAUUACAAAUUUUGGGGAAAUGAUAAUCAGAAACUUCCAAGAUAUUUUUUUUAGCUUUAUUACUUGAUAAUCAGAACGCGGGUUGAUGCACUUCAUAUCCUAACACAACACCUUAACACCAAACUCAAAUCAUAUGAUACCAUAACAACAUAAUAUCAGGUUUGAAUCAUAACAUUGCGCAAAACAACAAAAGAACAGGAGUCAUCAUCUUUUCAAGUCAUAAAUAAUGAACAAAUACAAAAAAAUCAAGAAAAGUGGAGUUUUUGAAAUAUGACUGUUCUCAAGAUCAACUGCUCCACUAGUUAGAGGCUUUCCCUCUGAUGAAUUGGGAUGAUAAUUGAUGUUGAUAUAUAUAUAUAUAUAUAUUUUUUUUCAGUUAGCACUCAUCAUAUGGAGAUGUUCUUAGGAGUAUAAUCCCAAACUACUGAAGACAUGUCUGUAUGGCUUGCAAAUGAAGCAAGCACAGAACAAUAUUAGCCACCUGCCGAUAAUGCAUUGGACCAGAGCUUCGACAUCCAUCAGAUACACCACCAUUUUUCAAGUGCAUCAACCCGAGUUCUUGGUCUAGAACAAACACCUUUGAAUGCAAAUUCUUUUUUUUUUUAACCCAAACUAAACCCUAGUUGAUCCUAAACCUAUAGAUACCUACUUAGCUACUUCCCAGAAAUGAACACAGCAAUAAUUUAUAGCAACCCCAAUUAUACUUUUAAUAAUUUGGGUAAAUUCAAGAGCUUCUCACGAGAAAAUCUUUUGUAUAUCUAAUGCACUUUAUCAUUACUUGCUCGCUUUAAUGCAUGGUUUCAUUCUACAAUAACCAACAAUAGCUUGCUUUUGUAUCCCCAAAGAAGAUUUUUGAGCUGUCUUAUUUCUUAUUUAAGCUUUACCUAGUUUUCAAAAGAAUAUUCACUUCACUUAGAGGUUUUCGAAACCUUAUACAAUUGCCUGAUCAAAUAGUUUGUGGAUCAGGCAGAUUCACCCAUGCACCUUCUUUGGCUAUCUGGGUCUAUUUAUUGAAAGUUGUUUGUCCUUCUUGAUUUACUUGUGGUGAGAAACAUAUAUGACAUGCAGACGAUACAGUGAACUAUUCAAAAGUUAUUAUAGGCAUUCUUAGCUGCCCAUCAAACAUUAUCCAUACAUCUGUAACAUAACUAUUCAAUACUAUAGGUGGAGCUUUAUCUAGUUAGUGAUUUAAGUUCGAGAACUAAACUUAACCAUCUGUCUGACUGAUUAUCUGAUUUGCAAUUUAUGUUUCGUUAAAACUAACCCAAGGCUUACCAUUUUCAUCCAUCAAACUUAAUUUAUAAAUCCAAGAGCUUUCAUCACAUAUCCCACGCGCAAAGAACUCGAAGGCGGAUAACCUAGCAAGGAGUGCUCGGAUCUACCCUCAAAAUGUUAUGUAUGUAAACUCAAUACCACCAGUUUGGUUAACCCAACCGUACUAGGUAAUGAGGCUGUUGACAAAAAAAAAAAAAAAGAUAUAUUAUUCUAUGAUGAUCAAUGCCUUUUUUCAAAAUGAUGGUUAUGUUAGGCUAUGCCUUCGCGAUCAUGAUUUUAUUGUAGAUUCGUUUUAAUCAAUUUAUAGGUGGAACAAAACAAACACUACAAUUGAAAAAAGUAGAUAUACUAUUCACACAUAGAAAAAAAAUAUCUUCUUUCGAGGUGUAUCAUAAUUGGAUAUAGAAAGAUUAUUUUUAAAUUGACAAAUCCCUGGCGUUUUAUUAAACGAUUUAUGGAACUAUACAAAAACAUGAGGCACACAAAAUGCCUUAAAAUCACCAUUGAAAUAUAGUCAUAUUAUGCUAGACAUACAUAAAAGCUUACACUAUUUUUAGGAUGGAAUAUGAUUGGAAGUUUAAACCAGGUAUACAAUACAGCAAAUCUUUGUUUCUUAUAUAUAUAAUUAUGGUGGUAAGAGUGAGAAAGAGUGGUGGACGUAAGAGUGAUGAAGAAAAUUAUGGUAGAACAUUGUAAGUUAGAUAUAUGAAAGUAUAAAAUAAUAUUAGAUUUGAAUAAAAAGAAAUUAAACAUUAAUCUAAAAUCUAGCAUGUGGACAUCCGGAUGACUCUCCGUUAGUAUGAUAUUGUCUGCUUUCAACUCAAGUGCUCAAGCUCGCACAGAAUCAUAUGAUACCCAAGCUCUCCGUUUGUGAUCCUUCCCAAAAGACUUAUUACUCGGUAUAUCUUUGGACUUAACUUAUAUAUAUUAAACUAUUACUAUCUAGAUUUCUGAUGUAAAACUUGGAUUGAUAUCCUAACACAACACCUUAACACCAAACUCAAAUCAUAUGAUACCAUAACAACAUAAUAUCAGGUUUGAAUCAUAACAUUGCGCAAAACAGCAAAAAAACAGGAGCCAUCAUGUUUUCAAGUCAUAAAUAAUGAAAAAAUAACAAAAAAUCAAGAAAAGUGGAUUUUUUGAAAUAUGACUGCUCUCAAGAUCAACUGCUCCACUAGUUAGAGGCCUUCCCUCUGAUGAAUUGGGAUGAUAAUAGAUGUUGAUAUAUAUAUAUAUAUAUAUAUAUAUAUAUAUAUAAUCCCAAACUGGUUUGGAGUCAUUUGGAGAUGUUCUUAUGAAUAUGAUCCCAAACUACUGAAGACAUGUCUGUAAGGCUGCAAAUGAGCAAGCACAGAAUAAUAUUAGCCACCAGCUGAUAAUACAUUGGACCAGAGCUUAGACAUCCAUCAGAUACACCACCAUUGUUCAAGUACAUCAGCCCGUCUUCUUGGUCGAGAUCAAACACCUUUGAAUGCAAAUUCCUUUUUUUAACCCAAACUAAACCCUAGUUGACUCUAAACCUAUAGAUACCCACUUAGCUACUUCCCAGAAAUGAACACAGCCAUAAUUUAUAGCAACCACAGUUAUACUUUCAUAAUUUGGGUUAAUUCAAGAGCUUCUCACGAGAAAAUCUUUUGUAUAUCUAAUAAACUUUAUUAUUACUUGCUCGCUUUAAUGCAUGGUUUCGUUCUACAGGAACCAACAAUAUCUUGCUUUUGUAUUUCCAAAGAAGAUUUUUGAACUUUCUUAUUUCUUAUUUAAGUUUUACCUAGUGUCCAAAAGAAUAUUCACUUCACUUAGAGGUUUUCGAAACCUCAUACAAUUGCCUGAUCAAAUAGUAUGUGGAUCAGGCGGAUUCACCCAUGCACCUACUUUGGCUAUCUGGGUCUAUUUAUGAAAGUUGCUUGUCCUUAUUGAUUUACUUGAUGUGAGAAACAUAUAUGACAUGCAGACGAUACAGUGAACUAUUUAAAAGUUAUCACAUGUAUUCUUAGCUGCCCAUCAAACAUUAUCCAUACAUCUGUAGCAUAACUAUUCCAUACUCUAGGUGGAGCUUUAUCUAGUUUAGUGAUUUAAGUUCGAGAACUAAACUUAACCAUCUGCCUGCCUGAUUAUCUGAUUUGCAAUUUAUGUUUCGUUAAAACUAACCCAAGGCUUACCAUUUCCAUCCAUCAAACUUACAUUGUUUGCUUAACUUUUUAGUUUUUAAUUAAUUUAUAAAUCCAAGAGCUUUCAUCUGUCUUUGCUUUACUUUUCUUUUUGCAUUCUUGUUGUGUGUCACUUCUAUACUAUUAAAAGGGAAGAACUUUUAAUCUUUGUUACCAAACACUCAUAUAUAUAUUUUUUAAAGAAAAUUGUUUAUCUUAAUCAACCAAUCUAAAGUUUCAAAUAUUCAAAAUUAGUUUAUAAUUUUAUUAUACAGAAUAUACUGGAGAGUGUUAGACUUAUGUUUUUAGAAUUGCAGUCCUAUGUGUAUUAAUUUUUUAAAUGCAAGAUAUCUAUACAGAUGCUAUUUUAGUCUUUUUUGCCAUAUACUCUCUAUUUUCUUUAAAAAAAAAACAAUUAUUUGGAAAAAAUAUUACAUUGACCCAGAUUGUUGUAGUAUUAAUUAAAAAAGAGUAUUUUAUUUUAUAUUCAAAACUUUUAUUUAAAAUAAAUAUAUCUAAAAUAGACAAAUAUUAUACAAAUAUGGAUGGAGUUCUGGUAGGGAACAAAUACAAUUGGAAAACAAUCAAAAAAUAAAAGAAAAACAAAAUAAAAUCACAUGUGGCUUUUAUUUCUUUCUGCACGUGAGAUUUUUCUGUCUUCCAUGGGAUAUAUAUAUAUAUAUAUAUAUAUAUAUAUAUAUAUAUAUUAUGAGAGAAGUUCUGUGAGUUUUAUCAUCAUGCAUUUAUAAAAUCAGACAACAUUUCUUUUCAAUUUCAGUAUAUCCCUCUUCCAAUUACAAAUUUUGGGGAAAUGAUAAUCAGAAACUUCCAAGAUAUUUUGUUAGCUUUAUUACUUGAUUCUCUAUUUUCCAUUAUUUAGUGGUCUUGCCUACAAUAAUUGAUGAAAAAAGUUCCAAUCUAAAAAAAAUUAUUGUAGUCAAAAACAGAAAAUGAAGAAAAAGAUAAUGGAAAUGGAGAGUCAAGUAAUAGGGCUAAUGAAAUAUACUACAAAUCUAUGCAUCUUUAAGAGUAAGUAUGCUUUAUUUUUAUAAUUCUUAUAUUAUAAGCGUUAUACGUAAUUAUCGUUAUCAAGUAUAUACAAAUUUUAAUAAAAUAUUUGUUAUAAAAAUAUCUAUAUAUCAAAUUUAAUUAAAUUUGAGAAAUUACAUUGUACGACCAAUAAAGGCUUUAUAUAAUUGAUCAAAAAGUCUUCAUAUUUAAAACAAAUUAUAUUAUAAAAUAUAUCAAGUUUUAUGAAUCAUAACUAAAUGAUAAAUAAAUAUUUUGGCACAGAGUUGAAAAAUUCUUCAAGAUGUUCAUAUUGAAAAACUGUUGUUGAGUUUGCCACAAUAUCAUUUCCUUUGUUACUCUAUCGAGUCGACUUGGUCGUCACUCUUCUACCAUAAGACAAGUGUGUGUUUAUUUUUGUUUUCCAUAUAAAAUUAAUGCGUAAUUGUUUUUUAUGAAAAUUUCAACAUAUGGUCUAAACACAUACCAAAUUUUUUAAUUUUUUUUAUCUUAAAUGGAGGACUUAUAGAAAAUUAAUUUAUUUUUGUUAAAGACACUUGUCAGUUCUCCAAUAUUCAGUAACUCCAAAAUUCUCCUAUGAGUAGUUUCUAUAGUUUCACGAUAAUUAAUACAAUUUGAAUUUAAAUUCAAAUAGAAAGAUGUUUAACUUGUAAAUCUAGAUGUAAAAAUAUAAUUCUGGUUAUUUUGUGAAACAUAUUAUCCUACUAAUAUUUCUGAUCCAAGAAUUCAAUUAAAGUAUGAUGUAAGCGAAUAUUUAAGAUCAAAAAAUUCACUUACAACAUAUUUAACAAGUUGUUCAACUGCAUAAAUAAAGUGGUUGGAAAGACCGCCACCCCAUUUUAAAAUUCCCAAAAUCAAAAUAAAAUAAAAUUAUGAAUUAGUUAGUAUGGUUGUUCAUUAUAAUACUCAUAUUAUAGUAAGUUUAUAAUAUUUUCAUUUUUCUUAUUUUUUCAAGUUUAGUUUGCUCCCCAAGUAUUUGUAUAUUUAUACAUUAUUCGUGGAAUAGGACAUCAAUUUCCUCAUUUUCUUAGCUCUCUCUUUUAUUCGCUAUACGUUAUCCACAUGAUAGUCUCUCUAUCUAUUUAUUCUUACACCAAAAAUAUAAAUAUUUAAUUUCUGUUUAUGGAUAUAUUAUUCAGAUCUGGAUAUUUUCAUUCUGAUUUGAUUAAGAUAAGGGGAAUAAAUUCUUACGGUAGCUCAUGGAAGAUUAUGGGAUUGAGAUGGGUUUGGAUUGACCAAAUCAAACGAAAAGAAAAGUGGGAUAUUCAAAGCACGGGAAGAGUCUCUUGUUGGGGGAGUGGAACUAGACGCUCUACAUGGAUGGAUUCGGAAAUCAACACUACAGAUACCCCUUCCGAUACAGUGAAGCAGAGAUUAGUCUCGGGGAAGGAAAGUUUAAGAACAGGAUCAAGAGGAAUUGAUACGGAGAAGAGAUCUAAGGAUUUCGAUUAUACAAAAAUGACAUCGGGGAAAUUAAUAGAGGUAUCACAGAGGAGAUAUCAUGAUUCUAGCUGUAGUAAUACAUGUCGGAGGUUCCCACACUAUAAAGAGGAGCGGAGAGGCACAAACCUUACUCAUCCCUCUCUCAUUCAUCGAGUCCAAAUUCUCUUUUUUCAAGCUUUUUCUCUUUCUCACAGUGAGGCGGUUCUUAUUCGGUCUGAGCAGAUGUCUCAAGGCGUGCUAAUCGGUGCUAAAGGAUCUCAAGUCGGUCAGACAGGUAUGGAGAAGAAGGUUGCAAUUUCACUAAAACGGAUGAAGAUUACGGUCCCGAAAUUUGACAACUCUAGUCUCAUUGAAGGAUAUUCACGUACCUUGAUUGGGAGGUGUAUGAAUCCUCAUCUUCAAGACAUGAAGGCGCUGCUGUACAUGCUUCCUCGGAUUUGGAAAGUAGAGGACAGAGUUGCAGGCGCAGAUUUGGGAAUGGGAAAAUUCCAGUUCAUGUUUGAUAAAGAAGAAGAUGUCCUCGAGGUGUUGAAAAUGGAACCGUUCCAUUUUGAUUACUGGAUGCUAUCUCUUGUUCGGUGGGCUCCGAUUAUUGAUCCAAGUUACCCUUCAAUGAUCAAAUUCUGGAUCCGCAUCAUUGGAGUUCCUCUCCAUUUCUGGGCAGAUGUUACUUUCCGAAGCAUAGGGAAAGCUCUUGGUAAGGUUGAGGAGGUGAAUGUAGAUGAUGGAAAAGUCCAGGUGAUCAUCGAUGGCCUGAAACCUCUGUGUUUUGAGACAGCUGUAGAGUUUGACGGUGGAGAGGAGACAACGGUCUUCUUGCGGUAUGAGCGGCUAUUUGGAUUCUGUAGAAUCUGUCACAGUCUCUGUCAUGAUCAACUGAGGUGUCCUACUCGGGUGAAUAGCGAUGGAAGGAGACCAGGAGAAGAUCAGUUGGAUGAGGAACAAAAUGGGAAGAGUCCGGCUUCGUAUAGAACAGCAACAACAUACGGUGUCAACAAGGAGUUCGGUGGAAACUUUAAACGGAAUGGCAAGUCACAUACGGUGGUGGAGGAGGGAAGACAACACAAAGAAAAAACGGAAAGGAGGUCUGGUGAGGGCUCGUCGAUGGUCUUUAGGUCACAUGGUUACAUUCCUCCAAAGGAUUUUCAGAAGAGGUCAUUAAGAUCAAAGAGUUUGGUCUUUGAAUCACACGGUAACAGGUCAUUGGAGAGCCACGUUCAGGUGUCAAAAGAAAAACCAAGAGAGGAACGUUUGGUGCAGGAAGAUAAACAAGAGGAACAUUUGGUUUCGGUGAGCCUCUUUGUGAAAAAUCAGCAAGGAAGAGUCUGGAUUUUGAGGGUGAUGACUUUCUUGAUUUUGACACUACGGAGGAAGAGACCACUGGGGUUGUGGACGCACUGUUAAGAACGGAAGGGGAGGCACGGGUUUUAGGAACAGUAAACAAAGAACCAGAAGGAAAACCAGAGAAUCACGAUGCUAUACAAGAGUUUUUACAACAGGUUAACAGCGGUUUGGAAACAGGGGAGCUCCAACUAAAUUUGGAUGCUGAGUUUGGAGGCAUGGAUCAGGAAGAGGGAGAGUUCGUGGGAAAUGAAAAUGGGGCUAUACCGAUGGUACAAGAUGGAUCAGAACAAGGGCACAUCAAUGAAGGCGAUAUCCAAAUGGCGGAGGAGAAUGAUGGUUUUGACGAAGGUUCCAAACAGGGUACAAAGAAGAAAGCCACGAAGACAAACUCAAAAUUUUUAGGCGGUGGCUCAAAGAAGAGAAUGGUGCAAGCACUAAUUUCCCCACGUAAGAAACAGGUGGCAAAGGUCAUAAACCGUAACGGAGACGGUAGCUCUCAAGGUGCUCCAAAGGGUCCAUCAAACCCGAGAGAGGGGCGGAAAUUGGAAACAAGCAUUAAUAAAUGAGAAUUCUCAGCUGGAAUUGCCAAGGAAUCGGGAGUCGCUGGACAAUAAGCUAUCUUCGGGAGGUUUGGAAGAAACACAGACCAGAGUUUAUGUUUCUCUCAGAAACCAAACAAGAUUUUUCUUUUUUACAAAAAUUUCAGUUUCAUUUUGGUUACAAUAAGUUGUACACGGUUGAGCCGUGCGGUGCAAGUGGUGGACUUGCCCUAUUUUAUAAUGAUUCUUUUGAUGUCACAAUUUUAUUUUCAAAUAAUCGGAUUAUUGAUAUUGAAGCGACUAUUCACGGAAAAAAAUGUACCUCUCAUUUAUUUAUGGGGAUCCAGUGGCAAAAAAUCGGGAUAGAGUCUGGGAAAGAUUAACACGUAUGAGUCUUACACGGUCGGAUCCAUGGUUCAUUAUUGGAGAUCUAAACGAGAUAACGGGUAAUAAUGAAAAACAAGGAGGCCCGUUAAGACAUGCUUCUACCUUUGUGUCCUUUAAUUUAAUGAUAAGGGACUGUGGUUUUUUAGAAUUCCCAUGUUUAGGAAAUAAGAUGUCUUGGAGGGGACGACGAAAUUCAAAAGUCGUUAGAUGUCGUUUAGACCGGGCACUAGCGAAUGAAGAUUGGCAUGAGGUUUUCUCACACUCCUAUGUUGAGUAUCUCGCAAUGAUUGGAUCUGAUCACAGGCCAAUAGUGGCUACAAUUGAGGAUAAAAUGACACGGAAAAAAACUCAAUUCCUUUUUGAUAAGAGGUGGAUAGAAAAAGAGGGUUUAAUGGAAUCUAUCUCCAAAGGUUGGGACCUCGAUCCGGGUGAUGGGGAAGUAAAGUUCAUGGACAAAGUACGGAAUUGCAGAAGAGAAAUAUCUAAGUGGAGAAAGACCCUUAAGCCAUAUGGGCAGGAAAGAAUUAACGAAUUAAAAAAGAUAAUAGAAGACAUCCAGAAUGAUGAUACAAGGACAGAGGAGGAAUUGAUGGCAGUCACAAAAAAGUUGAAGGAAGCUUAUAGAGAUGAAGAAUUAUAUCGGCAACAAAAAAGCCGCUCUCAUUGGGCGAAGGCAGGAGAUAAAAAUACAAAAUUUUAUCAUGCAUUGGUUAAACAAAGAAGAGCACGGAAUCGAAUUACUGGUUUGAAUAAUGCGGCAGGAACAUGGGUUACUUCAGAAAAAGAGGUUGAGCAGGUGGCUGUUAAAUAUUUUGAUGAGUUAUUCACCUCGACUUCGCCUACGGAAUUUGAUGAGGCAUUGGGAAAUAUUAAACCAUCAAUAUCGAGAUAAGUAAUGCAAUGCUCACGGCUAUGGCAUCCGAAGAGGAAAUUAAAAAAGCACUUUUCAUGAUGCAUCCGGAAAAAGCUCCGGGACCCGACGGAAUGACAGCACUUUUCUACCAACGCUCAUGGCAUAUCAUCAAGGCGGAUCUUGUACGUUUAGUCAACGGUUUCUUGGAGACAGGGGUUUUUGAUGAACGUCUAAAUAUGACAAAUAUCUGUUUAAUUCCAAAAACAGAAAGGCCAACGCGAAUGACUGAACUACGGCCUAUUAGCCUGUGUAAUGUAGGUUACAAAAUUAUAUCUAAAGUACUCUGUCAAAGACUUAAAAGGUUAUUACCGGACCUGAUCUCGGAAACACAAUCAGCUUUUGUGGCAGGACGGUUGAUUUCAGAUAAUAUCCUAAUAGCACAAGAGAUGUUUCAUGGCCUCCGAACUAAUAAAUCAUGCAAAAAUAAAUAUAUGGCGAUAAAGACGGAUAUGAGCAAAGCCUAUGAUCGCGUGGAAUGGGCUUUUAUUGAAGAUCUCUUGAAACGACUUGGUUUUGCGGAGAAAUAGAUAACAUGGAUAAUGCGAUGUAUUACCUCGGUAAAAUACAAAGUUCUAUUAAACGGACAACCAAAGGGACAAAUAAUCCUAGGGAGGGGACUCCGUCAAGGGGAUCCUCUAUCUCCAUAUUUGUUUAUACUAUGUACGGAGGUUCUAAUUUCCAAUAUUAAGAAAGCUGAAGAGGAAAAAUUAUUGACCGGUCUAAAAAUUGCACGAGCAAGUCCAUCGAUCUCACAUCUACUUUUCACGGAUGACAGCUUAUUUUUUUGUAAUGCAAAUCAAGAUGAAUGCCAGAAGAUUCUGGCUAUUCUGAAACAGUACGAAAGGGUCUCGGGACAACAAAUUAAUUUUGAUAAAUCUUCAGUUCAAUUUGGGCAUUUGGUCUCGGAAGACAUUAGAAAUGAUAUGAAACAUAGUUUAGGAAUUUCUUGUGAUGGAGGGAUGUGUUCCUAUUUAGGUAUCCCCGAAAGCCUAGGUGGCGCCAAAACAAAAAUCUUUAAUUUUGUAGCUGAAAAACAACAUGAUCGGAUCAAUAGCUGGACAUCACGAUUAUUGUCGAAAGGCGGUAAAGAGGUUCUGAUUAAAUCAGUGGCAUCCGCAAUGCCCACCUUCGUCAUGUCAUGCUUUCGAUUACCUAAAUCUACUGCGGCAAAACUAGCUAGUGCAGCAGCAAGAUAUUGGUGGAGCUCUGAUGGACAUCAUCAAGGUAUGCACUGGGUAGCAUGGGGAAAAACGUGCAGAGACAAAUCAGAAGGAGGUAUCGGUUUCCGAAAUGUAGAGGAUUUUAAUACGGCUUUACUGGCAAAACAAUUAUGGAGGCUGAUUGACAGGCCAACCUCCAUGUUUACACAGGUAUUCAAAGGACGAUAUUUUCGGAACUCAAGUCCUUUGGACACAGCGAAAUCCUACUCGCCGUCGUAUAGAUGGCGAAGCAUAAUCUCGGCUAGAUCUUUGGUUAAAAAAGGGCUAAUCAAAAGAGUUGGUUCAGGAUGCAUAAUUUCUGUAUGGAAUGAUCCUUGGAUACCUUCUUCUCGCCCAAGAUCAGCCACUUGUAAGGGGUUUAAUUAUUACCCGAAUCUUAUGGUUAAUCAUCUGAUUGACCCAGUGACAAACUCAUGGAAUCUGGGACUGAUAAAGGCCAUUAUCAACCCCGAGGAUGUGGAAAUUAUUCGUGGAAUUCCCAUUAGUAGAUCCUUUAGGCCAGACACAUUGGGAUGGCACUUCACAAAAUCUGGACGAUACACAGUAAAGUCGGGAUACAAAACUGAGCGAUAUUUCUCAGAGAGGAUCUCAGAGGUCUCAUUUGGCCCAGAUUUCAAAGUUUUACAAGCAUAUACUUGGAAAUUGAAAUGUGCGCCGAAAUUACAACAUUUUAUAUGGCAAGCAAUCUCUGGUUGCCUAUCAGUGUCGGCUAGGCUACGUACUCGGGGAAUACAAUGUGACACACAAUGUGCACGGUGUGGAGCAGCAGAAGAGACAAUUAAUCAUGUUCUGUUUGAAUGACCUCCUGCAUUACAAACGUGGGCAUUAUCACGAAUUCCAACACCCCCAGGGGUUUUUCCAGGGCCAUCGGUUUUUUCGAAUUUUGAUCAUCUGUUUUGGAGACUUCCAAAGGAGGAAAAAAACAUACAAUUUCCAUGGAUCGCAUGGUAUAUUUGGAAAGCUCGAAACGAGAAAGUGUACUCAAAUAACGAUAUUGAUCCAUGGGUUACACUAAAAAUAGCGGAAACAGAAGCGAAUUUAUGGGAAGAGGCUCAAAAUUCAGAACAGGAAGUAACACAUGUAGAUCUUGGUCAUACUACAAGCCUGUCUAUACCUAUAGUCUAUGAAGGCUGGUGGUGCUACAUUGAUGGAUCCUGGAAAGAUACGGAGCCAGUAACGGGUCUAGGAUGGUUUUAUAUUAAGGAAGGUGUUCCAGAGAAAAUAUUUGGGAGCACAAAAUGUAAGACGAAGUCUUACGCCUCUACACGCAGAAAUGGAAGCCCUUAUAUGGGCUAUGCACUGUAUGUUGGAGAAUCAAAAGAUGGAAGUCGCUUUUGCUACGGACUGUUCAGAGUUAGUGAAGAUGGUGUCUACACCCGAAGACUGGCCGGCUUUUGCUCUACACUUGGAGGAGAUAAUGAAGAUGAAAGACAGGUUCAGUUUCUUUCGUAUAUCACAUAUCCCACGCGCAAAGAACUCGAAGGCGGAUAACCUAGCAAGGAGUGCUCGGAUCUACCCUCAAAAUGUUAUGUAUGUAAACUCAAUACCACCAGUUUGGUUAACCCAACCGUACUAGGUAAUGAGGCUGUUGACAAAAAAAAAAAAAAAGAUAUAUUAUUCUAUGAUGAUCAAUGCCUUUUUUCAAAAUGAUGGUUAUGUUAGGCUAUGCCUUCGCGAUCAUGAUUUUAUUGUAGAUUCGUUUUAAUCAAUUUAUAGGUGGAACAAAACAAACACUACAAUUGAAAAAAGUAGAUAUACUAUUCACACAUAGAAAAAAAUAUCUUCUUUCGAGGUGUAUCAUAAUUGGAUGUAGAAAGAUUAUUUUUAAAUUGACAAAUCCCUGGCGUUUUAUUAAACGAUUUAUGGAACUAUACAAAAACAUGAGGCACACAAAAUGCCUUAAAAUCACCAUUGAAAUAUAGUAAUAUUAUGCUAGACAUACAUAAAAGCUUACACUAUUAUUAGGAUGGAAUAUGAUUGGAAGUUUAAACCAGGUAUACAAUACAGCAAAUCUUUGUUUCUUAUAUAUAUAAUUAUGGUGGUAAGAGUGAGAAAGAGUGGUGGAGGUAAGAGUGAUGAAGAAAAUUAUGGUAGAACAUUGUAAGUUAGAUAUAUGAAAGUAUAAAAUAAUAUUAGAUUUGAAUAAAAAGAAAUUAAACAUUAAUCUAAAAUCUAGCAUGUGGACAUCCGGAUGACUCUCCGUUAGUAUGAUAUUGUCUGCUUCAACUCAAGUGCUCAAGGUCGCACAGAAUCAUAUGAUACCCAAGCUCUCCGUUUGUGAUCCUUCCCAAAUGACUUAUUACUCGGUAUAUCUUUGGACUUAACUUAUAUAUAUUAAACUAUUACUAUCUAGAUUUCUGAUGUAAAACUUGGAUUGAUAUCCUAACACAACACCUUAACACCAAACUCAAAUCAUAUGAUACCAUAACAACAUAAUAUCGGGUUUGAAUCAUAACAUUGCGCAAAACAGCAAAAAAACAGGAGCCAUCAUGUUUUCAAGUCAUAAAUAAUGAAAAAAUAACAAAAAAUCAAGAAAAGUGGAUUUUUUGAAAUAUGACUGCUCUCAAGAUCAACUGCUCCACUAGUUAGAGGCCUUCCCUCUGAUGAAUUGGGAUGAUAAUAGAUGUUGAUAUAUAUAUAUAUAUAUAUAAUCCCAAACUGGUUUGGAGUCAUUUGGAGAUGUUCUUAUGAAUAUGAUCCCAAACUACUGAAGACAUGUCUGUAAGGCUGCAAAUGAAGCAAGCACAGAAUAAUAUUAGCCACCAGCUGAUAAUACAUUGGACCAGAGCUUAGACAUCCAUCAGAUACACCACCAUUGUUCAAGUGCAUCAGCCCGUGUUCUUGGUCGAGAUCAAACACCUUUGAAUGCAAAUUCCUUUUUUUAACCCAAACUAAACUCUAGUUGACUCUAAACCUAUAGAUACCCACUUAGCUACUUCCCAGAAAUGAACACAGCCAUAAUUUAUAGCAACCACAAUUAUACUUUCAUAAUUUGGGUUAAUUCAAGAGCUUCUCACGAGAAAAUCUUUUGUAUAUCUAAUGAACUUUAUUAUUACUUGCUCGCUUUAAUGCAUGGUUUCGUUCUACAAGAACCAACAAUAUCUUGCUUUUGUAUUUCCAAAGAAGAUUUUUGAACUUUCUUAUUUCUUAUUUAAGUUUUACCUAGUGUCCAAAAGAAUAUUCACUUCACUUAGAGGUUUUCGAAACCUCAUACAAUUGCCUGAUCAAAUAGUAUGUGGAUCAGGCGGAUUCACCCAUGCACCUACUUUGGCUAUCUGGGUCUAUUUAUGAAAGUUGCUUGUCCUUAUUGAUUUACUUGAUGUGAGAAACAUAUAUGACAUGCAGACGAUACAGUGAACUAUUUAAAAGUUAUCACAUGUAUUCUUAGCUGCCCAUCAAACAUUAUCCAUACAUCUGUAGCAUAACUAUUCAAUACUCUAGGUGGAGCUUUAUCUAGUUUAGUGAUUUAAGUUCGAGAACUAAACUUAACCAUCUGCCUGCCUGAUUAUCUGAUUUGCAAUUUAUGUUUCGUUAAAACUAACCCAAGGCUUACCAUUUCCAUCCAUCAAACUUACAUUGUUUGCUUAACUUUUAAGUUUUUAAUUAAUUUAUAAAUCCAAGAGCUUUCAUCUGUUUUUCUUUACUUUACUUUUUGCAUUCUUGUUGUGUAUCACUUCUAUACUAUUAAAAGGGAAGAACUUUUAAUCUUUGUUGCCAUUUAAAAUUUUUUUUUUAUCUUAGUCAACCAAUCUAAAGUUUCAAAUUUUCAAAAUUAGUUUAUAAUUAUAUUAUACAUAAUAUGCUGGAGAGUGUUAGACUUAUGUUUUUAGAAUUGCAGUCCUAUGUGUAUUAAUUUUUUAAAACAUGCAAGAUAUCUAUACCAUUUAAGAAGAUACAAACUUUAUAUUUCUGUGUUCAAAAAGAAAAAAAAUCUAUACAAUUAAAAGGGAGCUAUUUUAGUCUUUCUUGCAAUAUACUCUCUAUUUUCUUUAAAAAAAACAAUGAUUUGGAAUAAAAUAUUACAUUGACCCAGAUUGAUGUAGUAUUAAUUGAAAAAGAGAAUUUUAUUUUAUAUUAAAAACUUAUAUGUAAAAUAAAUAUAUCUAAAAUAGACAAAUAUCAUACAAUUAUGGAUAGAGUUCUGGUAGAGAACAAAUACAAUUGGAAAAGAAUAAAAAAAUAAAAGGAAAACAAAAUAAAAUCACAUGUGGCUUUUACUUCUUUUUGCAUGUGAGAUAUUUCUUUCUUCCAUGGGAAAUAUAUAUAUAUAUAUAUGUAUAUAUAUAUAUAUAUAUAUAAAAUAAUUAUCAGAGAAGUUAUGUGAGUUUUAUCAUCAUGCAUUUAUAAAAGAAAGAAUUAAAAAUAUAAGACAAAAAAUACUACUAUUGUCCCCUUAAUACUUUAAUUUUGGAAAUUAUCCCAUUAAUACUUCUACAACUUAUUUAUCCUCUUCUACCAUUAAAAUUAAAAUUAUCCUGAAUAAUAAAAAACUCUAGUAUUUAUUUUAAUCAGAUUAAAGUAUUAACAAAAAAAGGCCAAUUUACAGUUAUAAGUUUGCUUACAAGUGGGAAUAAACUGCGUAGGAAGCAAGUAUUCUUAAUUUGUAAGAGUUAAACUCUGCUAAUUGAAUGUCUUGCAUGAAAGAAACUCAAGAAAAUCCGACUUCAUGCUGUUCGUUACCAUAGUAAUGUGUAUAGGCUUACUGGUUUGUUUAUUUAUUUUGGGAAAUUUCUUGUGAGUUGUGACCAUUUUCUGUGGUUCUAAUGAAAACAUAUUUUAAGGUAGUUAGAACGAAAAAACAAGGAGAAAAGGUAAAAAAUAUGAAAAAACGUGAAAGUUUGUAGGUUGAAGGAGGAAAAAAAAACUAAGUUGAGGAGAAGAAGAAAAAAUUGUCGACAGAAUUUAGUUUCUAAGAAAAAUAUUUAAAAAAAAAUAAUUAUGAAAUUAUAUAUUUCAAAAAGGAAAUAAAUAUAUUCUCUAGAUUUGAUCAUAGAUUCUCGGAGAUUCAGUUAACCGAAUUGUAGAAUAGGUAUUCUAUAAUUGUAGAACAAAGAGUUUCCGUAGAAAUGCAAUUCUACUAAAAUGUAGAACAAAGAGUUAACUAUAGAAAUAUAAUUCUACUAAACUGUAGAACAAUGAAAAGUUUAUAGAAUAUGGUUUCAUAUCUUUGUAGAACAUAGAAGAUCUGUAGAAAACUAAUUCUAUAUUUUUAGUUGAAAACUAAUGAAAUAGUAGAUAGCAUAUUCUAUGAAUUAAUAGAUUUAUAGAAUGCACUUUCUACUAAUUCUUAAAAUAUCUGUUAAAAAUAUUUUUAAUUUUGUUUUGAACAUAUUAUGUUACGAAAUGUCUUCGUAUUUCCUUUUUUUGAUUUUUCCAAAUUUUUUAGAUUGUAAAACUAUUUUUUUAAAUUUUCAUAAUUAUAAAUAAAUGAUAUUUUUGUCCAAAAGUAGCAAAGUUUGAAAAAGUAUUAAGGGGACAAUACUACAGUUUUUUUGUCCUAUAAAUAUAAUUACCCUUUUAUAAAAUCAAACUACAUUUCUUUUCAAUUUCAGUAUAUCACUCUCUUCCAAUUUCAAAUUUUGGGGAAAUGAUAAUCAGAAACUUCCAAGAUACUUUGUUAGCUUUAUUACAUGAUUCUUCAUUUUCCAUUAUUUACUGGUCUUGCCUACAAUAAUUGAUCCAAAAAAAAGUUCCAGUCUAAAAACUUUUAUUGUAGUUAAAAACAGAAAAUGCAGAAAAAGAUAAUGGAAAUGGAGAGUCAAAUAUUAAGGCUAAUGAAAUAUACUAUAAAUCUAUGCAUCUUUAAGAGUAAGUAUGCUUUAUUUUUAUAGUUCUUACAUUAUAAACGUUUUACAGAUUAUCGUUUACCAAGUAUAUACAAAUUUUAAUAAAACGUUUGACAUAAAUUAUCUUUAUAUCAUAUUUAAUUAAAUUUAAGAAAUUAAAUUGUAGGACCAAUAAAAGCUUUAUAUAAUAUUGAUCAAAAAGUCUUCAUAUUUAAAAAACUUAUUUUAUAAAAUAUAUCAAGUUUUAUGAAUCAUAACGAAAUGAUAUACAAACAUGUUAUCCCACUAAUAUUUCUGAUCCAAGAUUUCAAUUAAAGUAUGAUGAUAUUUUACAAAAUAUUUAAGAUCAAAAAAUUUACUUACAACAUAUUUAACAAGUUGUUCAACCGCAUAAAUAAAGUGGUUGGAAAGAUCGCCACCCCAUUUUCAAAAUCAAAAUAAAAAAAUUAUGAAUUAGUUAUUAGGGUUGUUCAUUAUAAGACUCAUAUUAUAGUAAGUUUAUAAUAUUCUUAUUUUUCUUAUUUUUCCAAGUUUAGUUUGCUCCCCAAGUAUUUCUAUAUUUAUACAUUAUUCGUGGAAUAGGACAUCAAUUUCCUCCUUUUCUUAGCUCUCUCUUUUAUUCGCUACACGUUAUCCACAUGAUAGUCUCUCAAUCUAUUUAUUCUUACACCAAAAAUAUAAAUAUUUAAUUUAUGUUUAUGGAUAUAUUAUUCUAUGAUGAUAAAUGCUUUUUUUUCAAAAAGAUGGUUAUGUUAGGCUAUGCCUUCGCGAUCAUGAUUUUAUUGUAGAUUCGCUUUAAUCAAUUUAUGGGUGGAACAAAACAAACAUUACAAUUGAAAAAAUAGAUAUACUAUUCACAUAUAGAAAAUAAUUAUCUUCUUCCGAGGUAUAUCAUCAUUGGAUGUAGGAAGACUAUUUUUAAAUUGACAAAUCCCUGGCGUGCAUCAACCCGCGUUCUUGGUCGAGAUCAAACACCUAUGAAUGCAAAAUCCUUUUUUUAACCCAAACUAAACCCUAGUUGACUCUAAACCCUGUGUAGACACUAAGAUGCAGGAUCAGUUCUUAAUUCAAGCCAAUUGAGUAAGGUUUUGAUGUUACUUCCACUAAACAAGCUUAAAACAAGAAUUAAAGCUAAUGAUCAACUUAAACAAGCAAAUGACAAGUGGUAUGAAUAUGAGAUGAUGGAAGCAUGAGAUUCUAGACGUGAUAGUUGGCUAGGGUGCUUUGAUGCUAAAUCAGGAAUGCUAAUGACAAUGAUGAGACAUGAUUCAAGUGAUUUAAAACUCUAAUCUAGAUUAAUCCUCUCGUGAAGGCAUUAACCUCUACACUAAUCCAUUUUUAAACCAAAUCAUCAUUUGUGAAAUAUGAAUCAAUGAGCAUUAAGAAACAGUUCUAAAAGAUCAUUCAAGCAAAUAACAAAACAUCAUCAUGCAGCAAAUGCUUAAACCUCUAAAACAGCUCUUUCAGGAUCAUUUCAUCAAACACUUGUGGUGCAUGAAAUUUCCAGAAUCUAGAUCACAGCUUUUUAGAGAAAUGAACCAAUGAAUCUAGCCCUAAGCACUCCUAAUCUAACACCUUAGCACCCUAACCUACACAUCUAGAACCUCAUUAAGCUAAACUACUCACUAAUCAUACUAAUCUCUCUUAAACCUUUGCAAGUUAAGAUUAGUGAUGAGAAAUGGAGAUGGAGAAUAUGGAUAAUGAUGGGUUUGCAGCUUUAAACACAGAAAUAUCUCAAUCUCUCUGAUUAAAACUCACAAAGGGGUGGAAGAUGAAGAUGGAGAUGAUAGAUGAUGAUGGAUUUCAGCUUUAAACCCUAAUUACUCUCUUGAUUCAACCCAGAAAAUGAAGAUCUCUCUUACAAAGUUUAGGUUUUUCACAAAAGAGGCAAAGAAAACUAAGAGAAUAAAGCUUAGUCUGCUGGAUAAUGCCUAAAACAUAUAUAUAGGUAGGGUUUCUUGCUGGGCCAACCUAGGACAAACUAGGUUUUGGCCCAAAAAGGUCCACAAAAAUGUCAUGAAGCGAGAAUGUAUCGAGGUGAUUUUGGCCGGUGUAGGACGUCGAUAUUUCUUCGGCGAUUUGAGACUGGUUACACCGAGACACUACACCGGCUGAACUCACCUCGGUGCGGCGUCAAGGAUAGCUUCAGGGGAUUAAUACCGAGCAGAAUCAGUCGGUGCAGCAUCUAGAUAAUUAUUCAGCAAUUUGGCUUCCAAAAGCCAGCCAAAAACGUCAAGUUUCCAAGGUAAUACCGACCAGAUUUUGGUCGGUACUCCUUCUCGAUAUGAAUGUUGACCGCUUGCACCAAAUCCUUCAUAACUCCUUGCUCAGUUGUCCAAACCUCGAUAUUACAACUCCACGAACCAGAUGACGUACUUAGCUCCCCUUUUGGUAAGGGGCUUAACCCCGUAUGACAUUGGCAAAGCCCCCGUCUCGUCGGUUCUUUGAGGCGCAUCGCGUAAGACCUGAUCGGGCCGCGAGACAUGUGUUCCUUCCGAUGGCGAUAUCUCGCAGUUCACGGCUCCAUAUCGUCUGAUUUCAAGUGUUUCGGAAACUAGACUCAUUGCUCUUGAUCUUUUAUGAAGACACCGGAGGUUGAAUCGCAUUUAAUGUCCUUCGUCCCAUGCGAUAAAAGUGAAGGUCUCGUCUGCACCAAACCAUCUGUCCGAGUUGCUGUACACAGGCGAGGGUUCCUCUAUGAUCCCAGCUGCAAGUUUCUCCCAAAAGUAUCCAAAUGGCCUGAGAAUACUCCAAAAAUGCAGGACACUCUAGGACCUAAUGCAAAUCUUAAACAAAGCUAGAACCAAAGACAAACUCUAAUAAAACUAGCUAAAUGUAUGCAUGAGACUCAUAUUUGGACAAAAAUGCAAUCCUAAACAUGACAAAAUAUGAGUAUAUCAACUCCCCCACACUUGUCCUUUGCUUGUCCUCAAGCAAACAAGAACAAAUGAGAGAGAGAGAGGUUGAAUGCAUGGGAGUUCAUAUUUCUUUAAAGAGAGAUCAUCAUUAAAAGAAUUCAAAGCUCAUUGUUCAAGUUAUCAAUUCUAGACUGCAAUGCAAACUGGUUUACUCAUAAAAAUUAGCCAUACUUGUCACCAAAUGAACCAAACUCAAGCACCAACCUUCACAAGCAUUCCUAACCUCAACCUUUUGACAUUCAUUUAAAGUUUCAAGUGGAUCAUGUUCAUGCAAAUCAAGUGAAUUCAUUUGGCUUGGGACUGGGUUUUGAGAUUAAAAUGAUCUCAAUCAAGUAACUGGUACUCCAUGCAAGGGGAUCACUCAAAAAGUAGUAGACUUUAGUAAAAUGCUAAGGGUAAUAAGCAAUGGAUGCAUACAAAGAUAGAACUGCAUCUAAUCCACACCCAAAAUGCUUUUCACACUCAACUUUAAACCUCUCAAGACUCUUUCUCUAGUCUACUCACCCCAAAUGGCAUUUUGCCUUUGACACUCAAUCAGCUCUCAUCACUCUCUUCAUUUCAUCUCUUAGGGGAAUGCUUUCUUUAACAACCACUUAGUGAGUUUCUUUUCUUUAACACAUAAGCUCUUUCUUAAUCCAGCCUCUUUUUGAAUCUUUUCUUUUUGUUUCUUUUCAUGAGACUCUUUUCAUUUCAACACAUGAGCUUUACAUUUCAGCACACACUCACUUUCUUUCAUUUAAGCAUUCAUUCCCCUAACUAAUCCGGUUCUUUCCACUUUCAUCACUCAGAUUUUUUUUUCUUUUUCAGCUCACACACUCAAAAUCAAUGCUCUCACUUUAAUCUAAACCUAGACUAGCCCUUGAUGUUGGACUAGUGUCUACAUGCAGCACUAUCUUUGUCGCUCUAAACCCAACACUUUUUACCAAGUUUACUAGAAACAAGGCCUCACAAAUAAUGCACACAAGAAGGGUGUUUAGGCUUCAAAGAAAGGUUUGGCUAAAGGCAGGAAACUGUCUCAAUAUGAGAGAUCAGCUAUUUGAGCUAGCAAGAGUGAUUAAAAGGGAUAAGAAAGCUCAAAUAUGUAUGUGGUACCCAUGAACUCACAAUGAUAUGCACAAACAUGAUAAUUAGAUGUCAAAUUCAAGGGUUCUCACUUAAGCAAGGUUGAGGCUAUUCACAACUUGAUUCAGCUAGCACAGAAGUUUUGAGACACCAGUUCAAAGCAUGGUUCACACUUGAUUUCAUACCAGUUUUGCAAUGCAUUAAAGGACCAAACUCUUAAAAUGAUGCUCUCUUCAAGAAAAAACCUAUCAUUACUCCCAUUUGCAUAUGAUGAAACCUAUAUGAAAAUGCAAACUAGACUCAACCUAAAAUGUGAAUGCAACUACAUGAGAAUGAAGGAGAAGUGCAAAGCAAAAUCACAAAAUGUAAAGAGAAUAUAAGCUAAGCUAGAUGCGUCCCUCUUGGCUCUGACCUCGUCUUCCUCUGACUCUGGUGGUGAAUGGUUCUCUGAUCCGCAGAUUCUAAGUAACUCCCCUUGGUGAGAGCUCUCGCCAACUUUUCCUCUUUGGAACCUCUCAAGCUUUGUACUCAGCUUCUUGAUUUUAGCAGCCAUGCUCUUAAUUGUGCUUGCCAAAGUUUUCACUGUUUCCACCAGCUUCUUGGUGUUCUUGUCCUGCCACUUGUUCCAACUCUGAAGGUUCUUGGUUUGGUAAUGUGCAGCAACAGUGGCAUCAUGGGCAUCUGACCAUCAUAAGAAUCAAAGAAGUAUCUAUGACUCCCAUACACUGGGUCUGGCAAGAAGGGCUCUUCCUGAACCGGUUCUUGAUCUCCAUCAUAAUCAUUAGCAGGCGCUCUCUGCUUCCCCAACUUCCUGAUAGUUAUAAUCGGAGGAUGGAUCUCUGGGUUGUAGUGCUGAUCCUUGGUGACAUAGAAACUGAUGUUUUUACGUUCAGUGAGUGAAGUGAGGGAAGGAUUAGGCAGCAGGACUCUUACUUUAACCUUCUUAUCAAUGCUAAGGUUAUAAGCAAAGGAAUCACCCACAGCACCUUCAAGAAAUGUAGUCUUGGCCAAAUGAAGUGCAUCCAUCAACUUAAAACCGAUUUGUUCACCUCUCAUCUCAACUCCAGCACUCAGUAAAAUAGGAGUGAUCAGGCCUCCUAUGCGCAUGGAGGGUGCCUUCAUUUUUGUGACAUGAGACCAUUUCCUAAUUGAGAGAAGGUUCUUGACUAAAAUGGCCGCCAUUGUUGGUUUGUGAGGAUCGCCGUUAAAAGUCAUGCCACUGCUGAACUUAGGCAUCAAGGGUUUAAGACCUUCUCCAAUGAGCAUCAACUCCUCAUCAUACACUGUUGAGUACUCUUUCUUUCCAAGGAAGGUGUGAGCUAUGAUCUUGUGCACCAUCCUGAGCACUGGACUCCUGAUACAAGCUGCCUUUGUUACACCAGCUGAAUAAUCACCACUUCCUAUUGUCCCCCAUAGCUGAUCCAGGUCGGUUCCAUAGUAGAUCAACCUUCUUGAAAACGUCCUCCCCUCAACAGUGAACCCAAAGCAUUCACUUAUCUCCCUGAAGGUCAUCUCAUAACGCUCCUGUCCAAUUUUGAAUGCAACGGUUCCAAUCUCUCUAUAGAAAUCAACCUGUAGUGAUGCAAGAAAUUGGCAAGUCAUCUCUUUGUAGGAAGGGUGAGGCGUUUCUAUUAAGCUCCCAAGUCCAAUGGAUUGAAGCACUGCCUUUACAUCUUCAAGAAUACCAAGUUUCCCCAAGAGUUCAAGAUCAGGGAAGUAGGUUCCUUCAUGUGCCACAGCUUGGAGUUUUCUGAGAUAGUCUGAGUAAGCCGGAGGUUUUGGCUUUGGCUUCUUCACCACCUUCUUUUUCUUUUGGGGCACAACAGCUGGUGAACCCACAUUGCUCUCUUCCUCACUAGAUUCCACACUUGGGCUCCUCUCAAGUCUUUUAUGUUUCCCUGAAGCUCUUGAGCUUGAAGCUCUUAAAGCUGCUGCUUUCCCUUUGUUUUUAGAACCAGCAGAAACCGAUUGUGGUCUUUCCCCUGAACCAGAAGCAACUGCCUUGCCAUUGUCUCUCCUUGGUACUUUGGGCAUCAAAACAGGGUUUCCUCUUGCCAUGGUACCUGUUUCAACAAUUUCUCAAACAAACAAUGAGUUUCUAGAGAAAAAAAUCCUUGAAAUUUCCAAAAUGAUUUUUGCUUGGAAUGAAAUCAAUGGAAACAAUUCAAGCAAAAUCACAUUAAGCAUUCCCAAGCAGCACCAAGAGAUUCUCACUUCAAAAUAAUUUUCUAAAAUCCAAAUUUCAGCUCAAGAACAACAAGUUCUAAAGAGAGUCUAAAAUCAGGAUUCAAGAAACAAUUGGGCACAAGUGAGCUCGUUUCUAGCUACCCACGACCUAAACUCCAAGGUUCUAACUCAGUUUCAAGCAGUGCAUUUUCAGUUCCACAAAAAUUUCUUCAAGAAAAAUCAAGAGAACAGCGAUUUAGGGUUUUUGAACCUAAGAAGCAAUUUAAGCAAAAUGUACCUUGGAGCUGGGUUAACUGGUGCAAGAAAUCGAAAUGGGGCAAAGAAAUCUCCAGGAAAAUCGAUUAACAAGCAAGAAAUCAAGCUUUCUGAAAGCAACAAUGGUGUUUCUUCGCAAAAGUGGAGGAAGGAAAGAGAAAACCGAUUUUCUGUGUGUGGACCAGGGCUGGAGGGUCUCUUUUCUGUCGUGGGAAACAGCUGGAAGUGGCUGAAAUCUUUGAAUUUGACUGAUCCACCCUGCGGACCGCUGGACAAUAGACUGCACCAUGGUCAUACCGACUUGAUUUUGCUCGGUGUGGGAGGUCGGUGUGCUCUCAAGUUUCUUCCCUUUCUACACCGAGUUCUUGCACCAGGCAGAAUCACCUCGCUGUGAGACAAGACUCGGCUCCUUCCUGCACUGCACCGACCUCAUUUUGCUCGGUGUAUCUGGUCGAUAUUUUCGCGGCAUUUUGAACUUGUUUACACCGAGCAAAUGCACUGAGUGAAAUCACCUUGGUGUGAGGUAUCCUUUGCCAUCUUGUGCUCCAACACCGACCUCUCCUUGCCCGGUUUAACUGGUCGAUAUUUUCUCGGCCUUUUGAACCUGUUACACCGAGCAAACACACCAAGGGAAACCAUGUCAAUAUGAAUGCAUUCCUCAGCCCAUUUUUCAUCUUUUCUCUUCUCCAAUCCUUUCAAAACUGCACCUGGACCUUUCUAAAACCUGUACACACUUGAACAAAAGAUUAAAACAUCCUAAAAGCAAUCAAAGAAGGCAGGAAAAGAAACUAUAUACAAGGAUAAGCUUGGGGUGUCUCCCAAGAGCACUUUGUUUAAAGUCUCUAAGUUUGACUUUGAUACCAAGUUUAUGCUGAUGGUGGAUCAAAAAGGGGAACUGAUGUAGCUUGCUCCUUCUUUUGUGAGACUAGGUAGUGCUUGAUCCUUUGGCCAUUGACCACAAACUCUUGAUCAUCUUUACCUUCUAACACAACAGCUUCAUAUGACCUAACUUCAAGAAUCUUAAAGGGACCAGACCAUCUAGACUUAAGUUUUCCAGGAAAUAACUUAAGCCUAGAGUUGAAAAGCAACACCAGAUCACCUUCCUUGAACUCCCUUUUCAAUAUAUUUUGAUCAUGUAGAGCUUUGGUCUUUUCCUUAUAGAUCUUGGAGCUCUCAAAAGCCCCCAACCUAAUCUCUUUAAGUUCAUGGAGUUGAAUUAUUCUUUUCUCUUGAGUUGUUUUGAUAUCAAAGUUCAGCAACUUCACAGCCCAUAAUGCCUUGUACUCCAGCUCAACAGGAAGGUGACAGCUCUUCCCAUAUAGCAGAUUGAAAGGAGAUGUCCCAAUUGGAGUCGUAAACGCUGUUCUAUAAGCCCACAAUGCAUCAUCCAGCCUUUUGCUCCAAUCUUUUCUGCUUGAGCUAACAGUCCUCUCAAGAAUGGCCUUAAUUUGUCUAUUAGACACUUGAACCUGGCCACUAGUUUGAGGAUGAUAAGGAGUAGCUACCUUAUGUUUCACUCCAUGCUUCCUCAGCAAUCCCUCGAAGGUUUUGUUCACAAAAUGAGAACCUCCAUCAGAUAUAACAACCCUUGGUACUCCAAAUCUUGGGAAGAUUAUGUUCUCGAACAACCUGACCACCACCUUGGAAUCAUUGGUAGGGGAAACAAUAGCCUCAACCCAUUUGGACACAUAGUCCACAGCCACUAAUAUGUACUGAUUCCCAAAAGAUGAGAUGAAUGGCCCCAUAAAGUCCACUCCCCAACAAUCAAAAAUUUCAACCUCAAAUAUUGGAUUUUGAGGCAUUUCACUCCUCUUUGAAAUGUUCCCAUGCCUCUGACAGGAAUCACAUGCUGAAACAACCCUCUAAGCGUCCUUGAACAUAGUAGGCCACCAAAACUCACUCUGAAGAACCUUGGCCACUGUCUUGAAUGCUCCCAUUUGACCCCUAAAAGCUGAUCCAUGGCACUCUUGCAACACAGGUUGCAUCUCCUCUUCAGCAAGACACUGUCUAUACAGCUGAUCUUUGUUCAGGACAUACAGGUAAGGUUCAUCCCAAUGGUAUCUUUGGACAUCUUUGAAGAAUUUCUUUCUGUAGUAAGCAUCACUACAAAAAAAAGUGAAUAUUGUUAUGAAAAGUUGUGACUAUUUUUUUUUGUAACAAUUUUGUUACGAUUUUCAUACGAAACCGUGACAAAAUUAUUUAGUCAUAAAAGUGUUACCAUUUCGUCAUAAUAUUGUGACCGAAUUAAAAGUAGCAAACUUUUGUCACUAAUUGUGACAUAAUUGUUACAUAAUAUAUAGUAACAAAUAUUGCUACAGAUUUGUGACCAAAUUUAGUAACUAAAUUAUACGAUUUUUGUGACUAAACUUAAGUCACUCAAAGUUACAAAUUUUUUGUAAGUACAUCAUCACAAUUAGUUACUAUUUAUUCACUUUUAAGUUUGGUCAUAGAUUAUGACAUAAUUGUUACCACUUUAUGACAUAACUGUUACCACUUUGUGACAAGAUUAAAUCACAAGUUUAUUUAAAAAUAAAUAAGAAAAUAGCUUUAAUUCAGAUAAACAUCCAAAAAUCCAAUUGAAUGAAUUUCUUAUUCGAUUUUAUUUUUAUUUUAUCUAAAAACUUGUAUCUGACGUAGUGUUGUUGAAGAAAACAAUGUGUAUUGCUGAUUUUGAGAAUUCGAAGAUGCUGUUGUAGUAACCCGCGCCUUGGUUUAUAGUCCUUAACUAGACUUAGCUAGAAUUUGCAAAGGUAGACUUUACAAAUAAGUACCUAAAAUGGGUUGCCUCCCAUCAAGCGCUUUGGUUUAUAAUCCUUAGCUAGACUUUGCAAAGAAAAAGACUUAGUUCAAAUAGGAUCUUGUCCUAAGAGAAGUCCUUUUCAAAAUCCUCCUGUUCUGUCUGACAGGUUCUUCAUCACUCCAGAGUUCUUCUGGUUCAAAUGCCUGGGCUAUUUGCUCUCCUCUUUUGCUCUUAAGUGGUGUAGCUUCAUAGAAGAUGUCCUUGUCGAUAUUGGCAAAGGAAACUCACCUGUUGGGCCAAUCCAUGAUGGCUCCAGCAGUUGCUAAGAAAGGCCAUCCAAGAAUAACUGGAUAAGAGUCAUCUUUGGUCUUCACUAUGUAUAAAAAGACAGGUGCCAUGCAAUUUCCAAUCCUUAGAGGAAUGUCUCGGGCUAUCCCUCUUGGUGUUGCACUUGAAUCAUCUGCUAAGCUAAUCUUUGUCCUGAUACUUGAGAUGUGCUUAAUGCCAAGUCUCAAAGCAGUUGCUUUGGAAAUCAUGUUAAUGCAAGCUCCAGAAUCACAAAGAAUAUUGAGGAAUCUUUCAACUCUAAUGUCACAAGAGAUAAGAAAUUGACCUUUGUCUUGAACUUUGUGCAGAGUUCGAACUGGUCUUUCCUGUGGAUGAUCUGGUGCCUCAAAUGCAGAAUAAGAAUCACAAUAGAACUUGGCAGCAUCAAACUCGAUGAUUGAAUCUAUGUAUGGCAUUUUGAUUCUCUUAUGUGAUUCAUCCUCCACAUCUAUGACAUCUGGUUCUUCUUCUGUGAUCUUCAUGCAUGGGAUGUAAGAGUCAUGCUCUUCUGGUUUGUCAGGCUCUCGGUGAUGCAGACUUGGAGCGAGAUGGCGGUUCCCCGCGGGUGGAGACGUCACAUCCGCGGCUGAGAGGGAUCCGGCCGCGGGUGAAACUCUCGCAGCCGCGUUGAGGAUAGGCUUGGCCAGCUGAAGUCCUCGCGGCCGCGGUAUUGAACUCCGAAGGUUGCUCUGCUGCUUCUACUUCUUGCUCUUCCAGGAUUUCUGCAGGGUUAUUCUGAGUGUCCAUUGUGGGAUCUCCUAAAUCAGAAUUGGUUGGUUCUUCUUCUUUUUGCGGACCAUGAACAAGAGAAUCCUUCUCAUGAUUCUCAAAGAUCUUCCUCACAACAAGGUUGGUGUCUCUUUGGCACUUAGAGAGAUGCUUGAUGCCAGAACUAGUUUCCAUGCUCUUGUGCUCAAGCUUGCUAAGGCGAAAUUCAAUCUCUUGAAGUUCACCAUCUUUCUUUCCUCUGUACCAUGAAGCGAUUUCAUUGGACUCCUUGAUCUCUAACUUAGCAGCCUUGGCAUCGAUGGAUCCUUGAAGGAUAUCAUACUUCUGUCUUGGCUGCUCUUCCUCAACAGCAUCUAUCUUCCUUUUUAGGGCAGCAAUGUCUUGAAAGUGCAGAUCUUCUAGCGAUUUCACAUGGUGAGUGAGGUCAUCAAUCCUCUUGUACAGGAUAGAUUUCGUAACAACUUGAAAAUCAAGGUAUUGAUUCAGCAUAGCUCCUAAUCGAUUCAGUUGGGGCCUAAAUCGAUCAGCUUCAGUGUUUUGGUGCAGAAUCUGAUGAGGAAGAGGAUGAGAUGGUCGACGGUUCACCAAGUGUGGCGAAUAUGGCUCAUCUCGGUGGUGUGGAGGUUGCGAGUCUCCAUGGUGGUGGUUCGGAUUAGGGUUCCAAAGAUGAUGAUAAAAAUCACGCCUGGAGGGUGAUUCACAUGCGCAAGGAGCUUCACACAGGUCGCAGGACCUUCGCUCGGGAUUAGGGUUUCUCCUUGAAUGAUCCAUGCUUCAAAGGUUUCUGAAACUAGGGCAAACAGAAGAAAGAAUAAGCAGAAAAAGAAAACGUUAUGGUGUUUAUGAAUUUGGUUUACUUCCUAUGUUACUUUGGCAGAAACUCGACAUAUAUAUAGUCGUCUGCAGCUUCAGCCUCCCAGGUUUAGACCUCCAGCGACUUCAUGCCUCCCCGACAACGGCGCCAAAAACUUGAUGGGCUUGCAGGCCUAGGGUUGUUUUUUAAUAAGCCCGUUGGUCCUCCUUAAGUUUUAAAUUUAUAAAACCCUAGUGUCUGCAAGUGCACAGAUGUACGUUAUAGGACUUAGGGUGUCAAUCCACAGGGAGGAUGUCUAAUCUGCAAGAAACAACAAACUGGGAAGUAAGCAAACUCAUAAACCAAUAAAAGAUUUGGGGUUUUUGGUUAGGAUCCUAAACUAAACCUAAUCUAAUAUUCACAAGAAAUGCAGUGCAGGAUGAAUUGUUAAAAGAACAUCUAAAGCAUAUCGACUCAAACUAAAGACUCUUGAACUCAUAGGUGGUGAUUUAGACUUCUCCGGUUUACUCUAGUCGAUGUAUGGUGGCAUUUCCAAUUAGCUUCCGGUCGAUUUAUCUUCAUCUGUUUAUGGGAAUCUGCAUUGAACUAGAAUAGACACAUGUAUGAUUAGCCAACUGUCGUCACCUUAAUCAACUAAUCUCUUAGAUCUAGCAAUUAACUCUCGCUCUCAUGCUAAACUUAAGAUCAUGCAUUGAACAUUGAAUUCGUCUGCUCACAUCUUCUCUAUAGGUAGCUUUCGACUCCUAUAGCGACUAUGUUCUUCUGAAGCUAGGUACGGAUGAUCUGAUACAACACUCUCGUGGCUCUGAUCAAUCCUAGGCUCAGAGAAUAGGACAUGAAUCUACUCUCAUUCUUUACGAAUAACUUAGAAGAGAUGAGAUCCAGAAUAUGGCUAAGAACAAUAGAAAUCCUAAUCGAUAUAUAUGCUUGUCGAUAUCUUCAAACAACUUGACUCUCUGGGACUAAUCUAUAUGAUGCAAUGCAUGAUGAAAGACAUAGAAAAAUGCAAAAGAAUGGAACAGAAAAGUUAAUAAGAUAAAAAGGAGGAAGAACAAUGGAUCUGGGGAAGAAUCCCCAUCUCCAUCGCCUAACCCUAGAAAAACAAAGUUUGGUGGCUCAAAAUCUCAUUACAGGAGCACACACCCGUUUAGGACUGCUAAACAAUGUAUUUAUAGGUCCUAAGGUCUUCCAGGUAUCUUUUAGGGCUUCUCUGAAGAGGAUUAACAAAGUGGGCAUUGGUGUUGGGCCUUUUGGCUCGUCCUAAGGUCCACCGGGGGUGAGAGUCUUCCAGGGAAGGUAAAACAUGUGUUUUCCUCUGGUGAGAGUCUUCCUGGACUGGUGAACUGGGUCAACUUGUUCUCCAUGUAUCUUUUUAUUGCACCGUUGGAUCUUUGUGAUGUAAAGUGCUGUGGAAACUGGUUGUCUCCACUUGAUUGUCUCCAAAUUUGAGCUGGAUCGGACGGUGAGAAAAUCUUCAUUUGAGGCUGAACUUCUUAUGGUCUGACUGUGAGCUAAAAAUGUGGAUUUCUUCCAUUUUGCCAUCAUAUUCCUUAAGUUUCCUGAAAAGAGCCUUGAAACUAUAAAUACAUAGAAAUCAUAAUAAAAGUUCCUAAAACAGAGUAAAACCUUUGAAAAAGCAUUUGAAAUCAAUGGUGAAAAAUGGUCAAAAUCAGGUGUUAUCACAUAUUUAAUUAAAUUUGAGAAAUUGCAUUGUAGGACCAAUAAAACUUUAAUAUAAUUGAUCAAAAGAGUCUUUUUCUUUAAAAAACCUAUAUUAUAAAAUAUAUCAAGUUUUAUGAAUCAAAUAUUAACUAAAUUAUAUACAAACAUUUUGGCACAGAGUUAAACAAUUCUUCAAGAUGUUCAUAUUGAAAAAGUGUUGUUAAGUUUGCCAUAAAAUAAUUUGCUUUGUUACUCUAUCCAGUCGACUUGCUUGUCACUCUUCUACAUGUGUAUAUGUAUUUUAUUUUCCAUAUGAUAUUUAUGAGUAGCUCUUUUUUAAGAAAAUGUCAGCAUAUAUGGUCCAAACACAUACCAAUUUUUUAAAAACCUUUUUUUUUAUCUUAAAUGGAGCACUGAUAGAAAAUUAAUUUGUUUUUGUUAAAGACCCUUGUGAGUUCUCCAAUAUUCAUUAACUCCAAAAUCCUCCUAGAAGUUGCUUCUGUAGUUUCAUGAUAAUUAAUACAAAUUGAAUUUAAGUUCAGAAAGAAGGAUGUUUAGCUUGUAAAUCUAGAUUUAUAAAUUUAAUUUGGUUAUUUUGUGAAACAUAUUAUCACACUAAUAUUUUUGAUCCAAGAAUUUAAUUAAAGUAUGAUGAUAUUUAACAACACAUUUAAGAUAAAAAAUUCACUUACAACAUAUUUAACAAGUUGUUCAACCGCAUAAAUAAAGUGGUUGGAAAGAUCACCACCCCAUUUUCAAAUUCCCAAAAUCAAACAUAAAAAAUAUUAUGAAUUAGUUAUUAUGGUUGUUCAUUAUAAGACUCAUAUAUAGGAAGUUUAUAAUAUUUUCAGUUUCUUUAGUUUUUAAGUUUAGCUUGUUCCCCAUGUAUUUGUAUAUUUAUACAUAUUCCUAAUUAUUCGUAGAAUAGGACAUCAAUUUCCUUUUUUUCUUAGCUCUCUCUUUUAUUCGCUACACGUUAUCCACAUGAUAGUCUCUCUAUCUAUUUAUUCUUACACCAAAAACAAUAAUAUUGAAUUUAUGCUAAUGAUAAUUUCCUUUUUCCAAAAUGAUGGUUAUGGUAGGCUAUGCCUUCGCGAUCAUGAUUUUAUUGUAGAUUCACUAUUUCUUAUUUAAAGCUUUACCUAGUGUCCAAAAGAAUAUCCACUUCAUUUAGAGGUUUUCCAGACCUCAUACAACUGUCUGAUCAAAUAGUAUGUGGAUCAGGCGGAUCCAUCCAUGCACCUACUUUGGCUAUUUGGGUCAAUUUCCUCCUUUUCUUAGCUCUCUCUUUUAUUCACUACACGUUAUCCACAUGAUAGUCCCUCUAACCAUAAUUUGUGUUUAUGGUUAUAUUAUUCUACGAUGAUAAUUUCCUUUUUCCAAAAUGAUGGUUAUGGUAGGCUAUGCCUUCGCGAUCAUGAUUUUAUUGUAGAUUCAGUCUCCGCGGAACAUAAAUAUAGAAAGAUAGUUAUCAAUGCUUAUCUAGAAUAACGUUUAACGAUGGUUUAAUCUUUGUAUCUUAUUGAUUAUAGUUCUGUUAAAAUUCUUUAGAUAUGAAGAUUUGUUUAUAUAAAACAAAAAGAUAACAAAAAAGAAAGCUAUAUAAUCAAUUAGGGUUUUUGUGGUAUCUAUGUUCGACAUAACUAUUUUUGAAAAAUCUAUGAUAGUUUAGUUGAUUGUUAAUCAUAUAUGAGAAGAGAUUAUAUAACUUUUAUUUUGUGAUAUAAGUUAUUAGGGUUUUGAUGUUAUAAAAAUUUACUCAAAUAUUUAAUUAUGCAUUAUAUAUAUUUUAAUAAUAAUAAUAAGUAAUAAUUAAACAAAAUAAAAUUUUCUAAAAACAAUCUAAUUUCAUAAAUAGUUUAUAUGAAAACAAAAAACUAAUAAAACAAAUAUUUUGUUGUUAAAAUAUGGUCCUUCUUGCAUUUUUUUCAUGCAAAAUUGUUGAUCAAACUUUUAUAUUCGAUUUUUUUCAACCAUAGAUGUCUCAAUCUAUAGCAAAGUUAUCCAUUCAAUCAGUCUUGUGACAUGGUAGACCAAAUAUAUAUAUUUUUUUAUCAGGUUUACUUCGAAAAACUUCAUUCAGCAGUGGAAACAAAAAUGUAAAUGUGGUGUUGACAAUUAUAUCCCCAAUAAAAAAGAUUCAACUAUUUAUGCCUCCAAAAUUUAGAUGUCCUUAUUCGUCGCCUGCCUUACUUUUGCUUUGGGCCAGUCAUGGUGCUAGUCGAAUAUAAAAUUAUUAGAGUUGUUAGGUAAAACGUUGCUUUAUACUGAUUUCGUAUUCAUCGGGCUUGGUGUUGGUUGAUUGAGUUAACUCAUCCUAUAUUUGAUUAUUGCAUAAUUAUUAUGAUAUAGUUUGUGAAGCCAAGCAAUUAUUGCCUCAUCGUUCAUGCAUGCAUAAUUAGGAUUUGAUUGCUUUUGUCAUAUAAUAUAUAAGAUAUGGAGAUGCAUGUCUUACUUUGAUCUGUUCAGCAACUGUCGAUUGCAACUGAUGUGUGUUAAGAUCACCGAAAGCAUUUGUGAAUGUAAAAUAAAGCAGAUUAAAAACUAGAUGACCGAUAUAGAUGAAUAGACUUUUGAAAACCGAUUUGCUUAUAAGUUGCACAGAUUAUUCUGUUAUCAAAUAUGCAGUGUUAUCGAUGGUUAAAAAAAGUCUUGUAGCUUUACUUUUCCAUUCUCUAUCAUCGUUAAUAAAUGUUGAUUUAUUCUCUCCUCAUAAUUUUGAGAAAGGAGAACACUACCACCAGUUUGAUUUACCAACUUGAUCGUCCACCACUUGAUUUAAGGUACGCAAAUUAAUAUUAUUCGGUUUAGUUUUAGUUCCAAUAUUUAACCAUAAAGUAUUCACAAGUUAUUUAGAGCGAUUAAAAAAGACAUGAUCACUAGAAUGUGAUAUCACUAAAAGCUCAUUGCUUAAAGUUCCUUUCAAGAACUUGGAUUACCACUAGAAGUGAGAAGAUAAAGAAGGUAAUAUGCAAAAGAUAUAUCCCUCAUAUGGCGACAAAAUAAGCUAGUGUGAGUACAAUAUGAGGUAGUACAAAGAAUAUUAAAAGUUCUAGAAGACCAUAUAUAUUUGCCCAUAGAAAUACUAUAAGAAUUAAAGAAUCAUUUUGUUGUUCUAGAGUGUUCUCCUUAGCAUGGAGAUGCAGAGAAUUACAAGGUAUAACUAGGUACAUGACAUCACAUACUAGAGCACAAUGUUUGAUUAUACACAAUUUUCUUGAUUUUCAAGGAAUUUUAAUAAGAUGGUAGAUAUAAUAGCAAAAAGAGCCUAUUUGAUCCAAGUAUUCCUUUUAUUAGUCUUUUUAUUUUUUGUAUUAACCUUAGUCUUCAGUUUUAUGUUCUUAUUUAUCUUGUACAGUUCUUGAAUAAGGAUUACAAUCACUAUGAAGCUAAUGGAAUUUGCAGAAGUAAAAAAAAGAAAAAAAUACAUGUAGUGUAAGAGCUAAAUAUUUUUCAAAUUUAAAUUGAUCUCAUAUUGUUUUUAUAAUACAGACCACCAGCAAUUUAUUUUAUGGUUUGUAGAACCAUCCACCUAUAUUAGAUUUGAUUCAACACAAACGUUAACUCUAACUCGCUUUAAUCAAUUUAUGCGUGGAACAAAACAAACACUACAAUUAAAAAAAUAGAUAUACUAUUCACACAUAGAAAAUAAUUAUCUUCUUCCGAGGUGUAUCAUAAUUGGAUGUAAGAAGACUAUUUUUAAAUUGACAAUUUCUGGAACUAUACAAAAAAUGAGGCACACCAAAUAAGCGUUAUACAUAAUUAUCGUUUAUCAUAUUAUGCUAGACAUACAUAGAAGCUUACACUAUUAUUAGGAUGGAAUAUGAUUGGAAGUUUAAACCAGGUAUACAAUAUAGCAAAUCUUUGUGUCUUAUAUAUAUAAUGAUGGUGGUAAGAGUGAAAAAGAGUGGUGGAGGUAAGAGUGAUGAAGAAAAAUAUGGUAGAACAUUGUAAGUUAGAUAUAUAUGAAAGUAUAAAAUAAUAUUAGAUUUGAAUAAAAAGAAAUCAAACAUUAAUCUAAAACCUAACAUGUGGGCAUCCGGAAGACUCUCUUUUAUUAUGAUAUUGUCUGUUUCAAUUCAAGUGCUCAAGAUCGCACAGAAUCAUAUGAUACCCAAGCUCUCCGUUUGUGAUCCAUCCCAAAAGGCUUAUUACUCAGUAUAUCAUUGGACUUAACUUAUAUAUAUUAAACCAUUACUAUCUAGAUUUCUGAUGUAAAACUUGGAUUGAUAUCCUAACAUUGCGCAAAACAACAAAAAAACAGGAGCCAUCAUGUUUUCAAGUCAUAAAUAAUGAUCAAAUACCAAAAAAUCAAGAAAAGUGGAUUUUUUGAAAUAUGACUGCUCUCAAGAUCAACGGCUCCACUAGUUAGAGGCCUUUCCUCUGAUGAAUUGGGAUGAUAAUUGAUGUUGAGAUAUAUAUAUAUAUAUAUAUAUAUAUAUAUUUGAUAUAAUAUAUAUAUAUAUAUAUUCAGUUAGCAUUCAUAUGAAAUUUGUUUGGAGUCAUUUGGAGAUGUUCUUAGGAAUAUGAUCCCAAACUACUGAAAACAUGUCUGUAUGGCUUGUAAAUGAAGCAAGCACUGAACAAUAUUUGCCACCAGCCAAUAAUGCAUUGGACCAGAGCUUCUACAUCCAUCAGAUACACCACCAUUGUUUAAGUGCAUCAACCCGAGUUCUUAGUCGAGAUCAAACAUCUUUGAAUGCAAAUUCCUUUUUUUAACUCAAGUUGACCUUAAAGCUAUUGAUACCUACUUAGCUACUUCCUAGAAAUGAACACAGCCCUAAUUUAUAACAACCACAAUUACACUUUCAUAAUAUUUUGUUAAUUCAAGAGCUUCUCGGGAGAAAAUCUUUUGUAAGUCUAAUGAACUUUACCAUUACUUGCUCAGUUUAAUGCAUGGUUUCAUUCUACAAUAACCAAAUUAGCAAAGUUUAUUUGUUGCAAAACAUAGUGGUCGAAGCCACAAAAGUGGAAAGACUAUAAAUUCAUGUUUUGUAUUCAAGAUGGUUUUUACUUAAAUCCCUAACAUAUCAUCUAUCUCUGGAGAAAAUCUUGCUGUUGUAUCUCCAUAGAAAAUUUUGAACCGUCUUAUUUCUUAUUUAUUUAUUUAUUUAGUUUUUUUUUUUUUUUUGAUAACUCAGGUAUUCCGGCUGAUUUAAGGGACCGCCGGCGGCGCAGUUAGGGAUUGCAAAUCCUGACUGUAGAGCAGCGCAUCAUCCCCCCAACACCGACUAAUCCUGGGGCCCGGAGAGACCAUGUAAAUACCCCGGUGGCCAAGUGGAUUAAAUGUUGCAAUUCUGCUUCCAUGGGGAGUUGAUCCCUGGCCUGGACCAACAAGGCAACUCUCACCAAGGAAGGGAACCACCCCACUACCACCACUUGAUUCUUAUUUCUUAUUUAAGCUUUAGCUAGUGUCCAAAAGAAUAUCCACUUCACUUAGAGGUUUUCGAAACCUCAUACAACUGCCGGAUUAAAUAGUAUGUGGAUCAGGCGGAUUCACCUACUUUGGCUAUCUGGGUCUUUUUAUUAAAAGGUGUUUGUCCUUAUUGAUUUACUUGAUGUGAGAAACAUAUAUGACAUGCAGACGAUACAGUGAACUAUUCAAAAGUUAUCAAAGCAUUCUUAGCUGCCUAUCAAACAUUAUUCAUACAUCUGUAACAUAACUAUUCAAUACUCUAGGUGAAGCAUUAUCUAGUUUAGUGAUUUAAGUUCGAGAAAGAAACUUAACCAUCUGCCUGCCUGAUUAUCUGAUAUGCAAUUUAUGUUUUGUUAAAACUAACCCAAGGCUUACCAUUACCAUCCAUCAAGCUUACAUUGUUUGCUUAACUUUUAAGUUUUUAAUUAAUUUAUAAAUCCAAGAGCUUUCAUCUGUCUUUGCUUUUUUUUACUUUUUGCAUUCUUGUUGUGUAUCACUUCUAUACUAUUAAAAGGGAAGAACUUUUAAUCUUUGUUGCUAAACACUCAUAUUUUAUUUUAAAAAAAAUUGUUUAUCUUACUCAAUCAACCUAAAGUUUCAAAUAUUCAAAAUUAGUUUAUAAUUAUAUUAUACAGAAUAUGCUGGAGAAUGUUAGACUUAUGUUUUUUUUAAAAUUGCUGUCCUAUGUGUAUUACUUUUUUACAACAUGCAAGAUAUCUAUACCAUUUAAGAAGAUACAAACUUUAUAUUUGUGUGUCUAAAAGAAACAAAUCUAUACAAUUAAAAGGGAGUUAUUUUAGUCUUUCUUGCCAUAAACUCUCUAUUUUCUUUAAAAAAUAACAAUUAUUUGGAAAAAAAUAUUACAGUGACCCAGAUUGAGGUAGUAUUAAUUGAAAAAGAGAAUUUUAUUUUAUAUUAAAAACUUAUAUGUAAAAUAAAUAUAUCUAAAAUAGAGAAAUAUCAUACGAAUAUGGAUGGAGUUCUGGUAGGGAACAAAUACAAUUGGAAAAGAAUAAAAAAAUAAAAGGAAAACAAAAUAAAAUCACAUGUGGCUUUAAUUUUUUUUUGUAGGUGAGAUGUUUCUGUCUUCCAUGGGAUAUAUAUAUAUAUCUAGAAGCUCCUGAUUAUCAUAUAUAUAUUAUGAGAGAAGUUCUGUGAGUUUUAUCAUCAUGCCUUUAUAAAAUCAUACAACAUUUCUUUUCAAUUUCAGUAUAUCACUCUUCCAAUUACAAAUUUUGGGGAAAUGAUAAUCAGAAACUUCCAAGAUAUUUUGUUAGCUUUAUUACUUGAUUUUUCAUUUUCAUUAUUUCCUGAUCUUGCCUACAAUAAUUGAUUAAAAAAAAAUUCCAAUCUAAAAAAAUUGGGAACUCGAUCUAUUCCCCCUGAGUACUUUCGUAUCAUAAUACAACCCCCUCAAGUUUGAGGUUCGUUCUAAAUCCCCAUCAAAUGAAACUUCCAAUUCUAUUUCCCCACAAUAAACAACUUUAAAUUUUGUUUCCCCAUUAUACUAAAGUUCAAAAGUUAUUUCCCCCUUGACCAAGAUUUGACUUGGUUUACUGUAUACCGAUUAAAACUUAACCACAAAGAAAAAAAACAUUAACCAAACAGAACCUGAUUUAACAUUCUUAACCUGAUUUACCCGAUUUAAACCUGAUUAUAAAUGGAUACUACCCAGAAAAACACUAAACCCACCCAAAACAAUAAACCCACCCGAAAGAAUAAUCACAUCUGAAAUAAUAAACCCCCAAAUCGAUUUUGAACCUCACGAACCCUAAAAAUUAGAAACCAGAAAUCAAGUGUAGUAAAUCGAAAUCAAGUGUAGUGGAGUGAGGUGGAGAAAAACCGAGAAUGGAGAUAGCUGAGUGGAACGAGGUACCUGAAUUUCGCGAGGAAUUUCGUGAAGCGGAUUCCGACGGAGAAGAUCGACGUGAACGAAACGAUUUUAACAUCGAGAGAGCUGUAAUGGAUUUCGUUGAUGAAGAUCCUGUUCGUCACAACAUCUAUCCUGAGACAGAUGAUGAAGACGACAAAGUGCAACAGACAAUUAUAAUUCAAAGGAGGCGCACAGGGUUGGAAAGAGGUGAUGGGAACUUGUAUGAAGGUCAAAUUUUCUUCAGUGGAAUAGCGUUUAAGGAAGCCGUCCUUGACUACGCUCUGAAAACAGGCCGAAACAUCUCUCAGAAAAGGUGGGAUAAAGACAAACUCACCUUCAAAUGUGAAGGAAAAAAUGAAGAAGAAACUUGUGAUUGGAGGAUUUACUGUUCCACGACAGGGAAGACUUUGAAGUGGCAAGUGAAAGUUUUCAAUAGUGUGCAUAGCUGUGUUCCAAAUGGACGUGUUGAGAUGGUAAAAGUUUCUGUGAUUGCUCGUCUAUUCGUUGAUAAGAUUAGAGAGGAGCCUGAAUAUUUUAUGCCUAUGAAAAUCGAAGAGUUAGUGUUGGAGAAAUGGAAUAUCAGUGUGUCAAGGUCUCAGUGUCAAGCUGCUAGAAACAAAGCGAUUAGAUGGAUUCAGAGAGAGUAUGAUGAGCAAUUUGCACGUCUUCGGGAUUACGGUCGUGAGAUUCUAGACUCCAACAAAGGAUCCACUGUGGUGAUUGAAUGUCUGCAAAACGAAAAAGGUUUAGAUGUAUUCAACAGGUUUUAUGUAUGUUUUGAUGUGCUUAGGAAAACCUGGAAAAAGACUUGUAGGCCGCUUAUAGGACUUGAUGGAUGCCACUUAAGAUCGAGGAAAAAAGGUCAGAUAUUGGUUGCUAUGGGUCGAGAUACGGAUAAUGCUAUUUAUCCAAUAGCAUGGGCGGUGGUGCAAUCUGAAACCAAAGACAAUUGGUUGUGGUUUGUGAAGAAUAUCAAAGCCGAUUUGGAUUUAGGAGAUGGCGAUGGAUAUAUAAUGGUCUCAGAUAGGCAUAGGGUAAAUGUGUUUGAUUUUGGUGAUGGUGUUUACACUUAUUUCUAGUCACUAUUAAUCGUCGGUUGUGUUUGAUCUGGUUUUUUUUUUCAGGGACUAAUAGCAGCUGUUCAACUAGAGCUUCCACUUAUCGAGCAUAGGAAUUGUGUGAGGCACAUCUAUGCUAACUUGAGAGCAUUGAAUGGAAAAAGGCCAGAGAUGAAGAAGCUGAUUUGGCGUCUUGCAUGGAGCUACAACAAAGCAGAAUUUGAAGAGAAUAAAGAUAAGAUUUCCUGCUAUGACUCAGUGGUGUUUGUGAGUGUGAUGAAGACUAAACCAGAAACUUGGUGUAGAGCCUUCUACAAGUUAGGCCACUACUGUGAAGAUGUGGAAAAUAACUCGACGGAGUCAUGGAAUGCUUCUAUCGUAAAAGCCAGAGACAAACCAUUUGUGCCGAUGCUAGAGACAAUUGCAAGGUUAGCGAUGGUUCGUAUUGCCAAAAGAGGUUUUAUAUCUUUGAACUGGAAAAGUAAGUGCACACCGUAUGUUAUUGACUACCUAGCAGAAGAGUAUGAGACAGCUAAAGAUUGUACGGUUAAUAUAUCUACAAAUUACACAUAUGAUGUUAGAGCUAGUGGAUGUUCUUACCGUGUGCGCAUGCAAGAUAGAACUUGUACUUGCAGGAGAUGGGAGAUCACAGGCAUUCCUUGUGAGCAUGCCUACGCUGUGAUUAUCAAGAAGAACCUUGACGCUGAGGAUUUUGUGUGCCACUGGUUUAUGACCGCAAUGUGGAGGAAGACAUAUACUGAUGGGAUAGUUCCAUUGAGGGGAGCAAGGUUUUGGCCUGUAGGAGAAGAACCAUCGGUGCAUAUGCCUCCGUCGCCACUACAUCCUGGUCGAAAGAAAGGAGAAACAUAUAGAGUUAGUAAGAAGGAGAAACAAAGGAAAAAAGGGAAAAAUGAAUCUCCUGUGAAGAAGGCACCAGUACUUUUAAAGAGGGUAAUGCAUUGUAAAAUCUGUGGUUUAGCUAAUCACAACUCAAGAUUUCAUAAGAAGAAAGGCAAACAGGUUUGUCUCUUGAUUUUUAUGCAUAAUGAGAAUAGAUGAUAGCUUUAUAUAGAUAACGUAUCUGUUUGCAUUUUUGGCUCAUCUUGCUUCAUAUAUAUCUGUUUAAGGUGAUUGGUUUUGUGUUUAUAACUAAGUUCUGGUUUUGUGGUUGUAAUAGGGUGCUGUAGGUGAAUCUUCUCAGGCUGAACCUUCUCAAGGCGCUCUCACACAGCUUGUGGACUGAUCUGUUUUAUGAGCUUAUCAACGCAUUUCUCAGAUGGAUGUUUUUUGGGUUUAAGAAGCUAUUUGCUUUGUUGGUUUUUGUCUAUGUGAAAGCUUCUUAAAGACAGUUGGAUUUUUUUUAUGUCUUUUGAAUGAUUCUAAUGUUAUUGAUUAGACAAACCAGAUUUUAUUUAAAAACAACGUGCAACAAACAACACUGAUGUCUUGUGGGAUUUUUUUGAAUGAUCCCAUAACAUAAAUGACACAACGACACAGCAACACAACGACACAGCAACACAACAAACUCAACCGACUAGUUUACUGCAACAAACAAUGACCAGACACCCAAAACAAACAACAGCCAUCAUUUUCUUCAAGUUCGAUUUGGUUUCAAGAAGUGCUUCUUCCACUUUCUCAAAUAUCUCUUGCUCUAGUUUCAUUUGCAUCUUCUCAAACAUCAUCUUCUCAAGCUCCAUUCGUUCUCUGCAUAUUUGCUUUAACUCAUCUUCAAGUCUUCCUGCUCGAGAACCCAAUGCCUCUAUCUCAUUUAGCAAAGCCUCGUCCACCCACUUGAAAUCGUGCUUAUCAUUUGUAAGCUACAACCAUUCCAACAUUCAUAGCAAUGGGAUUUAAGAAAGAGAAAACCAACUUAAAUUUGAAAACCAAAAACGAAAUACAUUGCAUUUACCUUCUGUGCGACAGCAUAAGCACACCGAUAAUAUCUCCGGUACGGAUUCGCAUCGGAUUUGGAGAUCUUUGCCACAAUUUGAUCGCCACACCAACAUCUCCUCGGUACGCCGAUACCUCUUCCUCGAGUUCCAGAAUAUGAUGUUCCACUGGAAGCUCCGGAUUCAUGGCUCAUCUUCUUCAACGAUGAAUAGGGAUGUAUCGCAGGUCUAGUUGGUACGAAAAAUAAGAUUUUAGGGUUCUUAUGCUUUCAAAAUCGAUUUGGGGGUUUUAGGUGUUCAUCGGGAUAUAUGGCGGGUCUUUUAGCUGGGUUUAGAGUCGGGUCGUGUAACCAAAGCGGUUUCAUUUCGGCGGUUAAGAAUUAUGGUUUACGAUUGAAGUUACAAACCGAGUGAAACCGAUAGCAAAUAAAAAAACCACGUCUGUGGGGAAAUAGAAUUGGAAGUUUCAUUUGAUGGGGAUUUAGAACGAGCCUCAAACUUGAGGGGGUUGUAUUAUUAUACGAAAGUAUUUAGGGGGGAAUAGAUCGAGUUUCCAAAAAAAUUUAUUGUAGUCAAAAACAGAAAAUGCAGAAAAAGAUAAUGGAAGUGGAGAGUCAAGUAAUAGGGAUAAUGAAAUAUACUAUAAAUCUAUGCAUCUUUAAGAGUAAGUAUGCUUUAUUUUUAUAAUUCUUACAUUAUAAGCGUUAUACAUAAUUAUCGUUUACCAAGUAUAUAAAAAUUUUAAUAAAACUUUAGUUAUAAAACUAUAUUUAUAUCAUAUUUAAUUAAAUUUGAGAAAUUGCAUUGUAGGACAAUUAAAAGAUUUAUAUAAUUGAUCAAAAAGUCUUCAUAUUUUAAAAAACUUAUAUUAUAAAAUAUAUCAAGUUUUAUGAAUCAUAACUAAAUGAUAUACAAAUAUUUUGGCACAGAGUUGACAAAUUCUUCAAGAUUUCAUAUUCAAAAAGUGUUGUUGAGUUUGCCACAAUAUCAUUUCCUUUGUUACUCUAUCGAGCCGACUUGGUCGUCACUCUUCUACCGUAAGACAAGUGUGUGUUUAUUUUUAUUUUCCAUAUAAUAUUUAUGCGUAAUUGUUUUUUACGAAAAUUUUAGCAUACGGUCUAAACACAUACCGAAUUUUUUAAUUUUUUAUUAUCUUAAAUGGAGCACUUGUAGAAAAUUAAUUUUAUUUUUAUUAAAGACACUUGUGAGGUCUCCAAUAUUCAGUAACUCCAAAAUCCUCCUAUGAGUUGUUUCUAUAGGUUCACGAUAAUUAAUACAAAUUGAAUUUAAAUUCAAAUAGAAGGAUGUUUAACUUGAAAAUCUAGAUAUAAAAAUAUAAUUCUGGUUAUUUUGUGAAACCUAUUAUCCCACUAAUAUUUCUGAUCCAAGAAUUUAAUUAAAGUAUGAUGAUGUUUUACAAAAUAUUUAAGAUAAAAAAAUUCACUUACAACAUAUUUAACAAGUUGUUCAACCGCAUAAAUAAAGUGGUUGGAAAGAUCGCCACCCUAUUUUAAAAUUCCCAAAAUAAAAAUAAAAUAAAAUUAUGAAUUAGUUAUUAUGGUUGUUCAUUAUAAGACUCAUAUUAUAGUAAGUUUAUAAUAUUUUCAUUUUUCUUAUAUUUUCAAGUUUAGUUUGCUCCCAAGUAUUUCUAUAUUUAUACAUUAUUCAUGGAAUAGGACAUCAAUUUCCUCCUUUUUUAGCUCUCUCUUUUAUUCGCUACACGUUAUCCACAUGAUAGUCUCUCAAUCUAUUUAUUCUUACUCCAAACAUAUUCUUACACCAAAAAUAUAAAUAUCAAAUAUUUUUUUUAUCUUAAAUAGAGCACUUAUAGAAAAUUACUUUGUUUUUGUUAAAGACACUUGUGAGUUCUACAAUAUUCAUUAACUCCAAAAUCCUCAUAUGAGUUGUUUCUAUAGUUUCACGAUAAUUAAUACAAAUUAAAUUUAAGUUCAAAUAGAAGGAUGUUUAACUUGUAAAUCUAGAUAUAAAAAUUUAAUUUGGUUAUUUUGUGAAACAUAUUAUCCCACUAAUAUUUCUAAUCCAAGAAUUCAAAUGAAGUAUGAUGAUAUUUUAAAAAAUAUUUAAGAUCAAAAAAUUCACUUACAACAUAUUUAAUAAGUCGUUCAACCGCAUAAAUAAAGUGGUUGGAAAGAUCGCCAGCCCAUUUUAAAAUUCCCAAAAUCAAAACAAAAUUAUGAAUUAGUUAUUAUGGUUGUUCAUUAUAAGACUCAUAUUAUAGUAAGUUAUAAUAUUUUCAUUUUUCUUAUUUUUCAAGUUUAAUUUGCUCCCCAAGUAUUUGUAUAUUUAUACAUUAUUCGUGGAAUAGGACAUCAAUUUUCUCUUUCUCUUAGCUCUCUCUUUUAUUCGCUACACUUUAUCCACAUGAUAGUCUCUCAAUCUAUUUAUUCUUACACCAAAUAUAUAAAUAUUUAAUUUAUGUUUAUGGAUAUAUUAUUCUAUGAUGAUAAAUGCCUUUUUUGAAAAUGAUGGUUAUGUUAGGCUAUGCCUUCGCGAUCAUGAUUUUAUUGUAGAUUCGCUUAAAUCAAUUUUUGGGUGGAACAAAACAAACACUAAAAUUGAAAAAAAAAUAGAUGUACUAUUCACACAUAGAAAAUAAUUAUCUUCUUCUGAGGUGUAUCAUAAUUGGAUGUAGAAAGACUAUUUUUAAAUUGACAAAUCCCUGGUAUUUUAUUAAACGAUUUAUGGAAUUAUACAAAAAAUGAGGCACACCAAAUGCCUUAAAAUCACCAUUGAAAUAUAGUCAUAUUAUGCUAGACAUACAUAGAAGCUUACACUAUUACUAGGAUGGAAUAUGAUUGGAAGUUUAAACCAGGUAUACAAUAUAGCAAAUCUUUGUGUCUUAUAUAUAUAAUGAUGGUGGUAAGAGUAAAAAAGAGUGGUGGAGGUAAAAGUGAUGAAGAAAAAUAUGGUAGAACAUUGUAAGUUAGAUAUAAAUGAAAGUAUAAAAUAAUAUUAGAUUUGAAUAAAAAGAAAUCAGACAUUAAUCUAAAACCUAGCAUGUGGGCAUCCGGAAGAAUCUCUUUUAGUAUGAUAUUGUCUGCUUUCAAUUCAAGUGCUCAAGCUCGCACAGAAUCAUAUGAUACCCAAACUCUCCGUUUGUGAUCCAUCCCAAAAGGCUUAUUACUCAGUAUAUCACUGGACUUAACUUAUAUAUUAAACCAUUACUAUCUAGAUUUCUGAUGUAAAACUUGGAUUGAUAUCCUAACACAACACCUUAACACCAAACUCAAAUCAUAUGAUACCAUAACAACAUAAUAUCAGGUUUGAAUCAUAACAUUGCGCAAAACAACAAAAGAACAGGAGUCAUCAUAUUUUCAAGUCAUAAAUAAUGAACAAAUACAAAAAAAUCAAGAAAAGUGGAUUUUUUGAAAUAUGACUGCUCUCAAGAUCAACUGCUCCACUAGUUAGAGGCUUUCCCUCUGAUGAAUUGGGAUGAUAAUUGAUGUUGAUAUAUAUUUAUUUUUCAGUUAGCAUUCAUAUGAUAUUGGUUUGGAGUCAUUUGGAGAUGUUCUUAGGAGUAUGAUCCCAAACUACUGAAGACAUGUCUGUAUGGCUUGCAAAUGAAGCAAGCACAGAACAAUAUUAGCCACCAGCCGAUAAUGCAUUGGACCAGAGCUUCGACAUCCAUCAGAUACACCACCAUUAUUCAAGUGCAUCAACCCGAGUUCUUGGUCGAUAUCAAACACCUUUGAAUGCAAAUUCUUUUUUUUUUAACCAAAACUAAACCCUAGUUGACCCUAAACCUAUAGAUACCAACUUAGCUACUUCCCAGAAAUGAACACAGCCAUAAUUUAGCAACCCCAAUUAUACUUUUUAUAAUUUGGGUUAGUUCAAGAGCUUCUCAGGAGAAAAUCUUUUGUAUAUCUAAUGAACUUUAUCAUUACUUGCUCGCUUUAAUGCAUGGUUUCAUUCUACAAUAACCAACAAUAACUUGCUUUUCUAUCUCCAAAGAAGAUUUUUGAACUGUCUUAUUUCUUAUUUAAGCUUUACCUAGUGUCCAAAAGAAUAUUCACUUCACUUAGAGGUUUUUGAAACCUUAUACAAUUGCCUGAUCAAAUAGUUUGUGGAUCAGGCAGAUUCACCCAUGCACCUACUUUGGCUAUCUGGGUCUAUUUAUUGAAAGUUGUUUGUUUUUUUUGAUUUACUUGAUGUGAGAAACAUAUAUGACAUGCAGACGAUACAGUGAACUAUUCAAAAGUUAUUACAGGCAUUCUUAGCUGCCCAUCAAACAUUAUCCAUACAUCUGUAACAUAACUAUUCAAUACUAUAGGUGGAGCUUUAUCUAGUUUAGUGAUUUAAGUUCGAGAACUAAACUUAACCAUCUGUCUGACUGAUUAUCUGAUUUGCAAUUUAUGUUUCGUUAAAACUAACCCAAGGCUUACCAUUUCCAUCCAUCAAACUUACAUUGUUUGCUUAACUUUUAAGUUUUUAAUUAAUUUAUAAAUCCAAGAGCUUUCAUCUGUCUUUGCUUUACUUUACUUUUUGCAUUCUUGUUGUAUAUCACUUCUAUACUAUUAAAAGGGAAGAACUUUUAAUCUUUGUUGCCAAACAUUCAUAUAUAUAUAUUUUUUUAUAAAAAUUGUUUAUCUUAAUCAACCAAUCUAAAGUUUCAAAUAUUCAAAAUUAGUUUAUAAUUAUAUUAUACAGAAUAUACUGGAGAGUGUUAGACUUAUGUUUUUAGAAUUGCAGUCCUAUGUGUAUUAAUUUUUUAAAUGCAAGAUAUCUAUACCAUUUAAAAAGAUACAAACUUUAUAUUUCUGUGUCCAAAAAGAAACAAAUCUAUACAAUUAAAAGAGAGCUAUUUUAGUGAUUUUUGCCAUAUACUCUCUAUUUUCUUUUUUUAAAAAAACAAUCAUUUAGAAAAAAAUAUUACAUUGACCCAGAUUGAUGUAGUAUUAAUUGAAAAAGAGUAUUUUAUUUUAUACUAAAAACUUAUAUUUUAAAUAAAUAUAUCUAAAAUAGACAAAUAUCAUACAAAUAUCGAUGGAGUUCUGGUAGGGAACAAAUACAAUUGGAAAAGAAUCAAAAAAUAAAAGAAAAAAAAAUAAAUCACAUGUGGCUUUUAUUUUUUUUCUGCAGGUGAGAUGUUUUUGUCUUUCAUUGGAUAUAUAUAUAUAUAUAUAUAUAUGAGAGAAGUUCAGUGAGUUUUAACAUCAUGCAUUUAUAAAAUCAGACAACAUUUCUUUUCAAUUUCAGUAUAUCACUCUUCCAAUUACAAAUUUUGGAGAAAUGAUAAUCAGAAACUUCCAAGAUAUUUUGUUAGCUUUAUUACUUGAUUCUCCAUUUUCCAUUAUUUACUGGUCUUGCCUACAAUAAUUGAUGAAAAAAAAGUACCAAUCUAAAAAAAUUUAUUGUAGUCAAAAACAGAAAAUGCAGAAAAAGAUAAUGGAAAUGUAGAGUCAAGUAAUAGGGCUAAUGAAAUAUACUACAAAUCUAUGCAUCUUUAAGAGUAAGUAUGCUUUAUUUUUAUAAUCCUUAUAGUAUGCUUUAUUUUUAUAAUUCUUAUAUUAUAAGCGUUAUACGUAAUUAUCGUUUAUCAUAUUAUGCUAGACAUACAUAGAAGCUUACACUAUUAUUAGGAUGGAAUAUGAUUGGAAGUUUAAACCAGGUAUACAAUAUAGCAAAUCUUUGUGUCUUAUAUAUAUAAUGAUGGUGGUAAGAGUGAAAAAGAGUGGUGGAGGUAAGAGUGAUGAAGAAAAAUAUGGUAGAACAUUGUAAGUUAGAUAUAUAUGAAAGUAUAAAAUAAUAUUAGCUUUGAAUAAAAAGAAAUCAAAUAUUAAUCUAAAACCUAACAUGUGGGCAUCCGGAAGACUCUCUUUUAGUAUGAUACUGUCUGCUUUCAAUUCAAGUGCUCAAGAUCGCACAGAAUCAUAUGAUACCCAAGCUCUCCGUUUGUGAUCCAUCCCAAAAGGCUUAUUACUCAGUAUAUCAUUGGACUUAACUUAUAUAUAUUAAACCAUUACUAUCUAGAUUUCUGAUGUAAAACUUGGAUUGAUAUCCUAACAUUGCGCAAAACAACAAAAAAACAGGAGCCAUCAUGUUUUCAAGUUAUAAAUAAUGAUCAAAUACCAAAAAAUCAAGAAAACUGGAUUUUUUGAAAUAUGACUGCUCUCAAGAUCAACGGCUCCACUAGUUAGAGGCCUUUCCUCUGAUGAAUUGGGAAGAUAAUUGAUGUUGAGAUAUAUAUAUAUAUAUUUUUGAUAUAAUAUAUAUAUAUAUAUAUAUAUAUAUAUUCAGUUAGCAUUCAUAUGAAAUUUUUUUGGAGUCAUUUGGAGAUGUUCUUAGGAAUAUGAUCCCAAACUACUGAAAACAUGUCUGUAUGGCUUGUAAAUGAAGCAAGCACUGAACAAUAUUUGCCACCAGCCAAUAAUGCAUUGGAGAGCUUCUACAUCCAUCAGAUACACCACCAUUGUUCAAGUGCAUCAACCCGUGUUCUUAGUCGAGAUCAAACAUCUUUGAAUGCAAAUUCCUUUUUUAACCCAAACUAAACCUAGUUGACCCUAAAGCUAUUGAUACCUACUUAGAUACUUCCCAAAAAUGAACACAGCCAUAAUUUAUAACAACCACAAUUAUACUUUCAUAAUUUUUUGUUAAUUCAAGAGCUUCUCGGGAGAAAAUCUUUUGUAAGUCUAAUGAACUUUACCAUUACUUGCUCUGUUUAAUGCAUGGUUUCAUUCUACAAUAACCAAAUUAGCAAAGUUUAUUUGUUGCAAAACAUAGUGGUCAAAGCCACGAAAGUGGAAAGACUAUAAAUUCAUGUUUUGUAUUCAAGAUGGUUUUUACUUAAAUCCCUAACAUAUCAUCUAUCUCGGGAGAUAAUCUUGCGGUUGUAUCUCCAUAGAAGAUUUUGAACCGUCUUAUUUCUUAUUUAAGCUUUAGCUAGUGUCCAAAAGAAUAUCCACUUCACUUAGAGGUUUUCAAAACUUCAUACAACUGCCGGGUCAAAUAGUAUGUGGAUCAGGCGGAUUCACCCAUGCACCUAUUUUGGCUAUUUGGGUCUAUUUAUUGAAAGUUGUUUGACCUUAUUGAUUUACUUGAUGUGAGAAACAUAUAUGACAUGCAGACGAUACAGUGAACUAUUCAAAAGUUAUCAAAGCAUUUUUAGCUGCCUAUCAAACAUUAUUCAUACAUCUGUAACAUAACUAUUCAAUACUCUAGGUGAAGCUUUAUCUAGUUUAGUGAUUUAAGUUCGAGAACUAAACUUAACCAUCUGCCUGCCUGAUUAUCUGAUUUGCAAUUUAUGUUUCGUUAAAACUAACCCAAGGCUUACCAUUUCCAUCCAUCAAGCUUACAUUGUUUGCUUAACUUUUAAGUUUUUAAUUAAUUUAUAAAUCCAAGAGCUUUCAUCUGUCUUUGCUUUACUUUACUUUUUUUGCAUUCUUGUUGUGUAUCACUUAUAUACUAUUAAAACGGAAGAACUUUUAAUCUUUGUUGCCAAACACUCAUAUUUUAUUUUUUUUAAAAAAUUGUUUAUCUUAAACAACCAAUCUAAAGUUUCAAAUAUUCAAAAUUUAUUUAUAAUUAUAUCAUACAGAAUAUGCUGGAGAGUGUUAGACUUAUGUUUUUAGAAUUGCAGUCCUAUGUGUAUUACUUUUUUAAAACAUGCAAGAUAUCUAUACCAUUUAAGAAGAUACAAACUUUAUUUUUCUGUGUCCAAAAGAAACAAAUCUAUACAAUUAAAAGGGAGUUAUUUUAGUCUUUCUUGCCAUAUACUCUCUAUUUUCUUUAAAAAAAACAAUUAUUUGGAAAAAAUAUUACAUUGACCCAGAUUGAUGUAGUAUUAAUUGAAAAAGAGAAUUUUAUUUUAUAUUAAAAAAUUAUAUGUAAAAUAAAUAUAUUUAAAAUAGACAAAUAUCAUACAAAUAUGGAUGGAGUUCUGGUAGGGAACAAAUACAAUUGGAAAAGAAUUAAAAAAUAAAAGAAAAACAAAAUAAAAUCUCAUGUGGCUUUUAUUUCUUUUUGCAGGUGAGAUGUUUCUGUCUUCCAUGGAAUAUAUAUAUCUAGAAGUUCCUGAUUAUUAUAUAUAUUAUGAGAGAAGUUCUGUGAGUUUUAUCAUCAUGCAUUUAUAAAAUCAUACAACAUUUCUUUUCAAUUUCAGUAUAUCACUCUUCCAAUUACAAAUUUUGGGGAAAUGAUAAUCAGAAACUUCCAAGAUAUUUUGUUAGCUUUAUUACUUGAUUCUCCAUUUUCCAUUAUUUACUGGUCUUGCCUACAAUCAUUGAUUAAAAAAAAGUUCCAAUCUAAAAAAAUUUAUUGUAGUCCAAAACAGAAAAUGCAGAAAAAGAUAAUGGAAAUGGAGAGUCAAGUAAUAGGGCUAAUGAAAUAUACUAUAAAUCUAUGCUUCUUUAAGAGUAAGUAUGCUUUAUUUUUAUAAUUCUUACAUUAUAAGCGUUAUACAUAAUUAUCGUUUACCAAGUAUAUACAAAUAUAUCAAGUUUUUUUUUUAUGAAUCAUAACUAAAUGAUAUACAAACAUUUCGGCACAGAGUUGACAAAUACUUCAAGAUGUUCAUAUUCAAAAAGUGUUGUUGAGUUUGCCACAAUAUCAUUUCCAUUGUUACUCUAUCGAGUCGGCUUGGUCGUUACUCUUCUACCAUAAGACAAGUGUGUGUUUAUUUUUAUUUUCCAUAUAAUAUUUAUGCGUAAUUAUUUUUUACAAAAAUUUCAGCAUACGGUCUACACACAUACCGAAUUUUUUAAUUUUUUUUUUAUCUUAAAUAGAGCACUUAUAGAAAAUUAAUUUGUUUUUAUUAAAGACACUUGUGAGUUUUCCAAUAUUCAGUAACUCCAAAAUCCUCCUAUGAGUUGUUUCUAUAGGUUCACGAUAAUUAAUACAAAUUUAAUUUAAAUUCAAAUAGAAGGAUGUUUAACUUGUAAUUCUAGAUAUAAAAAUAUAAUUCUGGUUAUUUUGUGAAACAUAUUAUCCCACUAAUAUUUCUGAUCCAAGAAUUCAAAUAAAGUAUGAUGAUGUUUUACAAAAUAUUUAAGAUAAAAAAUUCACUUACAACAUAUUUAACAAGUUGUUCAACCGCAUAAAUAAAGUGGUUGGAAAGAUCGCCACCCUAUUUUAUAUUUCCCAAAAUCAAAAACAAAAUUAUGAAUUAGUUAUUAUGGCUGUUCAUUAUAAGACUCAUAUUAUAGUAAGUUUAUAAUAUUUUUCAUUUUUCUUAUUUUUCAAGUUUAAUUUUCUCCCCAAGUAUUUGUAUAUAUAUACUCGCUAUCAAUUUAUAAGAGAAUUCGUCGAAAGUGGACAAAUAGAGGUUGAACAUAUUCCCGGGAAUGAACAGAAGGCAGACAUUUUGACAAAGGCUCUUGGAAGGAUUAAAUUCAAAGAGAUGAGAGAUCUCAUUGGAGUUGAAGAUGUGUCUAAGGUAACUUCAAGCUUAAAGGGGAGAAUGUUGACUUAAGCUUGAAGUUAACAUUCUAGAAGUUAGUAUUUCCUAUUAGGAUUAGAAUUAUGUUUAGGAGUUAUCUAAACAUCUUUAGGAGUUAUCUAAAUAUCUUUAGGAGUUAUCUAUAGAAAAAGGAAAUAUAUAAUCCUAUUAGGAAGAGGUUUUAUUCUACAUAUAAGGAGAUGCAAAAGUGUUGCAUAACUUAUGAGAAGGUUUUGAGAGCUUAAGUUUUGAGAGAUUUUCUUAAGCUAAUAAAGAGAGUUAUUCUUUAUAUUGAGUUCUUAAUCUAUCUUGAGUUCUAUAAUUUCUAUAGAGCAAGCUGGUGGGGUUGAUGCUCUGACGGUAAAUUCUCAGCAUUAAUUGAUUUGUUUCUAUAGUUUGCAUUUAGAAUUAAAUCACAUAAGCUUUUUGUUUUUGUUUUUAUGUGGUGCUAAAUUUUGUAGGAUAUCUUCUACGUUUUACUCUGUUUAUCAUUUUUUUUUGAUUUGUCUCAAGUCGUAUCGCUAUCCUUAAUACGUUUAGAUGUUAAAAAAGGUUUUUAAUCAAUUAAGAUAUGAAGGUAAUAUUCAUUUAGAAAUUCAGAUCAAGGUAAAAUAUUCAAUUUUCAGUUUUUAGCAAUUGGCAUUUACGAUAUCAUGAAUUAUAAGAAAACUUGAAUCUUAAGUGCUGAAAUAUAAUAAUUAAUUAUUUGACAUGGCACUUAUUCGAUAAAAGACAAUAAACUCAAUGAAUUAAAUAUGAUUCAAUAACUAUGCCAUAAGGCCAAUGAUUAUUUUAUCAGGAUUAAAAUUUCUUUUAUAAACCACCAGCUUCUAGGCGAGAAAUUAUUAUGGGUAUUAACAAAGUGAUAUAAAUGAGAAACCAUGGCCAAUGAACAAAACAAUAAACAAACGACUAUAAUUUGAUAAGCAUAAGUCAUGUUUAAUUAUUGUGAUUAAUUUAAGAAUUUUUUUUAAUCAAGCUAUAAAUAAAUCUAUGGCACAAAAACAUGAUCGAUAGCAAAGUAUGGUUUUUUCAGAAAGAUAAUUAGCGAUCAUAAAAACCCUAAUUGAUUUAAAUUACCAGUUCAAAAUCAUUUUUUUUAUAUAGCAAAAUCUAAGAUAUCUAAUGACUUUUGAAAAAACUUUAAAUCAGAGAUACAAAGAUCAGACAAUCAAUAAUUAUUAUCCUAAAUAUAAAUACUGAUUACCAUCCCUUUUAUAAAUAUAAUUGGAGGACACAUAAUUUACCAUAUGAUUAUAUAAUCAUGGAGCCAUAGCCUACCAUAACGAUUGAUUGGGGAAAAAGGUAAUAUUUAUCAUCCCGAAAUAAUAUAAACAUAAACAAAAAUUAAAUAUCACCUUUCAAUGGAAGAACGAAGAGAGACUAUCAUGCUGAUAACAUAUGUUGUGAAUAAGAAAGAGAGAGAAGAAAAGAGAGAAACCAUGAAUAAUGAGAGGUAUAUAUAGUAUUACAAAGAUUUGGAGAGGAAAGUAAAAUCUAAAGAAUAAGGAAAUAAAGAAUAUUUUAAACCUCUUCUAAUAGUGGGCAUUCACAUAAUUAUUCAUAGUAACUAUAUAAAAGUAGGCCAACUCUCUCCAGCAGUCUGCCACGUCAGCGCUGGAGAGAGUACCACACGUCUCUUCAAAAAUUUGAUGCUCGCGCACUUUGUUAUCAACUCAUGCCUUCUAGUAUUCUUCGUUAAAGUUUUGAAAUUACUUCGACAUUUAUUCUCCAUCGCUUCUUCAUCCCUUCCCUCAAUCAUACGAAAAUCAGUUCGCUUUACUUUUGUCAUCCUAGCAUUCUUACUAGAAAAUCUACCAGGAGAAAGAUCAACACAAAUGAGUGCGAGAUUGGGUCUUCUUGGCUUUGCCUCUCUUCCAUGGAAACCACUAGCAAGGCAAUCUGCUUAGUCUAUAGAAAUCGCUUGUUUCUUCGAUUCGAUCAAUCAACCAACUGCUAAAGUAUUUCUUGCAUUCAUUCUCCAUUUUAACGAAACCUUGUAUCAUCCAUUCUGGGUUCACAACGAAUGCACCGAUCAUGGUGAUUUUAUUGAUCAAUUUCGAGUAUUUUUGUUCCCAAGGACUGAGUAUGACAGAUAAUCUAACAUUUAUCUCGAAGGCCGUCGAUUUCAGGUUGACUAUGCCAGUGAGGCCAUUAAGGUAACUUCUCAAUUGUUGUAGCCACUGAAGCCAUUUAGGCUGUCUAUUUCAGGGGUUUUCCUUUGUUGAGGAAGAGCGAGAAUCAAACUUAGAGUUUUUUAAAUUUUUUGUUUCUUAGCUAUAUCUGGUGUUAGUAAUGUACUAUGUUGGGACAUAUGUUGAUUGGGUGUGUGCACUUUUGUAUCCAUUGAUUCUCGAUGCUUUUGAAUUGUUGCAGCUUGGUUCUACUGCAGUUGACGUAAAGACAAAAGAAGGAGUUGUUCUUGAAGUCGAGAAGCCAAUCACAUCGCCCUUGAUGAUAAAUUUCUCCUUUACCAUCAAGUCACAAAGAGGAAAUUUACCAUCAAGGAGUUGUUUUUGUCUUUCUAUUGAGUGAUGUUGUUAAGCACUGCACUUGUUCAUUAACGACUGAUUAUAUUAAACACACAAAUUACUUAUAAUAAUAAUGGGACCAGAAUAUGUUUAAAAUAAUUUAUUCUUUACCCGAAAUAUAUAAAACUUGAGAGUAAUAUGCCACAAUAUAAUUUUAAGUUGCAUCUAUUUAUGCCAGUAAGGUAUGAGAUGUAUAUUACACUAAUUUUGAGAACUAAUUCAAAAUAUUUCAUUUGGAGUGACAGCAAAUUCAAAUCAUAAUAUUCACAUAUAAAUCGGGAAUCUAUUUAUUUUUGUUAUAGUUUCAGAUAUGAUAUAUUAAUUAUAGGAACUAAUUUAACUAUCUUACAAAAAUAAUCAUGGUAGAAUAUGCUUCCAUCAAUUUUUUGAUAUGUUUAUAUUUUAAAUUGAUUUAUACUAAACCUACCAUUCUAAAUAUCCUCUUAAAUCUUAAAAAUCGUUCGAAAUUUUGAAGUUCAUACCUCUAUAGUUUAAUGGGAAUCUAACGUCAAUAAAUAAAAAUAUAUACUUCCAUGUAGUGCUCAAAAGUAUCUCCAUAGUAAUCUUAAAAAAACAUAUUUCAAUAGAUAUUAACAUUGAAUAUAGCAACUUCAAUAACUACUUUACCAGAAAGAUACUCCAGCGGUGAAGAUACUACAAUUAGCUUUAUUUGAGGCAGAAAGUUGGAGGAUAGCAAAUCAAAAAGAAUGCGAAGAUGAGAUCGAGGUUCCACAGUAUCAUGACACCUCUAGUACCCAGCCCUUGGUACUUUGAAUCCCAACUUGUCAAAUCUAUGCCUCUUGGAUCGAUCAUGAACCAGUGAGUGGACUAGGGUAGAGCCAUACGGAUGCCAUGGGACAAGGGAUUUUCGGACUCCGAGGCUGUCGAAGAAGUCUCUCAGCACUACAUGCGGAGAUGGAUGCUCUUCUUUGGGCUAUGCUAUGCCUAAGAAACAAACUCUUUUCUUCGAUUCUUAUCAAGACAUAUUGCUCCAAUUUAGUAACAAUGACUGAGUACCCGAUAGACUGGCCGACCUUCACAUCAGAAUUAGACGCUUUUCAGCAUAUUCGAGAGACUUUUGAGGCCUUCAACAUCAUCCAUAUCCCCUGAGCUUUAACCGUUCGAGCUGAUUCUCUUCCUAAAGAGGUGCGGUCGCGUGGUAUCUUGUUCUCCCAUAUAAGUCAUACAGAAUCGGUAGGGAUGACUCCACAUAACCAUCAUCUUAUCGAUCAAGACUUGACUUAAGCAGAUGGGUAGUCGACAAAAAAGAAAAAAGAUAGGAAACCAUGUCUUAAAUAUGAUUUGAAACUAAAGUACCUUUAUUUCUAGCACAAUGGAAAAAGAAAGAUCCCACGACCCAACUUAUUGAGGGAAUAAUAUUCACUUGUCAUGGGCUCGGUAUCAACCAAUUCUUACCACGGUAACCUCUCCAGAUUUUCACUUUAGUUUAUCCAUAGUUUCAAAUGCUUAUAAAUCUAAUCAUCAAAAUGAAUGCAGUAGUUUGCCUUAUCGGCAGAGCCGUGCUUUAUAUAUGUCAAAAAGGGCAUUUACCUUAGGCCACCAAAUUUAUUUCUUAUUUUAAGGGCAUAUGUUCUUUUAAAUUUAUCCAAAUAUAUAAAUUAAAUGAUUUUGUUUGUUAUGUAUAGUAAAAAAAUAUUAUGUAUAUAUAUAUAUUUUUUUUUUGUCAAAAGGAUUGCAUUUCAUUCAUUUAGGUCGGCCCACUAGAAGCCCGCGGCCCCGAAAAAGCCUUGUUACACGAUUUUGCUAGAGUAUCUGCCAAAUAAUUGGCUUCACGAGGAAUAAAUUGGAAAUUGAUUACAUCAAAACGAGCUUGCAAUCUAUCGAUAUCCUGAAGGAUGCCAUAGAUCUCGGUCAUACUCCUCUUCAUAGUGAUGCAUUUUACCAGUGUGUCGGAAUCUGAAGCCAUGCAGAGACGGUUCAGGCUUAGAUCUGAAGCGAUUUGGAGGGCCUUUCGCAUGGCUAGUGCUUCGGCCACCAGUGGAGAUCCCACCGAUGCAUGUGCUUCUGAUCCUUGGUUCAGGAUGUUUCCGGUCUCAUCCUUGAAGACCCAUCCCAGCCCCGCCGUGAGAGAUGCACAAUUCCAUGAACCAUCAACAAAACAACGGAUCGAGUUUCUCAUGAAUGAAGGUCUCCAUGAUCUUCUCACCGAGCCAGAUAAGUCUCUUUUCUCUGGUUGUUCUAGUUGCCACUCCCUUGCUCCUUUGAGAAUAAUUGAGACUGUUUCUAAUGGGUUAAAGUUCCUCUCAUUGAAGACUCUUUUGUUCCUUGAUGUCCAGAUACUCCAUAGUACCCAGGGGUAUAGGGGGCCUCUCGCGAUUCCUGUAGGGGGGAGGCAUGUGAGAGAUCGCAAGCUUCGGAUUCCUGCUUUGAUGUCGACGACCUGGGAUAUGUUGAUUGUGUUGCUAAACGGAAUCAGGUUCCAGACAUCAGUCGCAAAAGGGCAUUGGAAAAAUAGAUGAAGUUCAGAUUCCGGUGCUCCGCAGUGGAUGCAGGAUGAUGUCAGGAUGACCUUUCGCUUGACUAAGUUGUUUCCCAGCGGUAAUGCUCCUUUCACUAGCUUCCAUAAAAAUAGUUUAAGUUUCUCAGAGCAGGCUUCAUGCCAAAUUUCCUUUCUCCAGUCAAAGCCCUCGUGGUUGUUUGGUUGGGGGGCAUUUAUGAUCGCUGUGGAUUCUACGGAGUGGUAGCCCGAUCUGGUCGUGUAGAUGCCGGAUGAUUGUGGCGUCCAGAUGAGUUUGUCAUCUACGUCAGUGUGGCUUAUUUUGAUGCACAUGAUCUCCUCUUCAAAUUGUGGUAAGAUUUCCUUGAUCAUAGCAAUAUUCCACUCCUUAGUAUUCUCCACAAUCAAGUCCGAAACUUUCAUGUUAUAGACAUGUGCAGGGGCAGGGCCAAUGGGCUUGCAGAUUGAAGACGUGGAUAUCCAAUUCUCCUCCCACACACUUGUUGUCUUGCCAUUCCCGAUUGCCUUCCCCAAUUUCUUUUUUAGUAAGUCCCUUCCCACUAGCACUCCUUUCCAUCCAUGCGAUGAUAUAUCAGGGUUUGGGGCAUCAAGAAAGGUUUUAUCCAUGAAGUAUUUCCCUUUUAGGAUACGGUGGAGCAGGCUCUCUAGGUUCAUGAGGAUUCUCCAGCUCAAGUUUGCCAGCAUCGCAUCAUUGAAGGUUUGUAUAUCUCUGAACCCCAGUCCUCCAUCUCUUUUACUUUUUGUUAGCUUGUGCCAAGCAAUCCAACACAUCUUUUUUGUGUCUGGAUUAGCAUCCCACCAGAAUCUUGUUAACACUGAUUGGAUUCUUUGACAGAGGCUAACCGGUAGUUUGAAACAGGACAUCGCAUGAGUUGGCAUCGAAGACAGGACCGACUUUAGGAGAACCAUCUUCCCUGCACUUGAUAGGGUUUUCGUUGAUCUUGCGAUAGCUUUCUGUCUAAUCCGGUCCACAAUGGAACUGAAAAGGUCCUUUUUCUUCCUUCCAAAAUGCUCAGGUAAUCCUAAAUAUUUGCCCACGCCUCCUUCAUUUUCAAUUCCCAAGAUUUGCUUUGCUCUUGCUCGGACAGCUUGAGAUGUUUUCCGUGAGAAAGAGAUAGCUGACUUUUGGCAAUUGAUUUUCUGUCCUGAUGCUUGCUCGUACUUUCGUAGGAUGUUGACCAAGGCUGUGCAGCAUUUUGUGCUUGACUUACAGAAGAACAUGGUAUCAUCUGCGAACAGUAGAUGGUUUAUCAUGGGGCUUCGUCUGGCUACUCUUAUUCCAGUAAGUGUUCUUCUCCUCAUUGCAUUGAGGCAGAGCCCUGAGAGAACUUCUCCACAGAUAAUGAAAAGGUAAGGUGAAAGGGGAUCACCUUAUCUUAUUCCUCUGCUUGGACAGAUUUGUCCUUUUGGUGAGCCGUUUAUAAGUACUGAGAAUUUCACCGUAGAUACACAUUGCAUAAUCCACUGAAUCCAUGUUGAAUGAAACCCCAUUUGCUUUAAGACUUCAUUGAUAAAAUCCCAUUCUAGACGAUCAUAUGCCUUAGUCAUAUCUGUUUUGACUGCCAUAGCUCCUCUGAUUUCUGCUUCUGAAGUUUUUAAAAAAUGCAGGAUUUCAUGGGUGAUAAGGACGUUGUCCGAUAUCAUCCUGCCGGGGACAAAAGCUGAUUGGUUUUCGGAUAUAAUCGUGUGGAGGAUUGGUCGCAAUCGAGCUGUCAGGAUUUUUGAGAUGAUUUUAUAGUAGACGUUGCAAAGGGCAAUCGGUCUGUAGUCUGCCACGGAUAGCGGAUUGCUGAUCUUUGGUAUGAGACAUAUAUGGGUGUUAUUGAUGUCCUUUGGGAGCAAACCCGAGGUAAAGAAACUCCGAAUCUCUUUGGUGAUAUCCGUUUUCAUUAGAUCCCAAUGAGUAUGAAAGAAACUCGCUGAGAAACCAUCCGGGCCAGGAGCUUUGUCCGGGUGGAUUCCAAAAAGGGCUGUUCUAAUCUCUUCUUCAUCUGGAAUCUUGAUUAGUUCCUCAUUGGUUUCAGGAGAGAUUCUCGUCUGGAUGGCUUCCGAGACAAUGUCCACACAUCUUUCAUUCGCAGAUGAGAACAGGGAGUGAAAGUAGUCCGUUAUUGUUUCUGACAUUUGGUCAUCCUCAUAGACUGAUACUCCUUCUUUGUUCUUGAUAACAGAUAUGUUGUUCCUAGCUCUUCUGCCCCUUGUAGCAGCAUGGAAAUAUCCACUAUUCUUGUCACCGAGGCUUAGCCACAACUGGCGGCUUCGUUGUCUCCAGAACUCCUCCUCCGCUUGGUAAGCUCGCCGAAGAUCAUCGUUGAUUUUAUUUAUUAGGUAGUCAUCACAAACCGGACUUGACAUUGCUGUCUCCAAUUCGCCCUUCUUUUGUGUGAUGAUCUUCUGGCUAUUGACAUAAUGCUCUUUUUUCCACUUGAUGAGGCUUCUUCGGCAAUGGCUGAUUCGCUGGUCUACUGUGGCCGAAGGAUAAGCCAGCCAGGUGCUCUCAAUCAAUUGUUUUACUUCCGUGUUGUUUUGCAGACUUCUAUCAUAUCUGAAAGUUCCUCUUCUACGGUUUGAAGGUGCGAAACUGGUGAUGAGAGGCCUGUGAUCUGACGCUUCGAAGGCUAGGUAUUCACAGCUCGCGAGAGGGUAUGCGCAGAACCAAGCACUGUUGGCCACCGAUAUGUCAAGUCUGCAUUUUACAUGGUGAUUACUUCGAUUCCCUCUCCAUGAUAAAAAGUUCCCAAAAUGCUUAAUGUCAUAUAGAUCAUUUUCAGACAUGAACGAGCGAAACUCUACAAACGACUCCUCUGAUCUAGGGGGCCCCCUUUUUUUCAGAGCUAUUCACCAUAUCAUUAAAAUCUCCGGUUAGUAUCCAUGGUGCAUCUCUGCUUAGGCCUGUAGUCGUUAUUCUUUGCCAUACUUCCUUCCUUUUUUUCUUUUCCGGGUGGCCAUAUACAAAAGUUGCAUAUAGAAGUUGUCCUUUGUGUUUGAUGGUGGUGUCAAUGAAGUUCUCACAACUGGAUAUCACUUGCAGGUCGAUCUCUUUUUUCCAUAACAACGCCAGUCCGCCGCAUCUGGGAGAGAUUGGUGGGACUGUGAAGUGCUUAUCGUAAUCCAAGGGUUGAAGCUCUGUGAGGACAAAAGGGUCAGGAUUUUUUGUCUCCAUGAGGAAUAAGAUGUCCGGGAAGUCAAACUUGCGCUUGAUUUCCUUGAGUCUAUGAACUGUCCAAGGGUUCCCCAGCCCUUGGCAGUUCCAGCUCGUAACUCUUAAGGAACGGGAUUGGGUGGUUUGUGAAAAUCCACCCUCUCCUUUGUGAUUCUCGGAAUAAUUGUCACCUGAGCCCCUUGUUGGUGAGAUCCCUUCCCUUUACUUGGUGGUAUUCCUCUGCUCGAGCUUCCCCUGUGGUAAGUUGUUGUUCCAUUCUCCUCAUUGCGAGUGAUGUUUAGAGCUUGUUUACGUCUUUUUGGUGAUUGUUGAACUUGCAUGACCCGACGUUUUUAAGAGCAAGCACCAGUAAGGAUAGAGGGGCUGAAAUGAGCUUUCUUUGCUCCUGGGGGUCUUCCCCGUUUCCUUGGAACAGGUACGACAUUCAUUUCAUUAGUCGGUCCCAGUCUUUGAGAGACUGGGGUUCUCUCUUGUUGGUCUUGUUCUGACUGUGGAUUCUGAUCCUGGUUGUUUUGAGUUGCAAGUACAGAUCUCACCAUGUUGGCAGCAGUCUCUUCAAAUUCCCCAGCCUCUUCAGCAAGUCUUACUCUUUCUCUUCGGGCAGCACUUUCAGUCGGGUCCUCACAAUUAGCAUAUCUGAUCAUGACGUCCCUUAGUUCCCCGAUGGCUUCUUCCAUCGCCUGCUGGGGUAAGUCUUCUAUAGGAGUAAUUGGUAUAUCCACCAGCUGUUCAUUGUUUUCCUGGACUCUCGAAUUUUCCGAUAGAGGGUUCAUUUGUCUUACAGGCGAUCUCGGUUUUUCCCUCCAGACUUGUCUUGCCACUUCUCUACCAUGAUUGGUUGAGUUGUUCCUCCCAUAAGAAUGAUGAUGGUACGAAGAGACAGAUGAACCUCUUUGGUGGAUACGGGAGUCAGGUCUGUAAGGUUCCCUUCUGUCGUUUUGGUUUCGAUAUGAACUCCGUGAAUAUGAUUCGUUUCUGCGUGGUUCAUAGGUGGAGUGCUCCAGGUUUUGGCGUCUUGGGGAGCUUCUCUCAGAUGAUCUUCUGCUGCGAAUCGAGUUCUGGGAUGCCUCUAAGGCCCUUGGAUCAGAUUCACGGGGUUUAGCAAAUCCCAUGUAGCUCCUUCCGUUUCUAUCAUUGCUUCGAGUAGGAAUAUAUCUGCCAUCCUCGAUUGCUUCUUUAGGUCCAGGGGCCUUUAUCUUUGGUGUUUUUGAAUCAUUCUUUGUCAAGGUAGGGCAGGACUCCUUUUCAUGAUCUAACCGGUUGCAAAUUUUGCAGAAUCUUCCCAACUUUUCAUACACAAGGGUAGCAAUAAUCUCACUUCCAUCAGGGAAUUCGAUGUGGGAUUUCAUGAUAAGCGGCUGGAGUCCAUUUACUUGGACUCGCAUUCGUGCUGCUGACGGUGAGAUGUCCAGGGUUUCAAGCAGACCAAGAUCUUCUCCCACACCUCUGAUUAUUUCCGUGGUCCAUAAGUGCACGGGGAUUCCUUGGACUUUAAUCCAGAAGGGUAUCUGUGAGGGGAAGCUAGGAGAUAAGGUGGGCUCCCAUCUUUGGAUUAUGAUCAUCCACUGCGCAAAGUGGUAAGGUCUGUUGUCUAGAACGGUUUGGAUAUCUUCCUCGGAGGAGAAUUGGAAUUGAAAAAGUCCCUGUCCUAGGUCAGAUCCCGUCGCUCUUGUUGAAGUUUUCAGCACAUUUUUCCACAGAUCUGAGAGGACCGGAAUGAGUGACCACAUUCUCUGUGCUUCCGGAUUUGUGACUCUGCCGAUUAGAGUGAGUGAGUGUCGUCUUAUCAGGUUGGCGUUGUUUGGGAUUUGGACUCUUACUCUCGAUACUCUUGGCCUCAGGUUUGAGUCAUCAGAAUCCCUUUCCCUUCUCGAGUAGUUUGAGUGACUGCUGUUAUUCACAACAGCUUUUCCUUUUUCGUGGUAGGAGAUUCUGUGGGUCAUUUUGCAAGGUUGUCGCCGGAGCUGGAGAUGAAGGUUGGAAGCGAACAGAUUUUUAAACGUUUAUAUGGUUCAGGGACGGAUCCGAGAUAGAGUAGAAGGAUUCUCCUAUUCCAGGCGAGAAGAUUCAGAGGCCCGGAAGCAUAGGUUUCUCCAUGUAGAUUUAGGCAUGUUGAGACAGAGCUUUUGGGACAGAGAAGGCUGAGCCAUGAGAUGGAGAGUACUACCAGUAGAGAGAAAACGGACCCUCCGACGGAGGUCGGGGGCGGAACCCGGCGAAGCAAGACCAAAGGUGGUUUUGGUUAUUUGAAAAACUUUCUAUUUUUGGCAAAACCAGGUAGCAAAAUGUCGUUGUCUGUUAAAACCAGGUAGCUUGAAACCUUCCAGAGAAACGUGUCUGAGAGAGUUUUUUACACAUACUAUAUACGGAUCUAUUUCCUUUAGUUCCUCCUGUAUAUAUAUAUAUAUAUAUAUGAGGAACAACUAUAACAAAUAUGUUAUGAUAUUUAAAAUUACAUUUUGUUUAAUAAAAACUAUAAUGUAGUAUUAACAAUAAUUCAACUAUAUAUAAAAAUUUUAAAUUUGAACAUAUAAAAUAAUAAUAUAUUUUAUAAUUUGUCUUAGGCCUCUCUAAAGCUAGGCACGGCAUUACUUAUUGGUAAAAUAUCUCUGCAUGAUACAUCAAUUGGCUGAGACAACCAACAAGAACAGACAAGCAAAGUCAGUUUUCUUUUCUCAAAUCUCUUCUUGGCAUCGUCCAUUAACUAAAACCAUUUCCAAUCCAUCUCAAACCGUUUAUGUACUCAUCAUUAUCUACACAAGAAACUGUUAAACUGAAGCUAACGUUAUAACAAAGCUGCAAAACUGUGAGAAGAUUUUCUAAUAUCUUAAAACAUCUUCAAGGGUCAGAAAGCGUCUAUGAAAACUUGGAUAAGAUAUAAAGUCUUUUGAAAAGUAGAGAACAAAGGUGACCUCGGAAAAAUGUUUUUCUCGUCAAUCAUGCGUCUUACAGAAAAUUUCAAUAACUUGAUUUGCAUAAACUUAUUUUUUUUAAAAAAUAUUUAAACACAAUAUGAGGAAUGUAAAGAUUCUCAACCUUGGAAAAAGGUAGCUCUCCUUUUCAAAGUCUUUAAAACGAGUCAAGGAGUAAAAUUAGCCCUUCCAAUUCUCUUCAUGUUGAAACAAGUCAAUGUACUUAUUUGUACUCGCAUGUUUAAUUAUUGAUUCUCAUGAGGAAUAAAGUUACAAGUGAGUUAUAUAUAGAUAAAAAGCAUUUUGAAUUAAAAUAAAUACAAAUGAAAAUAAGACAUUUACAUUUACUUAAGUUAAAAAAAAAUAAUACAUUUAAAAAAUGUAAACUUCAUAAGCUUAAUUAUUAAUAAAUAUCUAUCUUAAACUUCCAUGUUCAAUCUCAUAAAGUCCUAAGACAUUUCCAUUAUAAAAUCUCUAUCUUAAUUCAUAUUUUGGUCGAUCUCAUCCAUCUUCUUACAUUUUUAUUUUGAAAAAUACAUAAAAGAGAUUUGGAAGCCUAUUUGGAUGAUAAAGAAUUACAACUAACUAGGAUAAACAAAACCAACAAGUUAUUUAAAGAAAAGUCACAACUCACAACUAACUUGAUGGCUCAGCCACUUGAUUGGUGAGCAAAAUGAAAUUAGUGGAAACAUAAUUAGGCAAUUUCCACAAAAGAAGACAGAAUAAUCAAAUUAACAAUAUAUAAGCUUAAACACAACCACAUUUAAUCUCUAAAAAACCCAGUAUAUAUAAAAAUCCGCGUAUGCGCAGGUAUUCACCUAGUACUAUUAAAAGAAAAGUACAUUUAUCAGUUGUCCUUAACUUUAUGUGGCAUAUUACAAAAUAUGCCAUUAGAAAAAUAUUAAAUCAUGACCCAAAAAAAAAUUAAAACCAAGGUUAAAAGGAGAAGAGGUUUUUUUUUUUUUUUUGUCAACAGCCUCUUCUCCUAAACCGAAGGUGUUAACCAAACCGGUGGAGAUGAGUUCACAUAAAUCAUAUUCCGUGGAUAGACUCUAGCGCUGUGAGCAAAUGCGUCCGCCUUGGUGUUCUUCGCUCGUGGUAUGUGGAUCAGUUUGAAAAAAGGAACUUCUCUCUGGAUUUCUGGAUUUCCCCCAAUUGUAGUGCAAAUGCUGGCCAUUCCGUUGGUGCCGACACCAUCUUCACCACAUCAGAAUAGUCUGUUGCAAAAACUACUUCUCUUCGCUGAUUUUCAAUCAUGCACAACAUUGCCCAUAAUAGUGCCUCUACUUCUGCAUGUAAAGGAGAUAAGCUGCGUCGUAAAUUUUGUGCCCCCAUUAUGGUCUCGUUGGAUUCCUCGCUCCUAUAAUACCAUCCUAUACCUGAUUUUUUAUCUGUCUCCUUCCAAGAACCAUCCACCGAACACCAUCCCUUAUUAAAGGAGGUCGGGUGUGAUGGCAAUUGAGGAUGGUGUAUUUCCGUUUCAGUUACCGAUUUUUGUGUCUCAAUCCAUAAAAGGCUUUCCGUUUCUGCUAAUUUAAGCGUUAAUCGUGGAUCCCUGUCUAUGUUUGAGAAUAUUUUUUCAUUUCUUGCUUUCCAAAUGUACCAUACUAUCCAUGGGUAUGAUUCAUUAAAAAUUCCUGGUGGUGUACGCCAAAACAAAUAAUCCAAAUUUCCAUAAAUAGAACUUCCUGGGAAAACUCCCGUAGGUGUUGGGAACUGUGACAAAGCCCACGUCUGCAUUGCGGGUGGACAUUCAAAUAAAACAUGAUUGAUCGUUUCCUCCUCUGCCCCACAUCGAUUGCAUUGUGCAUCACAUUUGAUUCCUCUGUUGUUCAGAUUUUUGGCAACAGCCAGACAACCGGACAGUACUUGCCAUAGAAAAUGGCGUAAUUUAGGGGGACACCUCAGUUUCCAUAGUUUUACUAAUAAGGGCUCGAAAGUAGGUCCAUAUAGGUUUUGUGUUUCUGUUUCCGAGUUUUGGUGUUCAAUUUGGUAUCCAGAUUUGACCGUAUAUUUGCCUGAUUUUGUGAAGUGCCAACCCAAUACAUCCGGCCGAAAUGAGGCGCUGAUUGGCAUCCCUUGUAUUAUUUCCACAUCUUUUGGAUCUAUGAUAGCAUUGAGGAGCCCCAUAUUCCAAGUACUAGUCUGUGGAUCAAUGAGAUGAUUAACCAUGAGAUUUGGGUAAUAAUUAUAACCCUUACAUAUUGCUGAUCUCGGGCGAGAAGAUGGUAUCCAGGGAUCUUUCCAAACCGAAGUGGAACAUCCAGAACCAACUCUUUUGAUUAGCCCUUUGUUAACCAGAGAUCGAGCUGAAAUAAUACUUCGCCAUCCGUAAGAUGGGGAAUAUGACUUUAUGUUGUCCAUUGGACCUGCAUUCUGAUAAUAUCGUCCUUUGAGUACUCUCGCAAACAGCGUAUCUGGCUUUUCUAUUAAUCGCCAUAACUGUUUUUCCAACAGUGCCGUAUUAAAAUUCUCUAGCGACCUGAAGCCCAUGCCCCCCACCGAUUUGUGACGGCACAUCUUUGGCCAUGCUAGCCAGUGCAUUCCUUUUCCUUGACCUUUCGUGUUCCACCAAAAUCUUGCCGUGAUGCUCGUUAACUUUGUGGUGAUUGAUUUUGGUAAGCGAAAACAUGACAUGACAAAAGUUGGCAUAGCGGAAGCCACCGAUUUUAUUAGUACUUCCUUUCCCCCUUUUGAUAAAAAGUUGGAUGUCCAUCCGUUUACGCGAUCCUGUUGUCUGUCAGCUAAAAACUGGAAGAUCCUGGUCUUUGUUCCCCCAAGGUUUUCCGGUAAUCCUAAAUAUGAGCCCAUUCCCCCCAUGUUGUGAAUUCCUAAAAUUUGUUUCAUCUCAUUUUUCACUAUGUCUGAGACCUUAUGCCCGAAUUGUAUUGACGACUUGUCAAAAUUUAUUUGUUGACCCGAUACGUUCUCAUAUUGGCGGAGCACCUGCAAUAUCUGCUGACAUUCCUCCUUGUUUGCUUUACAAAAGAAAAGGCUGUCAUCCGCAAAUAACAAGUGUGAGAUCGAAGGGCUUGACCGGGCUACUUUCAAUCCGGUCAACUUUCUGUCUUGUUCUGCCUUCUUUAUAUUAGAUAUCAGGACUUCCGUACACAAAAUGAAUAAAUAUGGGGACAAUGGAUCCCCUUGUCGGAGUCCCCGAUGUGGAGUUAUUCUUCCUUUAGGUUGCCCAUUCAAAAGAACUUUAUAUUGUACUGACUUUAUACACCACAUCAUCCAGGUAAUCCAUCUUUCCGCAAAUCCCAUUUUUCUCAAGAGAUGUUCUAUGAGAUCCCAUUCAAUCCUGUCAUAGGCUUUGCUCAUGUCCGUUUUAAUUGCCAUGAAUUUAUCUUGGCAGGACUUAUUUGUGCGGAGCCCAUGGAACAUUUCCUGUGCAAUCAGAAUCUUAUCCGAGAUCAAGCGUCCCGCGACAAAAGCCGAUUGUGUUUCUGAAAUAAUAUCGGGUAAUAGUUUCUUUAACCGUUGACACAAAACUUUAGAAAUUAUUUUGUACCCAACAUUGCAUAGACUUAUUGGUCGCAGUUCCGUCAUUCGAGUUGGUCUGUCCUUUUUUGGAAUUAAACAUAUGUUAGUCAUAUUUAAUCGUUGAUCGAAGAUCCCUGUUUCCAAGAAGCCAUUUACUAACCCAAGUAAAUCCGUUUUAAUUAUCUGCCAUGAUUUUUGAAAAAAUAAGGCUGUCAUUCCGUCAGGCCCUGAGGCCUUUUCCGGGUUCAUCAUAAACAAAGCUUUGUACACCUCAUCUUCUGUUGCCUCCGCCACUAACAUGGCAUUAUCCUCCUCUGUGACUCGAUUUUGAAUUUCUCCAAGUGCGGAUUCAAAUUGUAAUGGGGAGGUUGUAGUGAACAAGUCCUCAAAAUAUCCCACUGCAACUUGUUCGACCUCUUUUUCGGAGGUCACCCAUGAACCUGCCGCAUUAUACAAGCCGACAAUUCGAUUCCUUGCUCGUCUUUGUUUUACAUGCGCAUGAUAGAAUUUUGUAUUUUUAUCACCCCCAAUAGCCCACUCGUUCCGGCUUUUCUGUUGCCAAAACAGCUCCUCGUCUCUAUAAGCUAUUUUUAAUUUCCUUGUAACCUCUAUUAAUUCCUCCUCCGAUUUUGUAUCAUCAUUUUGAACGUCCUCAAGCUCCUUUUGCAACUCAGUAAUCCUCUCUUUCCCGUAAGGUAGAUUGUUUUUCCUCCAUCUAGAUAUUUCGCGACGGCAAUUAGAGAUUUUUUCCAUGAACGUCCCCUCACGUCGCCCAAAAUUUGAAGUCCAUCCUGUAGAAAUAGCAUCCAUUAAACCCUCUUGGCCAAUCCAUCGUUUGUCAAAUCGGAAUUGGGUUCUCUUCCGGGGGAUUUUAUCCUCAAUUGUUGUUACUAUCGGUCUAUGAUCCGAUCCAAUCAUUGCCAGAUACUCCAUAAACGAAUGACAGAACAUCUCAUGCCAGUGUUCGUUUGCUAGAGCUCGGUCCAAUCGACAUCUUACUAUUUUGGAGUUUCUACGUCCCCUCCAGGACAUGGUAUUUCCUAAACACGGAAAGUCUAGAAAACCGCAAAUACUAAUCAUGAGAUUAAAGGAUGUAAAGGUCGAUGCAUGUCGCAAGGCUCCACCUUGCUUUUCAUGGUUACCAGUAAUUUCGUUUAGGUCUCCAAUGAUAAACCAGGGUUCUUUUCGAGAAAGGCUGAUUCUCGUCAAUCGUUCCCAUACUUGAUCCCGUUGUUUGGGAACCGGAUCUCCAUAAAUAAAAGACAGAUAAACAGUUUUUCCUUGAAUAACCGCUUCGAUAUCGAUUAUUCUUGCACUUGAAUAUAUUACCUUAAUGUUAAAAAGAUCAUUAUAAAAAAGUGCAAGUCCUCCACUUGUUCCGCAAGGUUCAACCGUAAAUAAUUUAUUAUAACCAAAAUGAAAUUGAAAUUGUUGCACAAAAGAAAAACAUUGUUUAGUCUCAGAAAGAAAUAAAAAUUCGGGCCUAUGUCUUUUCCAAAUCUCUCGCAGGUAGCUUAUUGUCCAUUUGCCUCCAAGACCCUGAAAAUUCCAGCUAAGUACUCUCAUUAAUGGCUUUGUUUGUUGCUUUCUGCCCCUGUUUUGGGUUUAAGGUCCCCUUCGGAGCUCCAUUCUGGCCUUUGUCACCGAUGUGGUUCCCAUUUUUGACCCCUUGUUUUUUCUGAGGAGAUGUAAAUUUUUGAACCAAUCUCUUCUUUGUACUGCCUCCUAGAAAGAGCGGGUUGCUCUUGACGGUUUUCUUUUUUACUUCGUUUUUGUCUCCGUCCUUCGCCACCUCAUCGAGUCCCCCUCCCUCUAUAUCCGAUGACUUUGCAGGACCUGUCUCACCCAGUAAAUCUGCAACUGUGACCUCAAGACCUGCAGAGUCCCACAAUUCCUCAACCUCUGUAAUAGACUGGAAAAAUUCCCCGUCUUCAAAGUCAUCCUCACCCCUUUCCUUUUCCACAUUUCCUUCGCAAGUGAACAUGUCCGGAUUAGCUUCCAUGUCUUGCCCAAGAGUCACCGUGAUUUCAUUACCGGAUGAGCUUGGCUUAAUAUGGUCCUGCAUUUCCGAGCACAGGUUUAGCUCCUCCUCUUUUGCAGCUUCCAAACUGUGUUCCAUCAUGUAUCCUGAGAUGUCGUUAGCUGAUAAGGUCAGCCCCUGGUCCUGCAUAUCCUCGUCACCUGCCAUUCCAUCAUCAUUAGUCUGUUCUGUCACCGUAUUAAUCACCUCCAACUCCCUGUUUCUGUUAACAUUUGCUCUCCCAUUCAAGACCGGUUCUUCCAUGAGAUCAUCUUCAUCAAAAGAAAGGCUCUUCCUUGCUAAGCUCCUUGUUUGAGACAAACCGGUUUGGUUCCCGAUGUUGUGAUCCCCCUUUAUGAUCGCCUUAUCUUAGUGGAAUUCUUUCCUCUGGCUCCUAGUAACCUCCACCGUGGAGCUCAACUCCUUUUCAGAAAGGGGUUGAGAUCCCCCUUUGUGAAAUCGGUGAAUCUGGAUGAGGGGAAGGUUCAGGUGGUAAUCGACGGUUCGAAGCCCUUAUGCUUCAAGACAACAGUAGACUUCGACGAAGGUGUGGAGAUGACAAUAUAUUUGCGAUACGAGAAGUUAUUCGGUUACUGUAGGAACUGUCUAAGCCUCUGCCAUGACCAACAACGCUGCCCCCUGCGGACGGGAACGGAUGAACGGAAACCUCAAGAAACCGGCCUUGAGAUAGCAGAUAGAAACCAGAGUGUGGCUUCGUACAAGACGGUCACAAAAUAUGGAGGGGGUGGAGGAAGAGACUCGGUGAAAAAUGAGAGUGUGAAUGCAGGUUUUAAAGGGAAGGGCAAAGCUCAUAGAGAAGAAGCUGAUCACAAGCUGAAAGGCAGAUCGGAGAAGAAGACCGGUGAUCACUCAAUGGUCUUAACGAGACCAUCAGGGUAUAUCCCUCCAAAGGCGCUACACAGGACAUACAAAGCCAAAGCAGCUGGUAAUAAAGGAGAAGAGGUUUAUUAUAAUCAAAACCAGUGGAUCUUAUAUUUUACCAGACUUUUAAAAACACAACCCAUUUAUACAUUUUCUUUGGUAUUUUAUGAAGAUCUAUGCGUUUAUCGGAUUGCUAAUUGGAUCCAUUUGGUUUUUCUGAAUUCUUUAGUAAAAACACUCGGAACUUAAUUAUUACCUGACUUAAAAUAAACGCGAUCUGUUUUAUUUGUCAUUUUACUCUUUACAAGGUCCGCAUCUCAAUUCAACUUCUAAUUGGAUCCAUUUUGGUUUUUCCUGAUUUUUUCCCGUUUUCUGAACUACAACAAUACCAUAUAUAUCAUUGACUUUCGUUGACACUUUUUUUAAAAACAUUUGUGACAUUAUUUGACAUACUAUUAUCUGAUUAUAUUAAACACACAAAUUACGUAUAAUAGUAAUAGGACCGGAAUAUGUUUAAAAUAAUAUUCUCCUUACCUGAAAUAUAUAAAACUUGAGAGUAUAUGCCACAAUAUAAUUUCAAGUUGCAUCUAUUUAUGUCAGUAAGGUAUGACAUGGACAUUACACUAAUUUUGAGAACUAAUUCAAAAUAUUUCAUUUGGAGUGACGGCGAAUUCAAAUUAUAAUAUUCACGUAUAAAGUGGAAAUCUAUCUAUUUUUGUUAUAGUAAUUCAGAUAUGAUAUAUUAGAUAUAGGAACUAAUUUAACUAUCUUACAAAAAUAAUCAUGGUAGAAUAUGCUUCCGUCAAUUUUUUUUUAUGUUUAUAUUUUAAAUUGAUUUAGAAUAAAUCUACCAUUCUAAAUAUCCUCUUAAAUCUUUAAAAUCAUUCAAAAUUUUGAAAUUCCCACCUCUAUAGUUUAAUGGGAAUCCAACGUCAAUAAAUAAAAAGAUAUACUUCCAUUUUUGGAGAACUUUGUGGAGGAAGCUAGGUACAAAGCCCUUUUCUCCACUACUUGUCAUCCUCAAACGGAUGGACAAACUGAAGUGGUAAACCGUACUCUUUCCACUUUACUUUGAGCAGCCCUUGGGCGUUAUAUGAAAACUUGGCUAGAUUGUAUACCCUUUGUAGAAUUUGCUUAUAACCGCGUGAGGCGCUCAGCUACUAAGCUGUCACAUUUCGAGGUUGUUUAUGGUACUAACCCUUUGUCUCCAGUAGAUUUAAGACCUAUAGCACAGGUAGAACCAAAAAACUUAGACGGCCUACGAAGAGGCGAGUUGUUCAAGAAGCUUUAUGAGACGGCUCGCGACAACAUUGAGAAAAAGACCGAUGGCUACAAGAAAGCCGCAGACAAAGGACAAAAGGAAGUCACCUUUGAACCAGGAGAUUGGGUGUGGUUGCACAUGAGGCCUGAAAGAUUCCCUAAUCAACGUGCCUCCAAGCUCGCACCAAGAGGAGACAGACCGUUCAAAGUCUUAAGCAAAAUCAAUGACAAUGCCUACCGUCUUGAUUUGCCAGGUGAGUUUAACAUUUCUCACACUUUCAACGUUGCUGAUCUGUCAUAUUUUGAUGCAGCUGAAGAAGUUUUGGGGUCAAAACCUUUUGAAAAGGGAGGGAAUGAUGUGGACAUCGACCCUACCGACCCAUCAAACAUCGAGAGACACAUGCCGGAGGUCCAAGACGGGGCCAUGACUCGGUCCAAGAUCAAACAAAUGAGGAAUAAAUACAGGAAGGCGCUACACGUCAUUAUAAACUCACUGGACCCAAACAACCCCCUGUUACCAGAUCUACAAGUCAUACAUGGUUUAAACGACCUUUGCGGCCAAAUCGGGCCCGAGAACAUGACUCAAGGAGAAGUCACACCAGACCAUCGAUUCCCACAAGGCCAAUGUAACAUCUCUCGACCAACUUUUCAUUUAAAAGCUAACAGUCCGAGCAGAAUUCCUUUUACAGGCUUAAAACUUGAAGAAAUCGGAGAUAGCCCAAAAAUAGCCGAUGCGCGAGAAUUUUUAGCCGAUACACGAGAACUUUAAUCCGAGAAAAUGGAGCCUCAACGGCUAGACCACCCUGACGACAAAAUCGACCGUCUUGGAGCUGACAUUCCUCGACCAAAAUCAUCCCCUGAAGCCAACGCUCGAGAAAGAAUUGAAUUCCAACGAGCAGAACAGGAGAUUGCCGAUGCCACACUCGUUUUAGCCGAGAAAUGCCAUGCAACACAGGCCGAGCCACCAGACGACCUAGAAAUGACCAACAAAGGUAAUUUCUCUCAACCAAGUGCAUAUUAUAAGACUAAUGCACGUGGAAUUCUCGCAGGCGAACGUGCAGAAUUGGAGUUGCUUCACAACACACCAAGUGGACGCGAUGACGAGCUAACCGAGGCCGAGCGACUAGCCAUACAAGAAGCGACGGUCAUAGAGCUUAAGGGACAUGAAGAUCAAGAUUCUCCGGGACUAGAAGACGCCUCAAGCGACCCAAGCCACAGCAGGCCAAGGCAGGACACUUCAAUGAACGACGAGGCCGCACACGACACCAACGAGCCGCGCCACCCAAAGUAAGUAUUUCAAUUAUUUCAUUGUGCUUACAGGAGGAGCCAACAUCUCCAUCGACUAAGUGUCAGAGUUAAACGACUCAAGUCAUGUAGUUUAAGUCUUUUAUUUUAAACUUUCCAUUUCUGUAAUAAAUGAAACGAUGAGCUUUGUUUCUUAGACUAGGUUUGUUUUCUUUGAGUUUUAUUUACUUAGUCCUGUCGUUUUGAGUCCAGAGUCGAACCCUAGAAGGUUCAAGCUGACGAACCAGUUUAUAAGGUUCCUUUGCAGCAUUGUAGUCCGCAGACUUUUUCCCAUAUCAAUAAAAUAUCGAACUUUCUUCAAAGUUUACCCAAGAAGCGAUUUCUCUUUGUUCUUGGUUUGUUUGUGCGAUUCAAGCAAGCUUUGAGCCUUCACCGUAUCAGAGACUCACCAUCAUUCUGUGUUGUGAACUCACGCCGCCAUCACACCCCGUUUAGAUCCCACACGAGGGGGCGACCGCGUGUGUGUCAGAUCAUUCCAUCAUCGACCAUUAACCGAGCUAAGGAGAGGGCGACCGCCUAUCUUAGUUCCCACCCGUAUCCUCAGUGUGAGAGCCACCACCGGUUCUUACAUCAUUUUGGUAUCAGAGCCGAAGUGCCUGCUUCGGUUUUCUUACCCUUAUCUUUUGUUAUUUUCUGUUAUUCCGUAUUCAUUAGGUUGUUUAGAUCGGUUGAAGUUUAAUAAGAAAAAAAUAAAAUAUAGUUAGGGUUGUUAGUUAAGCGUUAAUUGUUUUCGUUUAUUUAGAAGUCAAAAUAUAUAUAUAUAUAUAUAAAUAUAUAUCAUAGUCUUAUUUCAUAUCCUUGUAUACCCGUUUUCAUUCAAAACUAGAAAAGAACAAAAGAAUUAUAUUAGAGUUUCAGUUCCUUUAGUGUUAUCUACUCGUCUCACACUUAAUACUUUGACAAGUCGUUGUUUUUGGUGAGCUUACAAGGAACCGUGUUUUAAAACCAUGGGAGACAACAGUGACAUUACCAACAACGCCGCACCAGCUCAUGCCAAUGGACAGCAACAUAAUGAGCUCAUGGCAAUGCUUGCCACCAUGAGAGAGGAGCUGCGAGACACUCAUGAGCGUGUUGCGCGUCUUGAGCCACAACAACCGAGGACUCUCAACACAGAACUUCCACCAGCUCGGAGGAAUGUGUGAGCCAACCUAGAGCAUAACCCUGAGGACUCGGAGACGGACAGCAUGCCGGAACUAGAGGAGGAUCAACCUCCUGAUCCUUUGAAUCGGCAUCACCAGAGGAGACAAGACCCUUUGCUCAGAAACAGGCCAAGAGAACAAGAGCGUAGGGAAGUUAACAAUGACAUGAAAAUAACUCCUCCCACUUUUGCAGGCAAAUCAAACCCUGAGAUCUAUUUAGAUUGGGAGAGGCGCUUGGAGUAUAUCUUCGAGUAUUACGAUUAUGGAGAGCUCAAGAAGGUCGCGUUAGCUGCGGCUCAGCUCACCGACAAUGCAUUGGCAUGGUGGGAUCGCACCGUAUUCAAACGACAGGAGGCGACAAGUCUUUGGCCCAAUUCAAACGUGGCACGACAUGAAAUACCUACUGCGGUUGAGGUAUGUGCCCGAACAUUAUCAUAGGGACUUACAAAAACAUUUUCGUAAGUUGACACAGGGCUCAAGGAGUGUUGAGGAGUAUUUCGAAGAGUUCGAGAAACUCAUGAACUCUUUGGAGUUAGAAGAGUCCGAGGAGGCUCUCAUGGCUCAGUUCGUUGAUGGCCUUCAAGAGAGAAUAACUCGGAAGGUGGAACGAAUUAAGUAUAGUGGCUUACAUGAGCUACUACAUCUUUCGGUGCAAGUGGAGCAACAAAAUCAAGAGAAAAUCAACUCUCUCAAACCGAGGCCGAAACAAUCAGCCUUGGAAAGCCAGCACCAGCAAACCCCUAGACAAAGGCAAAGCUAUAGAAAUUGAGUCUCGAUUCAAAGGCAAACCCACUGAGCCUCCAAAAUUAAACAAACCGGAACAAGGUAAGUUUCAAAACACUAGUCAAGCUAGAACCCGAGACAUUGUUUGUUUCAAAUGUCAGGGAUGAGGUCACUAUCAGCGAGACUGCCCCAACCAACGGGUCAUGAUCGUUACCCCGAGUGGAUAUGAAUCUCAAGAUGAAGUCGAGAUGGAGGUAAACAGCAAGGAGGAAGAUGUAGAGUACCCCGACACCGGAGAGUAUCUACUGGUGACCCGGAGGGUCCUGAGCGUUCAGGUGCAACCUGAAGAGACGGUCCAACGAGAGAAUUUGUUCCACACGCGUUGUACAAUCAAGAACAAGGUAUGUAAUCUAGUUAUAGAUGGUGGAUCUUGUACUAACGUGGCUAGUAAGUUCAUGGUGGACAGACUAGGUCUUGAAUAGACAAAGCACCCACGGCCCUACAAGCUACAAUGGCUUAAUGAUGCCACAGAGCUCAAGGUAACCGAGCAAGUCACCGUACCGUUCAGUGUUGGUAAGUACCGAGAUAAGGUGCUAUGUGAUGUGGUGCCAAUGCAAGCCGGACAUCUGUUACUAGGCCGACCUUGGCAAUUUGACAAGGCCACCCUACACAACGGCCGAACCUAUUACUAUAGCUUCACACAUAUGGACCGUAAGUUCAACUUAGCACCCUUAAGUCCAUCUGAAGUUCACGAGCUUCAAAGUAAGAUGGCUCAAGAGUCUAAGUCCUCUAAGUCUAGUUUAUAUAUUACUUAUGGAGGAUUAAACCGUGCUUUAAGUGCCAAUGACACUAUAUUACUAAUGUUUUACAAAGAAUGUCUAAGCGCAGAAUCAACAGAUAUGGAAAUCCCACCAGAGGUCAGCGCCUUAUUAGACAGGUACAAAGACAUGUUCCCUGAAGAGAUCCCUCCUGGCCUCCUACCUCUGCGAGGCAUAGAGCACCAGAUUGAUCUUGUUCCCGGAUCAGCGCUUCCCAACAAGGCCGCUUAUCGCAUGAACCCGCAAGAAACAAAGGAGUUGGAGAGACAAGUGCAAGAACUCAUGGACAAGGGGUACAUCAGGGAAUCACUUAGCCCAUGUGCUGUCCCUGUUCUACUGGUCCCCAAGAAAGAUGGCAGCUGGAGGAUGUGCGUUGAUUGUCGAGCCAUCAACAACAUAACCAUCAAGUAUCACCAUCCGAUCCCACGUUUAGACGACAUGCUUGACGAGUUAAGAUGAGCCACUAUCUUCUCCAAGAUAGAUUUAAAGAGUGGAUAUCACCAAAUGAGGAUGAAGGAAGGAGAUGAGUGGAAGACGGCCUUCAAAACCAAGCAAGGCCUAUACAAAUGGUUGGUGAUGCCAUUCGGCCUCACAAACGCACCGAGCACCUUUAUGAGGCUCAUGAACCAGGUUCUACGGCCUUAUAUUAGUAAAUUUGUUGUUGUCUACUUUGACGAUAUGAUGUGUCGUAUCAACUGUGUGAGGGAACAAGUUUUACCCUUAACAAAACAAAAGAAAGCUGGAAGUGCACAGCUAAUCAGUUCUAGUAUUUAGGGAUCGAAUCCACAGAGAUUUGUGUGCCUGGUAUUCUUCUACGGUUUUUAACUUUAUGUCUAGACUAAAUUGGUUUUAAAGGUUGGUUGUUUUUCUCGAAUUAAACUAAAGCAAAAGAAAGCAAAUAAAUCUAUCCUAAAAAGCAAGUAAAGAAAAUCGAAUGGAAUGCAAAUGGAAUAAGUAAAAUAUCGAACUAAACAAAUAUUUGGCAAGUAAAAUAUCGCAUGAAAGGUAAAUAAAGCAAGUAAAUAACGAACUAAGGAAAUUGAAAUGCAGGUCUAAGAAAACAAGUAAAAAUCGAUGGAAUUGUAAACUAUGGCUAAAAACGCUGAGCUUUUGGGAACUCUUAAGGGAUCAUAAUCGGUUUUAACACUAAGGUAGAUAGAUUGGGAUUGACAGAUAACGAUAUAUGGGUUCAAGAGCUAGAGUACGGCGGUAUGACUACGUCACUGUCGUGAUCAUAACCAACUGUUUCUCGCAACCCUGACCAGUAGGUUUCCACUCUGGCCCUGGAAGGGAGAGAACGCAAGAGCUGCACAAGACUCGUCAAUACUCACGAUCUCGCCGCAGGUAGGUUUCCACUCCUACGGAAAAUACGCCUGUUUCAUUCUAGGGCUGAUACUUAAUGAUAACUUUUGCAACACUAACUAUCUAGAUCAGAUACUAGGUGAUCAAUCAAGCAUACAUGCAAUAAGAACAAGAAUAAACAGAGAAUAGUUCGAAAUCCCAGAUCUAUAAACCUAGAUGUCUUAAUCGAUUAUGAGCCCCUUUCGGGAACCCUAAGCCCAACUCGGGAUCUACUCAGACAUGGCUGAGUUCGACAUCAUCAUUGGUUUUAAUAAAAGUAAUGAAAAACGGUAAAGAAAAGAGAUAAAGAAAGCUUCUCUAUUGAAGAACUCGGACUUGAACAAUCUUCUACAAAAAUCUCAUAAAAACGGCUAAAGGAAAAGGGUUUCUGUAAAGUAUGAAGGGUUCCCCCUAAAAACGAACUAAAUGACAUGUAUUUAUAGUCUCCAAUACUCCAUGGUCUCUAGGGUUCCGGAAUUGAGGCUGAGAAUGACUUUGAGCUUCAGAGAAGUGGGCUUUAACUCGGAGAUUGAUUGCCGCGGUCGGGAGUGUUGUGACCGCGGCAAUUGGCUUGUUGGCCGCGGUCAGGAAGCUUCUGACCACGGCAAAUAGCUUGUUGGCCGUGGUCGGGUGAGUUGCUGACCGACUUCGAAUGGCUCCGGGGCUAAUGAAAUAUCUUGAGAUCCAACCGUUGGAAUGUCUCCAAACCAAGUGCAUUUGAAAGCUGGUUGAUUCUUCUAUAAGUUGUCCAAUUUUGAGGGUGACCAGACGGUGAAAAGGUCUUCGUCUCUUCAUGAGAGUUCUGACGGUCUGCAUUUAUCCAAAAGAGUCUUUUUGUUCCAUUUUGUGCCUCUUUAUCCCAAAUUACCUGAAAAGUCUUUUAAAAUCCGGAAACAUAGAAAUCCUUUGAAAACCUUUGAAAAUGGAGUAAAAACACCUGUAAAAGAUAUUAAAAUGAUCCAUAAAAAUGGUCAAAAUCUGGUGUUAUCAACUCCUCCAGACUUAGUCUUUUGUUUGUCCUCAAACAAAACAAAGGCUAAAUCUCGGCGAGAGGUUUGAAAACGCAGGAACUAAACAAAAUCUCAGAGACCAAACUUCUAGACCCAUAUCAAUCAGUAUGCAUCAAUCGGGAAUAGCCUAGAAAAUUCUCACUAGCAAUACAGGCAUAACUAGUCCGUUAAUCCGUCAUGCAGAAAUCUAUGCACUAGGAUCUAACUUCCAGUCAACUAGCUCUUAACAUUCAUUAAAAAUCUCGGUGGUUCUCAUCAAAGAAAAUCUAGGCAAGGCGAUCUAGGCUAGGUGUCAAGAACGAUUAUUUUGGGGGGUAAGGUUUAAAGUGUUUACGGGUUACCUGAAGAUCUGGAGGAUGCAGGAUAUUAUGCAAAACCGCAAGAGAGAGUGAAGCUGUUGGUAUCCACAGUUUUCAGUCACUUUCUUCUUGACAUAGAUUCAUGGUCUUCUUCCUCAAGUUCUCUCCAAACUCCCCCAGACUUAGAUUUUUGUAAAUCUUUCAAAACAAUAUCUCCUUAAACGAAUAGUGGUUGCUCAUUGCUCCAAAAAUUUUGACAAUCUAAGACUCAUUAGGCUUUUUGUUUCCCUUUCUCUUUUCACGUUUUUUUUUUUUUUUAAAGAAAGGGAACAUCUUUAGAUAUAGAGUCUUAGAGAGUACGAAUUUACCAGUUAAUAUCUGUCUUGUAAAGCUUUAUUAUGUUUCUGAUACUCUUCCUUCCCAAUUCCAUUCAGUCUCCUUUGUGAGUGACUGAAAACUGCGUCGCUCCUCUUCUCUCCGACGUUUUUGCACAUAUCUGCUGAUAUAAACUAAAGAGAGAAUGCAUGAGGAUUGAAAACAAGGGUUUUGGGUUUAGGGUAUGGUACCAGAUAAAGAUAAACUGGUCAUCUAGGACGACAAAUAGUGGUAAAAGUGAUGGUAAAAGACGUCCUAGAUGUGUAUGUCGAUGCCUGCCUAAAAUCAAUGAUGAGAAAAUUAGAUAUCAAUAUUAAGUCCAAAUAAAACGAGCUAGUAUAUCCUGUCAGAAAGAAUCUCCAUGAAUAGAAGUACUCUGGUGGGAGUUCGUAGUGCAAGUACUCUAGCUACCGCCUAGUCUAGUGAUAACCACAAAUGAGCUAUCAUGCAUAGUGUAGAAGUGUGCAGGUCUAAAUCAUCAUAGUUUUGCGUCAAACAUUCUUGAAAAAUACUUAAUGUCGAGUAGGUUACAUAUUAAAAUUUAAAAAGUACUUGAAUUUAAAAGCAAAGCAGGGAAAUGAUUAGUACGGAUAGACAUCUUCCCCCAGACUUAAAUCACACUGUCCCCAAUAUGAAAAAGUUGGUGAGAAGAUGGUGAAUGAAAGCAAAAUAAAAUAAAAUAAGAUAAAAGAAAAGAAAAUGAUGAUAGAACCGUGAUGGUAGUGAAGUGCUGAUCAAUCACUCAUCCUCCGAAGUGUCGUCUGUGAAAUGGUGCUGCUCCUGUAAGAAGGUGACAACGCGCUCAAAGCGUCGUCCCUGUCUCUCAACUCUGCGCUCGAGAUCGGAAUGAGUGUGUGAUAUGUAGAUGAUGAGGUGUGACAAGUCGAAAUAGAUGGCUGAAAAUGAUCACAGGCUGCAGCUGCAUCACGCUUCGCCUUGGCCACUAUGUAUUGGCCAAUGGUGAAUGGUAGACGAGGUACAGAUGGCAGAAAAUCAUCGGAUACCGGAGUCCAUCGUGGGCGUCCUCCGUUGCACAAUCUCGGGAUAGAUGCUGAAGGUAAGUGGACUCGAUGCUCCUCGGUUCCAGUGCAAUACUUGUAACCAAACCUGUCUGGAUCGAAAGCGGCACGAGAGAUAGUGUGAUCGCGAGAGAGAUAAAGUAGAUCAUACCAGACAUCGGGAAGUGGAUCAUCAGAUGAGAAAUCAAAUCCUACAGCCUGUAGUAUCGCUGUAAUAGCACUCCCGAAAGCUGGAGUAACGUCCUCGCAACCAUGUAAAUCAUGCUUCACCUUCACCAUAUUCUGCGCUAUGAUCCAUGCGAAGCAGGCAAGUCGUGGAUCAUCCAUAAACGGAAUCUGAAGUGUGAUGAGCUCAGUCUUCAAAACACUUCCCAUGUUGGCUCUAGAGAAGAUCGUGUGUGCUAAGAGUUUGUGCACAACUCUCACUGCUGGGUGGCUAAGAAGGGCAGACUUCGAUCUCCCACUAUCAUAGGUUCCAUGACCCAUCUCUCUCCACAGGUUAAGAUCAGGUUCAUCUUCAAGGUAAAUGCCAUCAGUGUAUGGAAGCUUAAGAGCUUCACAAACCUCGGAAAUGGUGAGAGAAUAAGGCUGUCCGCGGAUAGAGAAUGACAAGAUGCCGUCUGAUGUUCUGGGGUUCCUCCUCUUCGUGUGGUGGAGUGUAUGGUCGCUAAAAGCUCACGAACUAGCUCAGGAUAAGUCGGAAGGUUCAGCUCCAUGUAGGGUCUCCGCUUAAGUACAUCGAUGUACCAGAUCACAUCCUCUCUGAUUCCAAGCAUCUCGAGUGUAUGAUAAUCAAUGCAAGGCGUGGGUUUGAUGUUCAGCUUCUUGAAACGCCUUGCAUAGUCCACUCUCGGGUUUGUCUCUCUCCCAAUGUAUCGAAUCUGUGGUGGCUCGGGAGGUGUUCGUGUUUCUCUUGAGUGCUGGAGCAAUCUCAUCACAUAGCUUCUUCUUCUCGGUCUGGCUUGGUUCAGCAUGUACUCUCCUAGAGUAGCAUCAUCGGGAAUGUCCUCGGAGCUGCCACCAGUUCGACGGCUCCUUCGGGAUCUGGUUUCGUCCAUUUUCUGCAAAAUGAAAUGAUUCUUGGAAAAAGAGUGAAUAUGGAUGCUGAUUUUAACACAUUAAGAUUUGUUACACCAAUACUAGCAUAAAAAGAUUAAUUAAAACCAUGAGCAAGCAAAAUUGAUAUUGAAUCAGAGAAAUCAAGUAGUUCAUGACUAAAUUCGGAUUUUUGAUGUUCUUAACAUAGAAAUCUUCUAAAAAUCGGUUUUGAUGAGAAAUUUCCAUGUAAAUUCUAAAGAUUACCCAAUACUAAUCACUAAUCACACAAGACUAAAUCAAAUUCAUCAAUUUUGCUGUUCCAAAUUUGAUUUUUAUUAAGCAUGUAGAAUCCAAAUUUCAAAAAUCUCAAUUUCUCUUAAGCUAGGUGCUAAAAUCGAUUUUUAGAUAACCUAAAUGGAUAAUCUAUCAUUCUUAAGCUAUUUCCACCAUCAAUAGACCAAGAUUUUGGGUUUUUAAAGAAAACCCUAAGUUCAAAAUCGAGUAAGAAUGGUGAGUUUGAGGUUCAUACCUUGCUGGAAAGAGAGAAUUGAUGGCAGAAUUGAAAUCAGCUUUGAAAAAGAGUGAUGUUUGAGCCAAAAAUCUCUUAAAAAACUUAAGAAUUGAAAAAUGUUAUCUUUCUCGUAAAUCUCUAAGUUUUUGGAAGAGAAGAGAAGAAAGAGUUUUGAUCCAAAAAGUUUGUUUCUUUUCUUUAAAAAGCGUUUUUGAAGCAAAAACAGAAAAUUUCUGGAAAUUUUUAAGUUUACGGGAACUUACCUUUUCUUGUUUGCACAUUAGGAAAGUUUAAAACUUACGGAGGAUCUUUUCUGGUUUUACCGGGAACAUUUGGGGAAACACCGGGAAAUACCGAAAAACGGCAGAAAUCCGCGGUAUCACCUCAACGACCAACGGCCGCGGUCAGGAGACGCGCGACCGCGGUGAUUGAGGGCUUGGCCGCGGUCACGUUCACGGUGCCGCGGUUAACGCACCCUUGGCCGCGGGUCGAACGGUCGCGAUCGCGGUCCUUCCUCCUGCGGCCUAUAGUCCAAUCUUCUCGUCUUUGCCGGGCCGAGCAGCUAAAAACCUACCUUUUCUUCUUGGUUUUUCUAAUUUUGUGAUUUUUUUGUGUUUUUGUUUCAUAACAUACCUAAAACUUAAAAAGAAAAAGAAAGCAUAAAUUGUAAAAAAGGAAAAGAAAACUAAAAGAAAGAGUACCUAAAUGGGUUGCCUCCCAUUAAGCGCUUUUGUUUUAAGUCGUUUAGCUCGACGUAAGCAUGAGGAAUCAGGCUGAUUUAAAUGGCACUCCACUUGAUAUGCCUUUAUCACUUCCGGUUGCUGGAGGUUUUACUUCUUCUCCUUGAGGAGAAGUCUUCUUACCUUUACUCUUCUUUCGGACUUUAAUGUUGUUCAGAACCCUUUUUGUGUUUUCGAUCAGCUCCUGGAUUUGGUCCUCACUAGUUUCUGUUGCAUCUGGUGGAAUGAUGAUCUUGAUCUUUGCAAAAGCUUUCGGCUUCUCCUUUUCUUUCUCUUUUGGCCUGUUCCCUUUACUUGGAAAUUCAUCUAAGAUAGUAGGAUAGUACAUUUUUCGGUCCACAUUGAGGAAAACAGCAUGCCGGUUUGCGUGAUCGAUUAUUGCUCCUACUGUAGCUAGGAAUGGUCUCCCGAAAAUGAGUGGCCUCUCCUUGUCUUUAUCCAUCUCCAGGACUUAGAAAUCUGCUGGAACAAUCUUAUCUCCCACUAGAACUUGUAGAUCAUGAAUCGCCCCUUCAGUAUCUUUUUGAGAUGAAUCUCCAAAAAUAACUUUAACCGUCGAUGUCCUUAAGGUUUUUAUGCCCAAUUUUUUGGCAAAUGCCUUAGACAUGAUGUUGACAUUGGCUCCGGAAUCGCACAAGCAGUCUGUAAACUUGAUUCCUGAAAUGAAACACUGGAAAACAAAACGUCCCGGAUCAUCGGCUUUGGUAAGCCUUUGAAACGGUGAUCGUUCAGGUACCUUAAACGGUGGCUGCUUGGGAUCGAUAUCCUUGUACAGUGGUACAAAGAUUGGGGUUUCUUCUUUCUUUCCAUCGGUUCCGGCCUCUUCUUCGAGCAAUGUGGUUAUGGCAUUGCAAAACUUCUUAGGGUUAUCUUCAACCCUUCCUGGAAGAACUCCACUUUGCCUCUUCAUAGAGUCGGCUGUUUGGGCGACUUGCACAUCUAACUUUUUUACGUGCGAAGAUAAAGAUUCAAACUUACCAUUCAGAUCAUUGUACAUGCAGUCCACUUUCACGUUCACGUCUUUAGAUGCUUUUUCGUUCGUCAUAACGAGCUGUUGGAUUGACUGUUCAAGUCUACCGAUUUGUGAAGCUAGCUGGUUCGUUGUGACUCCCUGCUGUUGUACAAAUUGAUUGUUAAAACCCGUACCUUGGUAGUUAUAUGGCUGUCGCGGUUGAUAUGGUACUAUUCCUCCAAAUUUUCCACCUUGAAACUUGUUUUGGAAGGAUUUUUGCUGAGGUGGGUAGUACUGAUCUUGAGGAUUCUCCACAUUUGGAUUGCGGUAAGAGAGAUUGUUGUAAUUUGUAUUCCGGAAGUUGUUGUUGAAGUUGUUGUUGGAGCGAUUUUGGUAUGGCACCAGUGCUCCUACGUAGUUCACAUCUUCUUCUUGAAAUGCUUGAUUAAUGUGAUCGAUAUCACUAGGUCCUUCAUCUUCUGCGCCAUUGUUGGUUUCACAAGCAUGGAUUGGGCGAUUGUUGCUCUUCAGAAACUGGCUCACCAUGUUCUUCAACUCGGUUAUCUCCUUGUUGUCUGUUCCGGCUUGCUUCAUCGAUCGAUCGUAUUCAGGACAGUCAUUGCUAUUUGCUUGAGCCAAAUUUUCGAUGAGAGCUCUUCCUUGGGUUAUCGUCUUUUGCCCAAAAUCUCCAUUGCUAGCUGUAUCAAGUGAAAGUUUGUAUUUUGGUUGCAAACCUCAGUAAAAUGUGCUCAGCAGGCUUGAUCCAUGAAAUCCAUGGUGAGGGCAAUCACGUUCAUACUCCUUAAAACGUUCCCAAGCUUCAUAGAAAGAUUCAGUUGGCCCUUGUUGAAAGGUUGAGAUUUUCGUUCUCAAAUUGUUCGACCUUGACUUAGUGUAGAAGUGGUUCAGGAAAGCAGUUCUACAUUCUUCCCAAUUGGUAAUCGAUCCUGCAGGCAAAGACUUCAACCAACGGUGAGCUUAAUCUGCUAAUGAAAAAGGGAACAACUUACACUUUAAAUAGUUAGGUGGAACUUGGUUUGUUCUCAUCAUGCUGCAAAUUUCUUCAAAAAGCUCGAUAUGGUCCACUGGGUGCUCAGAAGGAACUCCAUGGAACUGGUUUUGCUUCACCAAUGAGAUGAUUUGUGGCUUGACUUCAAACUCAUUCCGGUUUGGAAAUGGUACUUGAAUCGCAGAUCCAUUCUGAAAAUUUUGAGUAGGUGCAGUAAAAUCAGAUAUGCGAUGGUUCCUGGCUUGUCCUCGGUGUUGAUUUGCUGGCGGAAUGGGGCGGUGAAUGCGUUCAUUUGGCUGCAUUGCUGGGUGGUCACCAUCGGCUGCAUUGAUGGGUGGAUCAAGGUCUUCACGUCAUUCUCUCUCUCGGUUCUGGUGGUUUCUUGGAAGAACCUCAUCCUCCUCUCCAUCUUGUCGAGCAUGAUCACCUUCUAUGUGAUCAUUCUCUUCGUUUUCUCCAUGUUCGGACCCGUCUUGGUCCAUAUUUAAAUUUCGAUUAAUAGGAUCUCCAGGCUGGUCGUCGUUGGCCAUUCCUUGCGUUCGUCUAAGUCUUCGAAGUUCUCUUUCGUGUCUGUCUAUCUCGUCUAGAAUUGGAAUGUCUCCUGCAGGUCUACUCCUGGUAUUCAUGCAAUUCAGAGAAAGACAAAAGAAGGGAAAUAUAGUUCAGAAAAACUUUAAAAAAGAACUAGAGAUCAGGUGUCUAGAACAGAAGUUAAAACAAGAAAAAUAGCAAAAGGCAGCGAAACAAAUCCCCGGCAACGGCGCCAAAAACUUGAUGUGUCGUAUCAACUGUGUGAGGGAACAAGUUUUACCCUUAACAAAAUAAAAGAAAGCCGCAAGUGCACAGCUAAUCAGUUGUAGUAUUUAGGGAUCGAAUCCACAGAGAUUUGUGUGCCUGGUAUUCUUCUACGGUUUUUAACUUUAUGUCUAGACUAAAUUGGUUUUAAAGGUUGGUUGUUUUUCUCGAAUUAAACUAAAGCAAAAGAAAGCAAAUAAAUAUAUCCUAAAAAGCAAGUAAAGAAAAUCGAAUGGAAUGCAAAUGGAAUAAGUAAAAUAUCGAACUAAACAAAAAUAAGGCAAGUAAAAUAUCGCAUGAAAGGUAAAUAAAGCAAGUAAAUAACGAACUAAGGAAAUUGAAAUGCAGGUCUAAGAAAACAAGUAAAAAUCGAUGGAAUUGUAAACUAUGGCUAAAAACGCUGAGCUUUUGGGAACUCUUAAGGGAUCAUAAUCGGUUUUAACACUAAGGUAGAUAGAUUGGGCAUGACAGAUAACGAUAUAUGGGUUCUAGAGCUAGAGUACGGCGGUAUGACUACGUCACUGUCGUGAUCAUAACCAACUGUUUCUCGCAACCCUGACCAGUAGGUUUCCACUCUGGCCCUAGAAGGGAGAGAACGCAAGAGCUGCACAAGACUCGUCAAUACUCACGAUCUUGCCGCAGGUAGGUUUCCACUCAUACGGAAAAAUCGCCUAUUUCAUUCUAGGGCUGAUACUUAAUGAAAACUUUCGCAACACUAACUAUCUAGAUCAGAUACUAGGUGAUCAAUCAAGCAUACAUGCAAUAAGAACAAGAAUAAACAAAGAACAGGUCAAAAUCCCAGAUCUAUAAACCUAGAUGUCUUAAUCGAUUAUGAGAGACCCUUUCGGGAACCCUAAGCCCAACUCGGGAUCUACUCAGACAUGGCUGAGUUCGACAUCAUCAUUGGUUUUAAUAAAAGUAAUGAAAAACGGUAAAGAAAAGAGAUAAAGAAAGCUUCUCUAUUGAAGAACUCGGACUUAAACAAUCUUCUACAAAAAUCUCAUAAAAACGGCUAAAGGAAAAGGGUUUCUGUAAAGUAUGAAGGGUUCCCCCUAAAAACAACCUAAAUGACAUGUAUUUAUAGUCUCCAAUACUCCAUGGUCUCUAGGGUUCCGGAAUUGAGGCUGAGAAUGACUUUGGGCUUCAGAUAAGUGGGCUUUAACAAGAAGAUUGAUUGCCGCGAUUGGGAGUGUUGUGACCGCGGAAAUUGGCUUGUUGGCCGCGGUCGGGAAGCUUCUGACCGCGGCAAAUAGCUUGUUCGCCGCGGUCGGGUGAGUUGCUGACCGACUUCGAAUGGCUCCGGGGCUAAUGAAAUAUCUUGAGAUCCAACCGUUGGAAUGUCUCCAAACCAAGUGCAUUUGAAAGCUGGUUAAUUCUUCUAUAAGUUGUCCAAUUUUGAGGGUGAUCAGACGGUGAGAAGGUCUUCGUCUCUCCAUGAGAGUUCUGACGGUCUGCAUUUAUCCAAAAGAGUCUUUUUGUUCCAUUUUGUGCCUCUUUAUCCCAAAUUACCUGAAAAGUCUUUUAAAAUCCGGAAACAUAGAAAUCUUUUGAAAACCUUUGAAAAUGGAGUAAAAACACCUGUAAAAGAUAUUAAAAUGAUCCAUAAAAAUGGUCAAAAUCCGGUGUUAUCACGAUAUACUCAUUUACAGUAAAGGUCCAUCCGAUCAUUUAAAUCAUCUUGAACUCGUUCUAAAUACACUUCGAAAGGAAGGACUUUAUGCCAACCUAAAGAAGUGCGCCUUUUGUACUGAUAAACUUGUUUUCUUAGGCUUUGUAGUGAGCAGUGAAGGGCUACAAGUUGAUGAGGAAAAGAUCAGAGCCAUACAAGAGUGGCAUACGCCCACCACCAUCGGGCACGUGAGAAGCUUUCACGUCUUAGCCAGCUUCUACAGGCGGUUUGUUCGAGAUUUCAGCACAAUAUUAGCACCCCUAACAGCCGUUAUCAAGAAGAACGUUCCAUUUGCUUGGGGAGCAGCUCAAGAGAGGGCUUUCAAUACCCUCAAGAAAAGACUUACGUGAGCACCGGUCUUGGCAUUGCCCGACUUUGACGAAAUGUUCGAAGUGGAGUGCGACGCCUCCGGACUGGGCAUAGGAGCUGUCUUGCAUCAAAGGAAGAGACCCGUGGUGUUUUUCAGUGAGAAGCUCAGUGGAGCUACCCUCAACUAUCCCACAUAUGACAAGGAGCUUUAUGCUCUUGUGCGGGCCCUCGAGACAUGGCAGCAUUACUUAUUGUCUAAGGAGUUCAUAAUACAUACCAAUCAUGAAACACUGAAGCACUUAAGAGGGCAGACAUCCUUGAAGAGGAGAAAUGCCAAAUGGUUGGAGUUCAUUGUGACGUUUACAUACGUCAUCAAAUAUAAGAAGGGCAAGGAAAAUGUGGUGGCAGAUGCACUUUCUCGGAGGCAUGCAUUGAUCUCCACAAUGGAGGCCAAGGUCUUCGGAUUUGAGCACAUCAAGGCUCAAUACCAAGACGACCCUGAGCUCGGAGAAUACUAUCAAGAGUGCCUUAAGGGACCCUACGGUUCGUUUUACUUACACGAUGGAUUCCUUUUUAUCUAUAAGCGUUUGUGUAUUCCGCAGGGAUCCAUGAGAGACAUGGUGCUUAGUGAAGCACAUGGAGGAGGACUAAUGGGGCACUUCGGAGUGGAUAAUACUCUAGCCGUAAUGAUGGACCAUUUCUAUUGGCCGCACCCAAAGAAAGAUGUGGAACGGUUCUGCGCCAAGUGUGUGCAAUAUCACAAGGCCAAAUCCAGGUUACACCCUCACGGUCUUUAUAUGCCAUUACCUAUACCUAACGCCCCUUAGGUAGACAUUUCAAUGGACUUUGUCUUAGGGUUGCCCAAGAUUCGACACAAGGACUCUAUCUUUGUAGUUCUUGAUCGUUUUUCAAAGAUGGCCCAAUUCAUACCAUGUGAGAAGACCAAAGAUGCGACUCAAAUCGCGAACCUGUUCUUCAAAGAGGUAGUACGCCUACAUGGGAUCCCAAGAACCAUCAUCUCUGAUCGCGACACCAAGUUUCUAAGUCAUUUUUGGAGAACUUUGUGGAGGAAGCUAGGUACAAAGCUCCUUUUCUCCACUACUUGUCAUCCUCAAACGGAUGGACAAACUGAAGUGGUAAACCGUACUCUUUCCAUUUUACUUUGAGCAGCCCUUUGGCGUAAUAUGAAAACUUGGCUAGAUUGUAUACCAUUUGUAGAAUUUGCUUAUAACCGCGUGAGGCGCUCAGCUACUAAGCUGUCACAUUUCGAGGUUGUUUAUGGUACUAACCCUUUGUCUCCAGUAGAUUUAAGACCUAUAGCACAGGUAGAACCAAAAAACUUAGACGGCCUACGAAGAGGCGAGUUGUUCAAGAAGCUUUAUGAGACGGCUCGCGACAACAUUGAGAAAAAGACCGAUGGCUACAAGAAAGCCGCAGACAAAGGACGAAAGGAAGUCACCUUUGAACCAGGAGAUUGGGUGUGGUUGCACAUGAGGCCUGAAAGAUUCCCUAAUCAACGUGCCUCCAAGCUCGCACCAAGAGGAGACGGACUGUUCAAAGUUUUAAGCAAAAUCAAUGACAAUGCCUACCGUCUUGAUUUGCCAGGUGAGUUUAACAUUUCUCACACUUUCAACGUCGCUGAUCUGUCUUAUUUUGAUGCAGGUGAAGAAGUUUUGGGGUCAAAACCUUUUGAACACUACAAAAAAAUUGAGUUAUUGUGACAAAAUUUUGAUACAAAAAUUAUUAGUCACAAAUUUGUUACAUUUUAGAUACAAUAUCGUGACUAAUUUUCUUUGUCACAAAUAAGUAGCAUUUACGUCACAAUCUUGUGACGUUUUAAAAUUGUAACCAAUUUUUGUCACAAUGAAUGACAAAAUUGUGACAAAAAUAAUUAUCGUAAUAAUGAUGACAGUACUAUGACCAAAUAUGUUGUCAUAAUUUUGUUACGAAGUUGUGAAUGAAUGUAUAGUCUCCAUUUAUAACAACAUAGUAACUAAACGCAACUUAUAAUUUUGUUCGAAUUGAAUACAAAAAAUAUCGUAAUCAAUUGCAACCUAAAAACGGUAACAAAUUUGUGGUAUUUUAAUUACUUUAUAGAAGUUUUACUCAGUCAUAAUUAUUUAUGUAAUAGCUACAAAACUACUUUAGAAUUAUUUUGUUUACACAUUAAACAUAAACAAAUUUUUACAUAUACAAUAUAUAUAUUUAAAUAAUAUAAAUUAUAUUUACAUUAGCCAAUUGGUCUAAGGAAUAAAUUUAAUAUUCACGAUUCAAAAACGGUAUCAGAACAUGACAAAAUUGCUGCUCGAUUCCUUUUUGUUUAAGAAUAAAGUCUUUUUUUUGUUCCUUCACAUCUCUUCCGUCGACCUAUUUCUUCUCUGUGAAAACAGGAGUGAAGAUUAUCCUUGAAAACCUUGUUCUCAUUCAGGAAAACUAGUGUUAUCGAUACUCUGUUUUUCAUUCACGAAAACAGGACAAUUCGGUUACUCGCUUUGGCUCCUUGCUCUAAUUAAUCACGUCAAACACAGAAGCUUUGGCUCCUUGUGUUAUUAUAUUGGAGCCAGUCAAUGAUACAUAUUAUAUUGGAGCCAGUCCAUGAUUCUAUUGUUGAUAGUAAAGUAUGUAAAUGGAACAUCCAAAGUAAUCAAUCACCAACCAUACAUAUUAUAUUGGAGCCAGUCCAUGAUACUAUUGUGAUUAUGACCCUAUUUUGGAUAAUUCUUACCAAAUUCUUCUGUCCCAUGAAUUGAGUAUUCGAAUAAUGUAUGCGCUUACAGUUAUAAACGUUAAUUUAUUCCAAAAAUUAAUGAAACAAUUGUGUGAUAUGUCAUAUACUUUCCAGUCAAAGUUCAUAGUCAUGUAUGUAUGACAAUAAUAUGUUGUAACUUGUUCAAUUCGGUGAUGUGAUAGCAAAAUCUAGCAAAUAUAAAAUCGGGCAUAUUAAUAUCAUAUAUUAAUUAAGAUGUCGACUGCGAGAAAAUUAGAUGAUGCCUAAAUCAAUGCCACAUGUUAUUUAGCAUGCAAGAGAUAUUGAAUUAUUGAUGCAUAUAUGAAGGUUUGGGAAACUUUUUCUAAAAACCGAACGAUUGUUCCUACUUUUUCUCUCUCGCGAAAACCCUAGUUGACUAUCAGAUCUGAUCUCCGAGCAUCUCUGUUGCUAGCCGGCGAUGUGAGAGGACAUCGAUAAAAGUAGACCUUCAUCUCCGAGAGAAAGUGUUUUCGAGGUUUUCUACUGUUUUCUCUCCGGCGGUGCUGAGGGGUGGUGUAAUCGUGGCGGAGAGGCAUUGCGUUGCGGUCGCGGACACUUACGACGAGACGGUUCUGAACAGACAAGGCUUUUGUGAAGAGAUGGACGAGCCGCUUGGUGGAAUCGCCGUAAGGAGAAGAGUUUGCCGAGAGGAUCGAGAGCAAGUUCUGAGCGGCGGAGAAGUUUGACUGAGAGACAAAAUCCCCAGCGGUGAAAAGAAGACGACGGAGGUGAUGUGAGGCGGAGGUUGCGGCGGAGGAUCAGGCGAGGCAUAACGGAGAAGGUGGAGUUCUCGGUGGUGGUGGUGGCAUCAUCGGAGGAGGAGCUAGAGGAUUUGAAGGAAGCAAGUAUUUGAAAAGAUUGAAAUAUGCUUUUGGUUCAUAUGAUAGAUUCGUUUUCUCUCUCGAUCAAAUGAGUCAUUUUUAAUGGGUAAUAAUAAAUAUUAUUUCUCUUUAUCUGAAGGUAUAUUGCUUGGAUUAUUAUAAAUAAAUUCUCUGGUGCUCCGAUGCUGCUAGAGGAAGGCAGCGAGAGCUAGGAGGAGGUUAAUUGGGGGUUGAAGAAGAAGCUGCAGCAGCGGAAAUCGGCGUGGCGGUUCGGUGGGUGGGCAUCGCUAGGCGAUUUCUUCAUUAGGUUAAUGUGUAGCCGGUUCAACUUUUGUCUCGAUUAUUCUUUUUGUAAACCAACUCCAAUUUUCGGUUUGGGACGAAACAAUAUAAUAUAAAUUAAAAAUAAUAAUAAAAAUUAAUUAUUUCUUUUUCAUGUUAUCACUUAUAUGAUUUGUGACUAAGUUUUGUCGAAAGAAGCAACAAAAUUGAAAUAGUCCAGUAGUCACACUAUAUGAUGGUUUUGUGACAAUAUUUUUAGUCUGUUACGGUUAGGAAUAUGCAACGACACUUUAGUCAUUAUUUGUUACAAUUUGCAACUAAAAUUCUGUCAAAACUAAUGACAGAUUUAGGACAUUAUACAUGUAGCAAAAUGUGAUAAUUUUGAGACAUUUUUAUAGUCUCUAAUUGAUACGAUUUUUUUACUAUUAGUUUUCGUCGUCAUUAAUGACAAUAUAGAUACGAGAGAUAUUCGUCACAAAUGAUGUGACGGUUUUGCUACGAAAAUAAGUUUGUGACGACUUUAUUGUGAUUGUUCAAAAAGCGUCAAAAUACCGUCACAAUAAUUUUAUUGCUACGAAAUUGUGAUUAUUGUGACGAAAUUUUUUGUAACAAUACUCUUUUUUUCUUGUAGUGGAAGAGGGAGGGAAUGAUGUGGACAUCGACCCUACCGCAUCAAACAUCGAGAGACACAUGCCGGAGGUCCAAGACGGGGCCAUGACUCGGUCCUAAAUCAAACAAAUGAGGAAUAAAUACAAGAAGGUGUUACACGUCUUUAUAAACUCACUGGACCCAAACAACCCCCUGUUACCAGAUUUACAAGUCAUACACGGUUUAAACGACCUUUGCGGCCAAAUCGGGCCCGAGAACAUGACUCAAGGAGAAGUCACACCAGACCAUCGAUUCCCACAAGGCCAAUGUAACAUCCCUCGACCAACUUUUCAUUUAAAAGCUAACAGUCCGAGCAGAAUUCCUUUUACAGGCUUAAAACCUGAAGAAAUCGGAGAUAGCCCAAAAAUAUCCGAUGCGCGAGAAUUUUUAGCCGAUACGCGAGAACUUUUAUCUGAGAAAAUGGAGCCUCAACGGCUAGACCACCCUGACGACAAAAUCGACCGUCCUGGAGCUGACAUUCCUUGACCAAAAUCAUCCCCUGAAGCCAACGCUCGAGACAGAAUUGAAUUCCAACGAGCAGAACAGGAGAUUGCCGAUGCCACACUCGUUUUAGCCGAGAAAUGCCAUGCAACACAGGCCGAGCCACCAGACGACCUAGAAAUGACCAACAAAGGUAAUUUCUCUCAACCAAGUGCAUAUUAUAAGACUAAUGCACGUGGAAUCCUCGCAGGCGAACGUGCAGAAUUGGAGUUGCUUCACAACACACCAAGUGGACGCGAUAACGAGCUAACCCGAGGCCGAGCGACUAGCCAUACAAGAAGCAACGGUCAUAGAGCUUAAGGGACAUGAAGAUCAAGAUUCUCCGGGACUAGAAGACGCCUCAAGCGACCCAAGCCACAGCAGGCCAAGGCAGGACACUUCAAUGAACGAUGAGGCCGCACACGAUACCAACGAGCCGCGCCACCCAAAGUUAGUAUUUCAAUUAUUUCAUUGUGCUUACAGGAGGAGCCAACAUCUCCAGCGACUUAGUGUCAGAGUUAAACGACUCAAGUCGUGUAGUUUAAGUCUUUUAUUUCAAACUUUCCAUUUCUGUAAUAAAUGAAACGAUGAGCUUUGUUUCUUAAACUAGGUUUGUUUUCUUUGAGUUUUAUUUACUUAGUCCUGUCGUUUUGAGUCCAGAGUCGAACCCUAGAAGGUUCAAGCUGACGAACCAGUUUAUAAGGUUCCUUUGCAGCAUUGUAGUCCGCAGACUUUUCCCCAUAUCAAUAAAAUAUCGAACUUUCUUCAAAGUUUACCCGAGAAGCGAUUUCUCUUUGUUCUUGGUUUGUUUGUGCGAUUCAAGCAAGCUUUGAGCCUUCACCGUAUCAGAGACUCACCAUCAUUAUGUGUUGUGAACUCACGCCGCCAUCACAUCCCGUUUAGAUCCCACACAAGGGGGCGACCGCGUGCGUGUCAGAUCAUUCCAUCAUCGACCAUUAACCGAGCUAAGGAGAGGGCGACCGCCUGUCUUAGUUCCCACCCGUAUCCUCAGUGUGAUAGCCACCACCGGUUCUUACAUCAUAAAGAGGUGUGAUCGCAUGGUAUCUUGUUCUCCCAUAUAAGUCAGACAGAAUCGGUAGAGGUGACUCCACAGAACCAUCAUCUUCCCGAUCAAGACUUGACUUAAGCAGAUGAGUAGUCGACAAAAAAAAAACUACUUUACCUGUUCAGUCAAUAAAUCACUGUACUAUAUUAUUAUUAACAUUUACGGGAAUAUAUGCUGCGCUCUUCACGCCAUUAUGUUUUGAAUUGACAUUUUAUGAAAACCCUAAUUAUAACUCUAUAAAUGAAGAAGUUGCAGCAACAAUUUUAUCACACUGAUAUUUCUCUCUUAUUUUACUUUGUUGUAUGUCUUCCCAUGGGUAUGUCUUCACAUGGACAUGUGUGUCAUUGUAGCAAUGUUUUGAUAGUAUGAAAUUUGUCAUUUGUAACAACGUAUUCAUUCUGUCAAUACUGCAUCAAAAUAUCAAUGAACAUUUAAGUACUUCUAAUGUUUUGAUCCAUAUGUAUCAUAUAUUGAUUUAUACAAUUUUUUAUAGAAAAUAUAUGCGGAUAAAAGUAAUUAUGUAUAUAUGUACACAAUCUCAACCAGAAUACAUAUAUACCAUUAAUAAAAGUCUAUUUCAUUAUAGGAAAUAUUCCAUACGUAUAAAAGAUCUCUGUUACCAUAAUUAUUUCUGUUAGUAUCUUAAUUUUUAUUAAAUAAUUAAUUCAAAUGAUAUACAAGAUUUUGAAUAUUCUUUGAUUCCCAAUCUUUCAGUUUCCUAAUAUCUAUCAUAUCUGUUCACAUUACAAAGAAAACCUUAACACAUUCAAUAUUUCAUUCUACAUAUAUAUAUGGUUUUCCUUCCCUUAGACACGCUUAUUCAUAACAAAAAAAAAUCUCUGUUAACAAUGAAAUGACGCUUCUUAUAGACAAAGUUUCUGAUUAAAAUCGUUUUACAACAGAAUGGACUGUUAGGUUUAAGCUACUUAAGAAGUGGAAGCAGUACACCAGACAUCAUAGGAUUAUUUUUGAUAUGAAUCUGGUAGACAUAAAAGUAUAGUGAUAUCUCUAAAUUUUGUUAAUACCAGAAAUUUGAAUUUCAACUAAUUUUUUUAUUUUUAUUUUUUACCUUACAAGGUCAUACAAUCCAGGUCAGAGUAACAAGGAAAUUCAUCCGAAAUGAUGAGAACAUACCAAGGGAUCAUGGUUUGAAACUGAAGAUUUAACAGUCAUUCAAACAUAAUUUAGAGAUACCAUUCAAUCAUACAACAAAAUUAUUCAAUUCAUUGUCUCUACAACAAUUAAAACACUUAACAAUGUUGAGGGUAUGUAUCUUAAUUGUUGAAUAAAGUUUUAUUUUCAUAAGAUAUAAAUAACUAAUAAUUAUGUCAAUGAUAUAUUACUUAUAUGUAGUUAGAAGAAUGUGUUUCAAUGGCAGGAGGUGCAGCUUAUAUUAUUAGCCUUUCAAGGUACGUCUUAUUCUUUUAUAUUUUUUUGAUUACAUAGAUAUAUAAAAUAAAUUAAGGAAAUUUAAAAUUAUUUUUUCUUAACAGUAUAUUUGUUAUACUAUGCAUGAUUAUCAAUUAGAAGACUUAAGCAUCAUGAAGAAAUAAUUUACAUAUUAUCAUAUGUCUUUUGUCAUAAAGAAUUAUCUACUUCUUUGACAUAGGAUUUAUUUGUUAUUUAAGAUCUAAUUAUUUCAUUUAAGCUUUCUACGAAUAUUUUUAGAUGUACUUUUUCUUUAUCAACUUAUAAAGUAAUCUUUUUACCAUCGACUUAUGUUAAGUUAAAUUUACAGAGUAGCAUAACAAUGUAGUUGCCAAUUAGAUGAUUAUAUAGAAUAAAUAUUAUUUUCAUUUAAUUUUACCUUACUAUUUAGCUGCCAAGUACCAUAUUUUUUAUCUUAUAUGGCCCCAAAACUUAUUUUAUAAACCGAAUAUCAAAAACAAAGCAGAGAUGAACACUAUAUACCUCAAAAACAUAAGAAACCGUUCUAGAAUUGGGCGACUAUUCUUUCGUUAAUCAACUUUAUGCAUGGAGAAAUGAUUGGGAUAUCAAGGUCAAAGGUUACAAACAUUGGCAGAAAAUAAGACUCCCAAAGAUUAUCUGGCCUGAACUUCAUAUUUGUUGACGAAAAUGUAUGUUUUCUGCAUUCUAUAUGUUUCUUUCCUUCGUCACAUUAUUUCUGUAGGGUUGCAGGAUCAACGGCUUUGCUUAAAACAUGACCCUAUCCUACUUUGACUGGUCUGUCUAAAAGGAAAAUGGGUGGAGAUGUCUAAUUUCUGUUUGAUUAAUUCAGAUUGAGAAGUCUUAGGAAUCACUACUAGACACGCAGAUCAAAUCAUCUUUAAAGAAAAAAUAAUGGUUGGACCUCUCAGACCACUGACAGAAGAUCCAUUCAUAUACUUCGUAGAAUUCACUAACAUUUAUAGAAAACCAUAUGCGCAGUACUAUCUUGUUGGUAAUUUUCUACUUAUAACAUAUAUAAAUUGAUAGUCAUAUGUGUUGUAUUAAUAUAACUUUGUUUAGAAAUACAAUACAUAUUCAUAUCUAUGCACUUAGUUUUAGUAUAUAUAAUCUUUAACUAUGUAAACAGAUUUGAUGGGUGUUCUUGAAACUGCUGGCAAUCUCUACACAAUGUGCUAUCCCGAUGGAUAAACUGUGCGAGCUCUCAAGUUUACCAUUCAAGAUUCAGUGUCCGUAUAUACUUAUUUGUUUGUAUCUAAUACGAAGUUUUACUAUAUCUUACUCAUAUGUAAUUUAAACAUAUACCUUCAACUGCUUUUCAUGGGUUCUUUGCUGUUGGCAUCAAAGAAAGAUGUAAAGGACUGAAAGGUCUAUUAGCUAUAUGCAUUUUAACUGACUGGACGGUAAAGAAAAUCUAGGUAUGUUAACCAAAUUAAUUUUUCUUUGUACUCAUUCUUAAUGAUUCAUUGUUAAUAUCAAUUUCUAAUUGUUUAUUUUAACUAUGUGUAGAGAAAUUGUCAAUCCAUGAACAUGAAAAUGUUCGUUUUUCCCGCUUUCUCAUUGCUCCACCAAUUGAUGAUGUUGCAAAGUUGCAGAACAAGUUAGUAAGCCAUAAAUUUAUUGUAUCUUUUCUAAUCAUAAUGCUUAAUCUUUUGAUGCUCACUGAUAUAUUGCAGUUUCUAAUUUGCAAAAUUCUGAAAAGGGUCAUGAAUUCGUCUGAAACUGCUGGACCUUCGACUAUGAGGGAUGGAUAAAGAUGAAUCUAACAUUGUUAAGGAUUUCAUAUUUUAGUUAUCAAGUUUAAGGAGUGAUGUCCUCCUAUUUUCGAUGUCUUGAAACUUAUUUUAAUUUCUGCUAUGCUUUAUUUUAACCUAAUGGAUUAAUAUCAACAUUUGCUUUUUAUAAUUCAAUAAAAUUAGACAGAUUUCAGAUUAAAACUCUGUUCAAACCAUUCUUCUAAUAAUGGGAAUAUGUUGAAGUUUAAAGUUGGAUUCAUAUCCAAUUACCCAAAUAGUUUAUACGUUUCCUGUUUCCAAAUAAUUGGUAUACAACAAUGUUGUAUAUCUUCUUUAACGCUUUACUUUUCUAAUAUGUUGGUUUCCAUGGGACUUAUAUUACCCGAUCUAUUAGUAAUGAUUAAUAAUUCCUCAAAUUCUAAAUUUUUACAUGUUUUCCUAUUGGGGCAAUUAUAUUUAUAGGACAAAAAACUGUAGUAUUGUCUCCUUAAGACUUUUUCAAAUUUGGCCACUUUUGGACAUAAGUACUCCUUUUUAGAAUUACGAAAAUUUUAAAAAAAAUAGUUUUACAGUCUAAAAAAUUUUGGAAAAAUCAAAAAGGGAAUUACAAAGACAUUCCGUAACAUAAUAUUUUAAAAAAAAAAUUAAAACAUUUGUUUUACAAAUAUUUUCCAAAUUAGUAGAAAGUACAUUCUAUAAAUCUAUAAAUUAUAGAAUAGGCUUUCUACUAUUUCAUUAGUUUUCUACUAAAAAUAUAGAAUUAGUUUUCUACAUUUCUUCUAUGUUCUACAAAGAUAUGAAACCGUAUUCUAUAAAUUUACCAUUAUUCUACAGUUUGUAGAAUUAUAUUUCUAUAGUUCACUCUUUGUUCUACAUCUUAGUAGAAUUGCAUUUCUACGGAAACUCUUUGUUCUACAACUUAGUAGAAUUGCAUUUCUACGGAAACUCUUUGUUCUAGAAUUAUAGAAUACCUAUUCUACAAUUCGGUCAAAUGAAUUUCCGAAAAUCUAGGAGCAGAUCUAGAGAAUAUAUUACUUUCCUUUUCAUAAUAUUUAAUUUCCUAAUUAAUUUUUUAAAACUUUUUUUUCAAUUUACAGAAUUCUGUCGCCAAUUUUUUUCUUCUCCUCCUCACCUAGCGUUUUUUCUCCUCCUUCAACCUACAAACUUUUACGUUUUCUUCAUAAUUUUUACGUCUUCUCCUUGUUUUUUCGUACCAACUACCUUAAACUAUGUUACAAAUCUACGUAACAUAUGGAUUAUGGACUUCUGGUUUGAAGAGAGAGUGGGAUUUUAUUGUCGAUGAAGAGAAAGGAGGAAGAUUGAUAACGCUGGAAUCGAGUACAAGUUUUGAGGAGUUAAAAAUGAUGGUGCAUGAGGACUAUGGUAUCGUCGAUCAGCAUGUUCAAAUCAGUUAUCUACCUAGUGAUUUGACUGAUAAAUCAGGGUUUCCCCCAGUCAUUAUCACAAAUGACCGUCAAGUUAAAAAUUUUGUUGGAUAUGCAAAAAAAACCCUUCCGUUCGGCUCUGUGUGACACUGACAGGUCCAUCUGCAAUUAGAAGCGAACUUGUCAACAUUGAUUUGAAUAAAGAGCCAUCUGACUCAGGCAGCGAUGAGAAACGGCAGGAAAAAACUGAAGCUUUAGUCUUACAACGACAAAAUGAUGGCUGCACAACAGGUGCUCGUAAGUUAGAAGGUCUUGGCGAGGAUGGUGAAGAUAUUUUGUUUGGUGAGGAGGAAGAAAAAAUUCACUCAGAAUCUCGGUGUUGGUUGGUAGACGCUGUCAAGAAGGGGCAACUUUUCAAAAGAAAAAACUAUUUGAAAGCGACAUUGGAAAUAUGUGCAAUGCAGCACAACUUUGAUUAUGAUGUGAAGAAAUCGACAAAAAAAAUCUGGUCAAUACGCUACAAAGAUAGAGUGUGCAACUGGAGCGUUCGUGCAGAAUGUUUAGAAGGCUCAACCUAUUUCAAAAUAAACAAGUAUGUUGCUGAACAUACAUGUGCUCCAUCGAAAAAAACAAAAAUCGGUAGAACAGCUUCAACGAAAACAAUUGGACUACAGAUUAUGCAUAGGUCUGAAGGUGUUAAAGAAGGGCCAAUACCUCGGGAAAUCAUGGAAUUUAUGCGAACUGAGUAUGGAUGCGAGAUCUCCUACCAACAUGCUUGGAAUGCGCGUGAAUAUGCAGUUAGUGUUGCUAGAGGAAUUCCAGAAAAAGGUUAUGGCAAAAUUCCCAAAUAUUUGCACAUGUCGAAACAAGCUAAUCCAGGUACGCAUACUCAUUUCGAAACUGAUUCCGAUAAUAGAUUCAAAUAUCUAUUAAUUGCUUUCGGCCAGUCGAUUAGAGGUUUCUAUAGAGCCAUGCGUAGGGUUAUUGUUGUUGAUGGCACGUUUUUGAAAAGCAAAUGCAAAGGUGUGCUGCUUGUUGCUACAGCUUUAGAUGGUGUCUCCAGCUUGUAUCCAAUAGCAUUUGGGGUUGUUGAUUCUGAGAAUGAUCGUUCUUGGGAGUGGUUUUUCAGGCAGCUAUUGGUCAUUAGAGCUGAUGGGCAUGGUGUAGCUUUUGUGUUAGAUAGAAAUUUGUCUGUUACUAAAGCACUUGCUAGAGUUUAUCCGCACUCUUCACAUGGAAUUUGCAUACAUCAUUUGUUGAGUAAUGUGGCAUCCCAUUUCAAGACAAAGGGUUUGGUUGGUUUAAUUGUAAAAACGUCUAAAGAAUAUAGGGUUUCUGAAUUUGAGAGGCGAUUCAAUGAUAUUCGCAAUAUUAGUCAGCUCGUUGCAAAAUACUUGAUGGAGGCUGGUGUGGAAAAGUGGGCGCGAUGUAGGUUUUCUGGAUUCAGAUAUGACAUUCGAACCACUAACCCAGCUGAGUCGCUGAAUUCUGUUCUGUUAGCACCCAGAGAGUUUCCUGUCAUUCCUUUGUUAGACAGCAUCAGAGAAAUGUUAACCAAAUGGUUUUAUGAUCGAAGAAGAGUAAGCUCAAAGCAUAAUGCCCCAUUAACUAUUGAGACCGAAAAAAAAAUUGACAGGAGGAUUGAGAAGGGUAAAUCACUUUGAGUUCAUCCAGUUAGCUUGAAUCGAUUUUUGGUUAGAGGAGACAAAUUCGAUUGUGUAGUUGACUUGAAGCUAAGGACGUGUACUUGUGGGAAGUACACACUGUUAAAAAUCCCUUGCAGACAUGCCAUCAAAGCUGGUUUUUCGGUGAACAAGGAACCACACACACUUACUGAUCCAAGGUUUACUAUAGCAAUCUUAAUCUCCUUUUACAAUAUUCGAUUUUUUUCUCUUACAUUUAAAAUACAUUGCAUUCUAGGUAUACCACUGCCGUAUAGAGAAUAGCUUAUGAAGAAAGCAUUAAUCCAAUAGCCGUUCCCGAGGAUGCAUGAGUCGUCCCAUUGGACAUUGAAAAUUUCAAAGUUCUUGCACCAGAAACAUGGAGAGCAGCUGGUAGACGACGCAAGCGAAGAUAUGAGACGGUGGAAGAUGUAAUACGUAAUUCACAGGGAUCACAGCGGACUAAAAAACAUUAGUGUAGUCGUUGUGGUUUGGAAGGACACAAGAGAGGGACAUGUGACAUGCCUAUCUAGGCAUCUCUUUUUAGUUUUUGGACGUGUUUGCAUUUCUUUUCUCUAGUUGUUUGAACUGGUUGACAUUGUUGUUUUUAGAAUUCUAUUUGCAAUACAGUUUACCAUUUCCAUUUUAAAACCAUCAAGUGCAUUUACGUUGAAAAAAGUACUCAUGUAGAUUUAAAGAAGUAAACAAAACUUGGCUCAAAGGUGCAACAUUAUUCAUCACCAAUUAUUCCGUAAUGGACACCAAAAUUCCAAAAAGAUGACAGCAUUCACCUAGUAGGCAAAGUACCAAACAAAACCACAAACAAAAAAAUCUCACAGAUGAAAAGUUGUUUUCUCGCUGAUGCCUUCAUACAUUCUAACUGAUGCUCCAAAUUCUGAUUUUUCUCCACAAUCUUCUGAACCUUCUCCAUUAUGAUCUUCUCUGUACUGACGAUUCUUUUCAUGUCCUCAAAUAACAUCAACUGAUUCUCCGAAAGAAUAUUUAAUUCUUCCAAAUGUGCUUCGUCAGCCCAUUUGAAAACAUAACUGUAGUCUCCUUGUUUUGCGACCAAGCAUUUGUAGAACUUUCGAUUUGUAUUUGGGUAAUUACGUACCGGUGUAUGUAGCCAACUCCUAAAACUGAUAAUCCGAUACAAUAUGUCACAUACAACUUUCACAAGACAACAUAGAUAUUACAUUUCAAACAACAUAGAUAUUACAUUUUAAAUAAUUGUUCAGUUAUAGAUAUAACAAUACGAAGGAAAUCCCAAAACCAGAAUUAUAUUUGGUAGACUAGUAAAUCAUCGCUUAGAGUUUCUUGUCUUUCGUAUCCGGUACACUUCCUGGCGUAAAAAAUCGUUUAGGCAAGUCAUAUCCAAUCCUGCGAAUAAGAAAUACAAGAUUACGGAAAUGAGUAGCUAUCUUCAUACAUACAACAUCACAUAAACAAGAUUAAUGAACGUGUCAUCUCUUUAUUUCUGUGAAGACAGCAUAUAUGGGAAGGCACACCGUGUGAGCUUUGGAGUUUCAAAGCACACUAGCAAUCAAAGACAAUGAUGAAAACGAAAAAGAUGGUAACAGCCAAAAAAAAACUUUCAUCACGAGUUAACAAAGAAGUUCCCUUGUAUUUUUAAAGCUGUUUUAAGAAAACAAAGAAGUUCAAACCAACCAUAGACCACCAUGACGACAUAAAAGAAAAUAAGAUUCCUAAUGCAGAUUCUUAGUUGGGGCUGAUAAACAGUUUACAAAGCACCAAGAUUCUGCAUUGAUCAACAAACACAAUAUAACAGCUGAGAACCUGAGAAACAACCUAUGUAUAGAGACUGGUAAAAAGCUAAUAAACAACUUCAUAGUAACACAGUACUCAGAAACAAAUGAAACUCAAGUAAUAUCAACAACAGCAACAACAAAUCCAACGAUGAUCCUUGUAGAAAAAAAGAAAAAAAAAACACUAUGAGAUACCAAACAAGUGAUAUCUUGUUUUGAAUGGUGUUGCUAGGACAUUGCUAAAAAGCUAACGUAUAUAGAGUAUCAGUCAUGUGAAGAGAUAGGAUUUUUUCAAAAAAAAGUCGAUAUUGUUUUUCAAUGAUGUAAAAAACGAAAGCAACUUAGAAGAACCUUCCAGGACCAAUUCCAAAGCGGCGCUGUCUCACAGUCACUGGUCUUACUUCAGCUACACUACCGUAGACUGAAAAUAAAACAAUAAGAGAUGUCAAUUCAUGCUUUAGAAUGAAGAAAAUACAGUGAAACAGCAUUAUUAUUCUGAGGGGAAAACAAAAGCAAACAAAAAACAAAACAAAAAAAAAAUGCUCAAGUCUUUCAAAGACAUACAAUUUGAUUAUCGCUUAUUCAAUUCUAAAGUCUAAGUGCCAUUAUCCUAGGAAAAAUGACCAAAAACAAAUAAAAAGUAGAAGAAGUCGAAAAAAACAAGAUUUUAAAAGAGUCUCUACGUGAUUGGAAUAAUCUACAUGAUGCAAUUAAUGAUGAAAGACAUAGAAAAAUGCAAUAGAAUGAAACAGAAAAGUUAAUAAGAUAAAAAAGGAGGAAGAACAAUGGAUCUGGGGAAGAAUCCCCAUCUCCAUCGCCUAACCCUAGAAAAACAAAGUUUGGUGGCUCAAAAUCUCAGUACAAGAGCACACACCCGUUUAGGGCUGCUAAACAAUGUAUUUAUAGGUCCUAAAGUCUUCCAGGUCUCAUUUAGGGCUUCUCUGAAGAGGAAUGGCGAAGUAGGCUUUGGUGUUGGGCCUUGUGGCUCGUCCUAAGGUCCACCGGGGGUGAGAGUCUUCCAGGGCAGGUAAAACAUGUGUCCCGCGGGUGAGAGUCUUCUGGGACUGGUGAACAGGGUCAACUUGUUCUCCAUGUAUCUUUUGAUUGCACCGUUGGAUCUUUGUGAUGUAAAGUGCUAUGGAAAGCUGGUUGUCUCCUCUUGAUUGUCUCCAAAUUUGGGCUGGAUCGAACGGUGAGAAAGUCUUCAUUUUAGGAUGAACUUCUGACGGUCUGAUUAUGAGCUAAAAAUGUGGAUUUCUUCUAUUUUGCCAUCAUAUUCCCUAAGUUUCCUGAAAAGAACCUUGAAACUACAAAUACAUGGAAAUCAUAAUAAAAGUUCCUAAAACAGAAUAAAACCUUUGAAAAAGCAUUUGAAAUCAAUACUGGAAAGUGGUCAAAAUCAGGUGUUAUCAACUCCCUCAGAUUUAAGACUUUGUUUGUCCUCAAACAAAAUAAGAUCUAAUCUGGAAAAAUAUCAGCAACCAUACUUGUAGACCUUAAUAAUUAUGGAAAAUGCAUCAAUCAGAUCAAGUCUAGAAAAUUCUCACCAAAAUACAAACAUAACUAGUCCGUUAAUCCGUCAUGCAAAAUUCUACACACUUAGAACUAACUUUCAGUCAACUAGCUGAUGCGGACAUCAACCCAUCAAGACGUCUCAUGGUGAUCUCAACACUUGGAAGAAUUAGGUGCAACGGACAUGAGAGUCUAGCUAAGGGUAAAGGAGAGACAAUCUCCCUUGUUGAACAAGUUAAUGGCGAAGGGGAGACGACUGUCAUUAACUUGUUCUCUCUAGACUCCUAUCCCAUCACCAAUAAGCCAUUAGAUCACUCAAUCUUAACCGGACCAAACCAAAGAGGAGGCAACCAAUCUAUUGAAGAUACUGUUUAACCCAAAAAGAGCCACGAGCAUUGUCCAGGUCAAAUGAAGUCCAAUAACAAGUGUUCCAGACCAACUGCCACUUGGAUCACAUUCUUAGCUCAACCAGAGCACGCCUCGAAGUGGAAUCAGUCCAAUUGGAGUUCAGAUGAAGGAGAUAUUGAGUUUAUAAAUCGGGAAAUCCUCUACUUACCCGAUUUGGACAUAUGCGCCUUAGUUGGAGAAUUCCGACUAAAUCAGGAGGAAUUAAGCUAUCAACCGACUUGUUCUGGAAUCUUGAUUCAUCAGAGAAUCACAGAGAAUUUGAUUCAGACCGAGAUCGAUUCUGUUAGGAGAUAUCCAAAUUCUAACCCGAUGGAUCCUCCACUUGCCUUAUUUGCAACCUUCUAGGUUUUGGAGUCUUCAGACAUAUCUUUGGCGACCAGGAGACAUUCUAACUCAACCAGAGGCUCUACUAGGCGUCCUUACUUCCACCAAAACGCAUAGGAUCAAUUCGAGAUGCACAUGGACUGAGCUUCCUUAUUUAGAUCCAAGUGCAUUCAACAUGUUCACACUUGGUGUCAUAACUCUCCAAUGGCUAUAUCCUUGCUGCUUCUACGACUUGAGCACACAUUCAGCGAACCUGGACGUCCCAAGACAUCACUUCUAUGCACCCAAGUUGUCAAGACUCAAGCUCAGCUCCAUUUACCUUAUUUGGCCGAGAUUUGGUCAUUAUGACUUAAACGGCUAGUUUGCAUUUAGUUUGUGAUUUCUUUCUUGCUUUAGCUUUUUAGAACGUUGGUUUAGACUUGUGUAGAGCAUUAUAUAAGCUCAUCUUUGUCUUCAUUGUAAAUCACCAUUCAAUCUUAAUUAAUAAAGCAUUUUCGUUUUCUUCAAAGAGAGUUCUUUGUAAGAGUUGUUUCUUUUGAAUAUUGUGUGUGAUUCACAUUGUUCAUUAGAAUUUUUGGAUUAAACUAUUUGUGUGAUUCAAGUAGUUUGUUCCAUCACCUGAUAGAGAUAGUCUAUCAUCAUCAGAUUGAGUGAAUCAAUCAAAUCCACCACCUUCCAUCCUACCUUCAUAUCCACUUCCGCACAAAGCUUGUUAGCUUUUCAUUAUCAAGAGAUCUCCUAAGCAUCGGUGUGAUUCCGUACCUACAUCAUCUGUUAUCAGAACUCAAGUUCCUACCAAGGUGCUUUUGUUAUUAUCUUUUGCUUUUUGUUAUUUCAGUUUUUGUUUCAUUAUAAAAUUAAAAACCCAUAAAAAUUUGUUUCGAUUCUGUUUUCAUUGUUUUGUUAUCUGAUUUCUUUUCUAGACUCACAAAAAAAAAAUCUCUUGUUUUGAAAUAUUCUAUGCUUGCUUUGAUUCUAAAAACCAGAAAAUAAAAAUAAGAAUUUUUCCUUUUGUUAUUUGCAUUUUCGAAUUAUUUUCACAAAAAAAACAAUCAUAUAUCUUUCUUUUCUGUUAGUUGCUUUUGAUAUUUGAAUUCUCAUAGCUUCCUUAAAAAAAAUAAAAAUAAUAAUAAUAAAUUAGAAUUUUCUCUUUUGUUUUAUUGAAUUUUCGUAAUUUUUGUAGUCAAAAUUGUUGUCCUUGUGAUCUUUUUUUUUAUUAUUCAGUUUUGUAAUAUUUCCCUUAAUACAAAAAAAAAUCAUAAAAAAAAUUUUGCUUUGCUUAUUUUAGUUAUCGAGAUCUUCCGUUUUUAAAAGAAAGAAAACCAAAUAAAAAGUUAACUAUUUCUUCUGAAUUUUGUCCCAAAAAAAAAUAAAUAAAUAAAUAAAAUAAUCUGUUUUCCUUUUUCUUGUUAGUCGAAUUAGUUUGUUUCCAUUUACUUGGUCGUGUCUUCAAUAUUGCAAAUAUUUAUUUUUGUCGACCACUGAGUCACGCUUCUGAUUAUCUCUUGUCUCUCUCUUGCGAGGUACAACUUGAAAGCCAGAAAAUUAUGGAGUAUGAAGAUGAAGCCAACAAAUACAACACAUCAGAAAUUGAUUGGGGUGAGGAACCGUAUGAUUCAUGGGAAGGAGGAGGAGCAUACAAAGACCAGUCAUGCUAUGGAGAAACUGAUUCUUAUAUUAGUUAUGGAAGUGCCCCAGCAUGUGAAGAAGAAGACUCACAGAUCGAAGACGCUGCUUCCCAAAUCAGUCAUGGAGAUGAAUAUGAGAAUUCUGAAAGAGAUGACCAUGACGGAGAUUCAUGGCAGGGAGAGACUGAAUCCCAGCUCAGUCAAGGAGAGGGGGACCACGAAAGUGUGCAAGAUCAUAGAGAGUUCACUUAUGCAGGAGAUCAUGAUCAGUUCAUAGAACAAUACCAAAAACGUUGGUAUGAAGAAACUGAUUCUCAAAUCAGUUCAGAAGAUGGUGAUCCAUAUGGUGAUGAGCCUUGGAACGUAGGAGCUGAUCCAAAAGAAGGUAAUGUUGAUAAAUUGGAGAUUGAAGAACAGGUUCAAGAACCAAAUAAAGCAAACAUCAACUACACCGUGGAAGAUGAGUCUUGUGGUGAGCCAACAGAUGAUGAAGCAGCUUGUGAGCCACGCCACAUCUACUUUUCAGGUCAUGAUCAAGGACCAGAAGCUUACCUACAAUGGGAGAACGAAAUGGAAUAUUGGAUGCAGUCCAACAACAUUCCUAAGGAGGAGAGACUAUCAUAUGCAAUUGACUCAUUUGUUGGAGAAGCUACCACAUGGUGGCGACAGGAAGAAGCUCUGAACUACUACCAUAAUCCAGUUCGCAGUUGGGGUGAUCUAAAGCAGCGUAUGUACAGAGAGUUCGUACAGAAGUUCCACAACCGCAACUACACUCCCAAGAAGCUUUUGUUCCAAGCAACUACAAAAGGUUGGAUAUCAAAACCACCGCUUGUCCCUAAGCACAAGCACGCCUACUGUCCUGAGCCAAAGAAAGUGUUUCAAAACACUUUGGAGAAGAAGUCAAAUGCUGAGAAACCAGUGGUAACUACAGAAGUUAAACCAAAUUCAAACCCACCACUCACAGCUCACAAGGGAAGCACAAAAUCGACACUUGAGCCACAAGACAAAGCAAAGCAACGUAAGUCUUCUAAAACUCUUAUGAUAGAUACCACAAUCUGUUAUAGAUGUCAUCAGAGAGGACAUUUUGCUAAGACAUGCCCAUCUAGAGAAUUAGAAAUUAGUUCAUCAGUUGAACCAGAAAAAGAAGAAGCUAGAAAAAUAGAAAAAGAUGAGUUGCAUUUUAAAAUUUCCACUUCAGAUAUGAUUUGCUUGUCUUUGCCAAAGGUUUUUGCUGCAGGUUUAAAUCAUGGAGAGCAGCACUAUGAAGAGAUAGAUACGUGUCAGCCUACUCCUGAGAAAGAUGAAGUUGUUACCAACUUCACUCUGAUCCAACCAGAGCCACCAGAUAACAUGUUAACUCCAAAUGUCGUGGCAAUAAAGGAAACAGAACUAAACAAUAGUUCUACUCAGGUAAGUAGCACAGAUCUCUCACUUAUUUCUGAUAAUUCUAAGUCUGUGAUAAUGAAUAUUUUAUAUCCAGAGACAUGUGAGAAAGAACCCAUCUCUUAUUUUAAACAACAAAACUGUGAAGAACAUGAUGCUUUGCAAAAAGUUAACAAAAUGGUUAAAACUAGAUCAUGUUUCUGUGUUUCUUGUACUACCAUGACUGCCAUAACGCACUUGUCUUCUGUCAAAAGUGUCAAAGAUCUUGCAGGUACAGAAGAGAUGUUACAAAAAUCCAAACCGCCAAGCUUUAGUGGAGACACACCACGUGAAUAUGAAGUUUUCACCAAGACGACUACGUUGCUGCCAAAGGAAAUCAACAACAAACCUUGGAGAGGAGUCAUUGCCUCUUUACUGAUCAAAGAAGAACCACCAGACAUUCCACACCAAUCCCACCUGAACCGAAAUGGAGAAAUGAUCCAAGGUAAGUUUCUAGACUCA
RNAcentral lists this long non-coding RNA (135314 nucleotides) under Eutrema salsugineum. RNAcentral describes it as "long non-coding RNA (ESAL_LNC000382)". The stretch from base 112545 to 112651 matches the Rfam family "Plant small nucleolar RNA R71". Lineage: Eukaryota; Viridiplantae; Streptophyta; Magnoliopsida; Brassicales; Brassicaceae. The record is from RNAcentral.